GAUCUUGACAAACUCCUUUUCGAGCAAAGGUACACAACAUUUACUUCUUGCUGUCUUGAAUCUUUGAAGGAAACCUUCUGUCCAUUUGUUUGGCAUUUGACGCAGACUCGCCAAAUCGGCCAAAGUAACUUCAAACCCAGUCUUAUAAAACUGAGCCUGAAACAAUUUCUCCAAUUGUUGCCAUGUUUGAACAGAGUUCGCUGGAAAAUUGAUAAACCAGGAGAAAGCUACUCUUGUUAAUGAACUAGGGAACAACCUCAUUUUAUGGUAGUCUGUUACUUUACCACUUUGCAGUGUGAAUCGCCCUAUGUGUUCUAGAGUAGAUACCUCUCCUAAACCGGUAAAUAGUGAGAAUUCUGGCACUUUAUACCCUCUAAGCUAUAGAUAUGCUUGGUCUACCCAAUCAGGAUAUGGCUUUGUGUAAAUUGGCCUAAUGACAAGACGUACUCCAAAAGCCAUCUGAUCCCGUACUGUUUCCAUAAUUUCAUUCCUCAACAUGACGUUGGGGUCAUAUGGAAUUCCUACAGGUUGGUUGAUCGGUUGAUUUGCUUGAGGCCUGAUGUUUGGUCCUUGGUUGGCAACAAAGUUGCCUUAAUUUGGGCCAUUAUUACAAUGACCCUGAAUAUUUAUUCCAUCAUUAACACGUGGGGCAUUCUGUCCAUUAUUUAGGACAUUGUCUCUUACAUUUAGGUUACCCCCCAAGUUAGUUGUACCAUUAUCACUAUUCGGAUUUGGCAUUACACCAUCCCUUGGUUUGAAGUAAAGGGACCAAAAGGUGGUUCUAUCCCUUGAUUUGGACUCAGGACAGGGGGAUUAUGUCCCACAAUUGUCCUAUCUUGAAAGUGAUUUGCAAGAGGCACAACUGGCUGACAAAUUCGACCUACUAACUUAUUUUUUAGUUCAUUCAAAGUAUUCAGUUGUUUGGCCAUGUUGUCAUAAUGUGCAUUCCCAUUAUGGGUAAAUCUUUCCAUAUUAUGAAUAUUUCGUAGAUUUACCUGUUCAACGACAUCCUAUGUGAGUUCUCCAAGUAAUACACGCAUGGUUCGAGGACUCAACUCUGUCAUUAGUUCGUAACGACUGUUACUACUCUGACUCUGUCCCUCUGUCGUGGAGAGCUAUGCUGCUCCUCAUAUCGCUCGAUCACAGACUGGACUCCUCCCUCACUUGCUGCUUCCUUAUCAGAUUUGUGAGGUAUAUUGUUUUACCUUUUAUAUCUUCAACACCAAACACCAUUAUCCCACCGGGCGUGCCAAAUUGUUUCGCGCGGGUAGUCGCUAACAAUUAAAAAGGGAUCAGACGAUUGUGUAAGGAACAAACCUCUUGAAACGAAGUUUCAAAAAGGGGUGUUUUAUUCGCGAUGAUUUACAAUUGGAACUAAACAGAAUACCUCCAAGGAGCGCAAGCACACGAGUACUGAAAGAAAUGUUUAAGUUUAAAUUAAGAUAUUGAAAUUACAUAUUCUCUGUUUGAGAGUGUUUGAUUCGGGGUCCUUCUCUUUAUGUCUUCUCUUCCUUUUAUAUUCCCUUGAUGAUUUCUUCGUGACAAACCGUUUGGAAACUGUUUGAUUGCUUUAUAACUACUCACUUUCUUUAUAGUGGUUAACUUGUCGUGGAACUGCUGUUUCUAACUGUUGCUACUACUCUUUGUCGUUCAACCGCCUUCAACUGGGUUCCUUGAAUCGUGGAAUGUGAUAAGGUUACUCAAUAACUGCUUUAAUAAUUGCAUUUUUGGAUAACCAUAACAUUUUAUGUUUGCUAAGAUCCUGGACGAUUCGAAGGUAUGGGUGAGAACAGGGUUAUCGCUCUGGGCGACUGUAAGGCACUCCAUUCGCUCAAAUUUCGGGCGUCUUGCAAGCUUGGGCGAUGAUAUUACUAUGUUUGUGGGCUUUCACUGCAUUCAUUAAUAAUCCUAUCUGGGUCUUUAUCCUAAAUUUCCCAAUUAGGCUUUAUUCUUUGGGCUAUUUGAUUUGGGAUUCCUCAAUUAGGCUUCAUUCCUUGGGCUAUUCGAUUUGGGCUGCACUUUUAGUGUAUCAACAAAAACAAAAUAAAUACCUAUAUCAAUUAAACAGCUUCUUAAUGAGAAAAUCCAUAACUGAUCCAGUUUCUGGCUUUCUGAGAUAUUGACAUAAAAUAAGCUGUUCUAUUAUUUUACUCCAACAAUUCCUAAUUAUAUAUAAUUUGUAUUGGUAUUAUUCAACUAUUAAAUAUUCAAAUUAGAUUCUGGAAUCCGUACAAAUUGGACUAUGUUGAUAGAAAAAAAGCUUUAGAAAAAAAAGCUAAAGCGCAUCUGUGAGAAAUAAUAAUCUUUUUCUUAUUCAUGGCCUUUGAAUGAAAGGCAAAAGAAUGUAUAGAUUACGCAAAUGGAAUAGACAGUCAAUAAUGGCCUACUAUGUUAUAGAUAGAGCCAAUUUGCAUUGACCCGGUGAUAGAACUUAAACCACUUGUUAUGAAUGUUAAAGGAAAGAAAUAUGGAUAAAAUGAAAAUAAUGAAUCACACAGAAACACAAUAUUUACGUAGAAAUCCAAAUUCGGAAAUACCACGCACAGAGAGGCGAAAUAUUUACUGUAAUCAAUAGCAAUGAAAUACAAAAGGAGGUCCACAUGACAAAUUAAAAUUUUCCCAAUAAGAAAAAGAAACAUAUUUGUCAUGUGGACCUAUAUAAUAUGGAGAAACCAAUUGAAAUGAAACAGCUUCAUGAUGGGCUCUAAAGAAAUUCUAGACACGGAUAAAAGUCUCAUGUUCAAAUAUAUUCACACCAAAUAGGCCGGCUGUUGUAUUAUAUUGAAAUCUCAACAAGUAGAUAUACAGCGUAGAAGCUGUACAAAUGUGACGAUUAAAGCUCCAACUAGUCAGCCCAUUAAAAAUAUUUUCUUAUUCAAAGCAGACGUGGGAAAAUAGAAAUGGAAUAAACUGAUUAUAAACCGAAAAUGUAUCGUCAAAUGGCGUGCUAAUAUAUUAAAUUUUAAGGCGCAGUUUGACUAUAAUAUUCAAAUGUUUUCUACUACACCACCGCUAUAUAUACCAUGUUCAGCUGCUGUUUCCUGCACAGCUCUUCACUUCUUCUCUAUUGUAAUUCACUUAACUUUUCAACUAUUCAAGGUAAAUAUGGGUAUCUCCAACUAUUUCCAUGAACUCAAAACUAAUGUUUCUCACAAGAGGCUGUUCAAGGCUUUGAUCACCGAUAACCACGAUGUUUUGCCGAAAGUCUCCCCUUCCAUCAAGAGCAUUGAGACAAUUGAAGGAGAUGGUGGUGCUGGAAGUGUCAAAAAGACAAACUUUUCUGAAUCUGAAGGUUAGUCCAAAUAUUAAAAUCGCGAAAAAAGAAUGAGAACGUAAUAUUUUGUAUAUAUGCAGUACUAUUGUGUCAAAGGUCCUUCUUCUUUUUCUUUUUUUCUUUUCUCCUUUUUUUAAAAUUUUUAAAUUUUUUAUUAUUUUUAUUAUUUUUACGACACCAGACAAAAUAAAACAUGUCCGAAGUUUUGUUCAUUUUACAUACUCUCAUGAGCAUUUGCGUUACAUAACAGGGUCUCACUUCAAGCACAUGAAGACCAAGGUCGACUCCUUGGACAAAGAAAACUACGUGGCCAAGUUCACUUUGGUUGAGGGAGAUGCACUUGGUGACGAGCUUGAAAAGGUAUGUUACGAUAUGAAAUUCGAGGACUCAAAGGAUGGAGGAUGUGUCCUCAAGAUCACCAGUGAGUAUCAUUCAAAGGGUGAUAUUGUACCUAAAGAAGAGGAUAUUAAAGCAGCCCAGGAACAUACUAUGGGACUCUACAAGUCUUGUGCAGAUUACCUGAUUGCCAAUCCUCAUGUUUGUGUCUAAAUAAUUUCUAGUUAUAUUUCCGAUUUUCAGUAUUUCCUUAAUAAAGAACUUUGUUCUACUCUUCCAUUGAAGUUUGUUCUUAUCCAACUGUUAUCAAAAUUUAUGGUACAACAUUAAGAUGAAAUUUUAGCAAGGUUCAGGUCUUUGCCUUAAUAAAGCGAAUUUGUUUGUUUAUUUCCAUCCACGUCUAUUUAUUCCUAUUUCAUGUCGAAUUUUCAACGAAUAGUACCGAAUUUCAUCAAAUUACAUGUGAGCUUGCUAUUUAUAUCUGUUUCUUUGCACGUAAAUUUCAGUUGCAAAGAAAUUUUAUCUAGAUAUGGAGUAAUUAAAACUUCCAUUUGAUUGUAAAGGUGAAAAAGGCAAAUCAAUUUGAUAUAAGUUGGAAAAGAAAAACCACCAAAACCAUAGGAAUGCAUUUUCAAUGGAAUUGGCCAAAAACAUGUUUUUAAGUGUUUGUAACCUGGAAUUCGAACUCCAUUUUCACUUUCGUAUCAAACAGGCAAAAUAGAAAACAAAUUCCUCGAAUAUGACAUUUUAUAUUGAAUUGAAGUCAAUCAAACGGAGCCUAGGACCCUCUUAAUAAUUACCUGAUCCAAGAAAUGAACGAGGACAAAAAAAGCUGUGGAAUAGUUAUAUCUAACUUUUGUACAUUGGAUUUUUUGCAUAAUUAAUUGAAGUUACUUUUAGGGCCUGUUUGAUUGCAAAGAUGGAAUUUGGAUGAAGAGAAAAUGAAUUUUAGGGAGUGAAAUUGUCUAGAAAGUAUUUUACUGAAAAUUGUCAAUUAUUAUGUUUGAUUGGUAUAAUUUUUUAUGUUGAAAAUGUUGAAAUAAAAGUAUUUUUUGGUAUUUGUCUGGCUUUAUUUUACAUGAAAAUUGUCAUUUAAAUUAAUAGAAUUUACUGGUAUAGGGGAUAAAAUUUGUUUCCAUUGCCAAAAAAAAAAAGACAAGAAAAUCAUCCAUCUUUUAGCGUUCGUUUGACUUUGUUUUACAUGAAAAUUGUCAAUUAAAGGAAUAUAUAUAUAUAUAUAUAUUUUACACAAUUAGGGAUAGAAUUUGUUUCCAUUGUCAAAAAAAUAAAAAAAGAAAAGCAACCAAAAAAACCAAUUCCCAACUAACCCAAAGGAAUACAAAUUCCUCAUUUUCGUGGAAAAUAGGAUCACGAACCAGAAAACUAGAAAAUGAAUUGCCAGGAAUAUAUUACCUAUCAAAAAUGACAAAAAGUGAAAAUGACAUUUUCAAUUCCAACUUCCAUGAAUAAUAUGGCGUAUCAAACGGAGCCUUACUGUUUUGCCUAAAGUCUCCCCAUCCAUCAAGAGCAUUGAGACAAUUGAAGGAGAUGGUGGUGCUGGGAGUGUCAAAUAGACAAACUUCUUUGAAUCUGAUGGUUAGUCCAAAUAUUAAAAUCGCGAAAGAAGAAUGAGAACAUAAUAUUUUGUAUAUAUGUAGUACUAUUGUGUCAAACGUCAUCAAAUAUACCAUACUAAAUAAGUCAUAAAUUUGUAGUUGUCACCAAAAAAAAAAAAAAGAAGAACUAGACCAAAUAAAACAUGUCCGAAGUUUUGUUCAUUUUACAUACUCUCAUGAGCAUCUGCGUUAUAUAAUAGGAUCUUACUUCAAACACAUGAAGACCACGGUCAACUUUCUGGACAAAGAAAAUUACGUGGGCAAGUUCACUUUGGUUGAGGGAGACACGCUUGAAAAGGUAUGUUACGAGAUGAAAUUUGAGGACUCAAAGGAUGGAGGAUGUGUCCUCAAGAUCACCAGUGAGUAUCAUUCCAAGGGUGAUGUUAUCCCUAAAGAAGAGGAUAUUAAAGCAGCCCAGGAACAUACUAUGGGACUCUACAAGUCUUGUGCAGAUUAUCUGAUCGCCAAUCCUCAUGUUAGUGUCUAAAUAAUUUCUAGUUAUGUUUCCGAUUUUCUGUAUUCCCUUGAUAAAGAACUUUGUUCUACUCUUCCAUUGAAUGUUGUUCUUAUCCAACUAUCAUCAAAAUUUACGGUACAACAUUAAGAUGAAAUUUUAGCAAAGUUCAGGUCUUUGCUUUAAUAAAACGAAUUUGUUUGUUUGUUUCCAUCCGCGUCUAUUUAUUCCUCUUUCAUAUCUAAUUUUCGAUGAAUAGUACCAAAUUUCAUCAAAUUACAUGUAAGCUCGCUAUUUAUAUCUGUUUCAUUGCAAAUAAAAAUCGGUCGCAAAUAAAUUUUAUUUAGAUUUUCACUACUUAAAACUAAGAUCCCUUUAAUUAUUACCUGAUCCAAGAAAUGAAUAUGGAUAGAAAAAGCUAUGGAAUAGUUACACAUAACUUUUGUUCGUUGGAUUUUUUUGCAUAAUUAAUUGAAGUUACUUUUAUUACUAACACGUCAUUAUAUUUGAGAAAUAGUUAAACAUAUAAUGCUUUUUAUUUUUAUUUUUACGAUUAGACUAAUAAGGAUAUUGAUGUUAAGUCAGACAUAAUUUAAAAUCAAAAGUAAAUCCUUGAGUUGUAUAUUCUACAAAAAAAUAAAAAUACACACACACACACACUACGUUUGAGCCAAAUUUUGCCAAUUUUUCAUUUUAGUCCCCGAACUCUCUUCCAAUGUGCAAUUUGGUCCUUUUUCAUUUCUUUUCAAUCCUUAGCCUUUCUUUUUUAUCCAACUGACUCUUAGCACUCUCCAAUCGUCGAUAUAAUAUCUGAAUCAACUUUUAAGAGUUUUCAAUUUAGACCUCAAACUUUAAAAUUUUUCCCUUUUUUUUUUUUUUUUUUCCAUUUUUCACUCAUUUCGUCCAACUCCAUCAUUUUGUUUCAAAUUUCUCCUAACAAACGAAAUAUAUUCAAAUUUUUGUGAUAAAUAAUAUUAAAUAAUAGAAUCCGAAAAUCCAAGUUUAAGUGAUUUGUUAAUUACAAGGAGUUGUGAUUGUGAGAUACAAAUUACAUAUAAUUGGAUCUUGAAUAAACCGUGGUCGUAAGUAAUAACGAGAUACGGAUAUCGUUAAUACAGUUAGACCAUCACAUUUGGCAUUUCUUACUUGUGAAGUAAGUAGCUGAUCUCACGAGCUAAAGUGUGGUGACACUUAAAUGAACACGUGGAUGUUUGUUAUAGAACAAAAUAUUGGAGACCCACUGAGAGAUUCCACAUAGAUAACUAUCUGAGUGUCAGUGGUUAAUCUCUAACGUUCAGUAGUGAAAUUGGUUCUAUAACUUGAGGUCAUCAUAGUGCCUUAUAUGAGGACGGUCAUACUUUGACGGUGUUGGAUGUUGCUCUGCCAAGGGCUGCUAAUACGACAUCGUUCGGGUAUGUCAAGAACCAUAUGAAGGUUGUGAAUGACCAAUAGAUGAUUCAUCACUUUUAGAUGGUAAGAGAUUGUGAUCUGCAUUUCGUUCAAUUAAGUCAAUAACAAAAUCCUUGGCCAAGGUAUACAUAUAAGUCGAAAAGAAAUUUUCAACUCAUAUUGACUUAAUAGUAGAAUGAAAGAUAUGAUCGAUAAUCGAGAUUGACACACUUCCAUAUCUCGUAGUUGAUCGGAUCAUAUUGACGAAGGGAUUAUAAUUUCAUGGUAAACGAACAGUUUUGGUUUUGUCAUACCACGUGACAUUUCCCGUCACAUGUGUUGCCCUGAUACAUUGUUAGAUGUCAGUAUGGGACGGCGAGUGUGAAUUUGUGAUAAAUUAAAUGGGUGUUUAAUUUAUCAGUUUUGAUUAGAUCAAAAUAAUAUUUCACGUCAUUAGGUGUCGUGGUCGGGAACCUAAUGGGUCGCACACAAAAGAGAAUUGGAAGAUUGCAAAUUGCCAAUUGAUUAAUUUAACAAUCGUUGGAUACAUUAAUUAAUUGAAUUUGUUAUUUAUAUUCCCGAAUUAAUUAGUUCACGGAUCGGGUUUAAUUAAAUGGAUUAAUUAAACAUUGGACAGGACCGGGCCAAGCCCGUUUGGGUUUAUAUAAAUACAUGGCUAGAGUUUGAGAUCUAUAAGGUUUUCAUUAUUCUUGCUGGCACAAGAGGAAAAAUCCUACCAGUUGCAGUCUAUUCUCUGCGUGGAUUUCAUUGGAGGCUGAACAAUUGGACAGUUGUGGAAGGCAGAUUCAAACUGCUCGAAAGGAAUAACGCGAAGGAGUUUGCAAAAUCAAGAAAGUGUAUAUUUCUUAUCACAAUUCUUAUCUAAAUAUAAAGUUGAAUCUCGAAUUGGAAUUGAAAUUUGUUUAAAUCUGGUGUGCAUGUUUAAGUAAAUUCUCAACAGUGGUAUCAGAGCCAACUUUGUAUUUGUUAAGAAUUGAUCUAUAUAUUGAUUAAAUUAAAAGUUAAUUUAAUCAUGUUAAUCCAUGAAUCUAGCAAUUGUAGUUUUAGUUUUAUUUUUCUUUCCAGAAUCUGAUUUUGAAAGAACACAAAAAAAAGUUUUUUUUUCUUGGAUCGAGGCAGCGGGACAGUGGCGGCUGCGCGCACGCCACAGCCACGCGUAGCGUGCGCUGCUGCGUACUGCAGGCGCAUCAAGCGGCGGCUAGGCUGCUGCUGUGGUGGGCUGGGGGGUAACUGUCGACAGUUCCCCUACCGGCUGUUGGGCAGGGCGGCGCCGGGUAACAAAAAAAAAAUUUAAGGUUUUGGCGGAGACGGGGGCCUCUGUUGCAAAUAAUGCAAUUAGGGGCCCCUGAUUGCAAUUACAAAAAUGGGGUCAGUUUGCAAAAUUUAAAAGGGGGACCUGUUCUACAAUUUUUAAUUUGGAAGGGUCCGGUGUUAAUUUCCAAAUUGGGUUAAAUUUGUAAAUUGUCAAAAAUGAUUUUGAAUUGAUUUUAAAAUGAUGUUUUAAUUGGGUUUGACCCAUACCAUAAUUUUGAUCCAAAAUUAAAAUUUAUUUAAAAUUUGACUACUUUUAUAUUUUUGUUAAAAUUAGGUUUUAACUUAAAUAUUUAAUUUUGACCCUUAAUUGAAUUUUAUUUUAUUUGGAAAUUUUGUCCUAAAUUAAAAUAUUAAUUCAAUUUUAUUAAAGUUGGACUCUAAUAUUAUAUUAAUUAAAAUUUGAUUUCAAUUAAUACCACUUCCCAAUGCAAAUUAAAAUUUAGAGUAUGACUCUAAUUUAAUAAUUAAUUAAAAUUCGAUUUUGAUUAAAUUACUUCGCCGAAUAGUUAUGGAAUUAGAGUUGGACUCUAAUUCGGGAUUUAGUUAAAAUUUGAUUUUAAUUAAAUUGGCUCGCCAAUUAAGUUAAUUAAUUAAUAUGAUUAAUUAAUUAUUUAAUUAUCUCGAUCCAAAAUUUUGAAUUUGUUUUGAUGACUAUAAUUGCUAGAUUUAUGAGACUUUAUAUAUAAUAUUAGAUAUUAUACAUAAGAAAUAUUUAUGUGAUGAAUGUUUAUGGAUGAUUAUGGACUCGACCAUGUGGAUGUGUUGAAUGAUUGAUUUACUUCUUUUUGUUUUAUCGGCCUGGGAGUCCGUUGUUAUUAUUGUUGUUAUAGGCCUGCGAGCUCUUUAUUAUAUUGGACCUGGGAGUCCGUUGUUAUUGUUAUUAUUAUGGGCAUGCGAGUCCGUUUUCUUUUAGGCUUGCGUGUCAAUUAGUAUAGGAUACAUGUUGCAGUUUGACUAAUUGGAGGCACAAGAAGAGGUGGACACCAUGAAGAUGGUGCUUUCUGUUGAUCCAAUGUUGUAUCCCUUAGGAAUUGACCAACUAGUUUUCCUUUUAGUUCGGGAAAACUAAAUAGAACAAGUCCAUAAUCAUCCAUGCUAUUACUUAUAUAUAUAUAUUUAUUCGCAUAUUAGAUAUGUGUGUGUGUGUGUGUGUAUACACACACACACACACACACACACACACACAUAUAAUAACUUGAUGAGACUAUUGCACGUUAAAUUCCUCGUUAAAAAUAUUAAGUUAGUAUUAUUUGCCUUUUAUCAUUAUAGUGUAAAACGAGAAUCUUAAAUUGACUUUAGCUUGUUCAGUAUACUCAAGGCUGGUCUAUUAGGGAUAUGUUUGACACUAUGAAAUAUUUGAUAUUUCUGAAUGAUGGGUUUGAUUUAACUAAAAUUUAUCUUUUGUUGAGUACACUCAAGGAGAUAAGUUUUAGAGGCAUGUUAAGCUAACAUAUAACAUGUGUGAAGACAAAAGAGUUGUCAGCUUAAUGAUCUGGAAGUUAUAUGGAGAUACAAUUGAUAAUAAUAUCUACCCAAAUGUUUUAUUAGGAUUUGUUGAGUACACUCAAGAUCUUGAUACAAUGAAUGGGAUCCCAGCCCACUGAGAAUCAAAUGUGGAUUCAAAUAAUUUAUGUAUGAGGGUCAUGAAUUUAUUUUAAAUAGUGGGAGCACGUUUAAUUAAAGUCCAUAUUGAAUUUAUGCAUAUGCAUUAUAAUACAUAUUAAUUCUAUGUUUUUCGUCAUUUACAGUUUUUGAAUCAUGAGUAAUCAUAUAAAUUUGAGAGGCAUACUGGAUGCCAACAAACUGACUGGACCAAAUUUUCUCGAUUAGCACCACAAUUUGAGAAUCAUUCUCAAGCAUGAGAAAAUUAGAUAUGUCCUUGAGUAGCCCUUUCCAGUGGUGCCUACUAAAAAUUCCAUUCAGGAAGAGGUGGCUGCUUACAACAAACAUAGUGACGACAAUAAUACUACAGCAUGUGUGAUGCUUGCAGCUAUGUCACCUGAGUUGCAGAAACAGCAUGAGGGUAUGGAUGCUUACACUAUGAUUUUUCAUCUCAAGAAAUUGUAUAAUGAACAAUCUCGUGUGGAGAGGUAUGAGACCUUUAAACAACUAUACCGGUGCAAAAUGGUAGAGGGAUCUUCAGUCAGUGCUCAUAUGCUGAAAAUGAUUGGUUUCAUUGAAAAACUGGGUUCACUAGGUUUUAUCAUGGAUCAUGAACUAAGUAUUCACUUGGUUUUGCAAUCUCUGCCAGAUAGUUAUUCACAGUUCAUUAUGAAAUUUAAUAUGAAUAAGAUCGAAUGCAUACUCUCUGAGUUGCUUAAUAUGCUUAAAACUGUGGAGCCCAAUGUCAAGGCUAGCACUAGACAUGUCUUAGCUAUUCAUUCAUCCAAGGACACUAAGAGGAAAAUCAAAGGAAGUUUUAAAAAAACAUCCAAAAAGGUUAAGGGCAAUAACAAAGCAGGCAAGGACAAUACCAAAUCUGAUGACCCAUGCUAUCACUGUGGAGUGAAAGGUCAUUGGAAGAGGAACUGCAAGGCUUACCUUGCUAGUUUGAAGGGAAAGAAGUCUUCUGAAAUUUCUACUUCAGGUAUUUUUGUUAUCGAGGUUAAUAUGUCUACUGCAUUAGCUUCUUGGGUAUUAGAUACCGGAUGUGGAUCUCAUAUUUGUAUAAAUAUGCAGGGACUAAAGAGAAGUAGACCACUGCAGAAAAGAGAAGUUGACCUGCGCGUGGAAAAUGUAGCAAGAGUUACUGCAUUAGCUGUAGGGACAUACUUCUUACCACUGCCUUCGGGCUUAGUAUUAGCAUUAGAAAAUUGCUAUUUUGUUCCCACCAUUACUAAAAACAUUAUUUCUAUUUCGUGUUUGGACAUGAAUAGUUUUUCAAUUGAUGUUAAGAACAAUCGUUGUUCAUUUUAUAAAGAUGAGAUCUUUUAUGUUGUGGUGUGUUGCAAAAUGGAAUUUAUAUUCUUAAUACUGAGUCGUCUAUUAUGAAUAUAGAAAAUAAAAGGUAUAAAAGUGAUAAUCUAAAUAAUACAUAUCUCUGACAUUGCAGAUUGGGUCAUAUUAACGACAAACGCAUUUCUAAGUUACAUAAAGAUGGAUACUUGGGGUCAACUAAUUUUGAAUCAUUUGACAAAUGCGAGUCGUGCCUGUUAGGCAAAAUGACCAAGUUUCCUUUUACUGGAAAAGGAGAAAGAACCACAGAAUUGCUGGGACUAAUACAUACUGAUGUAUGUGGACCCAUGUCAAUAACUGCCAGAGGUGUUUUCUCUUACUUCAUUACAUUCACUGAUAAUCAUUCUAGAUAUGUUUAUGUGUGUAUGAUGAAAUUCAAGCAUGAAGCACUUGAAAAGUUCAAGAAAUUCAAACUUGAAGUAUAGAAACAGACUAGUAAAAAUAUUCUCAUGCUGAGAUCAGAUCGAGGUAGAGAAUAUUUAAAGUGAGAAUUUUUAGAUUAUCUUAAAGAGAAUGGGAUUCUCUCGUAGUGGACUCUGCCAUAUACACCGCAACAUAAUGGUGUAUCUGAACGGAGGAAUCGCACUUUGUUAGACAUGGUGCGAUCUAUAAUGAGCCAUGCAAACAUCCCAAAAUCAUUUUGGGGUCAUACACUAAUUGCUGUGUGCUACACAUUUAAUCGUAUCCCAUCUAAACCAGUCCACAAAACUCCAUACGAGCUAUGGAGAGGAAAAAGACCAAACUUAUCUCAUAUGAAAGUUUGGAGCUGUGACGCUUAUGUAAAGCAAAAUGAAUCAGAUAAGCUUGAGGCUAAAUCUGACAAAUGCGUAUUUGUGGGAUAUCCAAAAGAGAUAAUUGGAUAUCAGUUUUAUAAUCCCGUUGAGAAAAAGGUGUUCAUCUCAAGGCAUGCCAUAUUCCUAGAGAAAGAGUUUAUUCUAGUAGAGGGUAGCGGGAGCAAACUAGAACUUGAAGAAGUUCAAGAAUUCAUAGAUACUGUUGACCAAUUAGAUGAACCUGAGUCUGAUCCUACACCUGUUGACGAACAGACUCUUGAUCAGGAUGUAGAGAACUCUGAGGACACUCCAGCUCAGCGUAAAUCAAGUAGGAUCAUUCGAUCUCCCAGAAGGUACGGAUUCACCAUUACUAAUAAAGUAUUAUUAUUCGAGGAUGAUGAACUUACAAAUUACGCAGAAGCGAAGUCAAGUGUUGACUCGAAGAGAUGGCAAGAAGCCAUGGAAUCCGAAAUUAACUCAAUGUAUGAGAACAAUAUUUGGGCCUUGGUUGACCUUCCAGGUGGGAUAAAAUCGAUAGGUUGUAAAUGGGUUUACAAGAAAAAGGUCGAUGUAGAUGGAAACGUCCAUACAUACAAAGCAACGCUAGUAGCGAAGGGUUACACACAAAGACAAGGUGUUGACUUUGAUGAAACUUUUUCGUCUGUAGCCAUGCUAAAGUCCAUUCGGAUUUUGCUUGCAAUAGCUACAUACCAUGAUUAUGAGAUAUGACAAAUGGAUAUCAAAACUGCUUUCCUUAAUGGAAACUUACAAGAGGAGGUGUACAUGACACAGCCUGAAAGUUUUGAAUCCAAAGGAGCCAACAAAGUAUGUAAGCUAAAUCAAUCCAUUUAUGGAUUAAAGCAAGUCUCAGGAGUUGGAAUCUUCGUUUUGAUGAAACAAUCAAAAGAUUUGAUUUUAUCAAAAAUGAAGAUGAACCGUGUGUUUACAAGAAGACAAGUGGGAGCGCGGUCGUAUUCCUAAUAUUAUAUGUCGAUGACAUAUUAUUAAUGGGAAACGACAUCUCAAUGCUUCAAUCGGUAAAAUUAUGGUUGUCAAAGAAUUUCUCCAUGAAAGAUAUGGAAGAAGCAGCGUAUAUCUUGGGAAUCAAGAUCUAUAGAGAUAGAUCUAAAAGAUUACUAGGCUUAUCCCAAUCUUCGUACAUAGAUAAAAUCUUGAGAAGAUUUAAUAUGGAAGAGUCUAAAAGAGGUUUAUGUCCCAUGUCGCAUGGGAUUUACCUCUCAAAAGAUAUGUGUCUUAAAACACAUGAUGAAAGGAGUCACAUGGAUAAGAUUCCUUAUGCUUCGGCGAUAGGAUCUAUCAUGUAUGCGAUGCUAUGUACGAGACCAGAUGUUUCAUAUGCUCUAAGUGUUACGAGCAAGUUUCAAGGAAACCCUGGUGAGAAACACUGGAUAGCAGUUAAGAACAUUCUUAAGUAUUUGAGAAGGACUAAAGAUGUGUUCUUGAUCUAUGGAGGAAAUGAACUAAAAAUUCAUGGGUAUACUGAUGCCAGCUUUCAAACUGACAAAGAUGAUAGCAAGUCUCAAUUAGGAUAUAUGUUUACUCUCAACAAUGGAGCGGUUACUUGGAAAAGUUCCAAACAGGAGACAACCUCUAAUUCAACAACAGAAGCCGAGUACAUUGCUGCUUCUGAAGCAACGAAGGGAACUGUCUAGAUUAAGAAGUUCAUUAAUCAACUUGGAGUCGUUCCUAGUAUUGUUGAUCCCAUACCUUUGUAUAGUGAUAACAAUGGAGCCAUCGCACAAGCAAAGGAACCGAGGUCUCAUCAACGAUCCAAACAUGUGCUAAGGCGAUAUCAUCUCAUCAAGGAGAUUAUACAAACAAAUGACAUAACGAUAGAGCGAGUUCCGACAGAAGACGAUAUUGUAGAUCCACUGACAAAGCCAUUGUCACAACAAAAACAUGAUCAUUAUGUGGACGCUUAUGGUAUUAGAUACAUGAAUGAUUGGAUCUAGUGCAAGUGAGAGUUUGUAAGUGUUAUGCCCUAGAUCUAAUCUAUGUAGGUUGUAAACACUUUUAAUAUGUUUAAUGCAUUUAAUUUUGGCGAGAUCUAUUAUUUAUUUAAAUUAAUUUUGUGAUAAAUAAUAGAAUCCGAAGAUCCAAGUUUAAGUGAUUUGUUAAUCACAAAGAGUUGUGAUUGUGAGAUACAAAUUACAUAUAAUUGGAUUUUGAAUAAACCGUGGUCGUAAGUAAUAACGAGAUACGGAUAUCGUUAAUACAGUUAGACCAUCACGUGUGGCAUUUCUUACUUGUGAAGUAAGUAGCUGAUCUCACGAGUUAAAGUGUGGUGACAAUUAAAUGAACACGUGGAUGUUUUGUCAUAGAACAAAACAUUGGAGACCCGCUGAGAGAUUCCACAUGGAUAACUAUCUGAGUGCCAGUGGUUAAUCUCUAACGUUCGAUAGUGGAAUUGGUCCUAUAACUUGAGGUCAUCAUAGUGCUUUGUAUGAGGGCAGUCAUACUUUGACGGUGUUGAAUGUUGCUCUGCCAAUGGCCGCUAAUACGACAUCGUUCGGGUAUGUCAAGAACCAUAUGAAGGUUGUGAAUGACCAAUAGAGGAUUCGUCACUCUUAGAUAGUAAGAGAUUAUGAUCUGCAUUUCGUUCAAUUAAGUCAAUAACGAAAUCCUUGGCCAAGGUAUACAUAUAAGUCGAAAAUGAGUUUUCGACUCAUAUUGACUUAAUAGUAGAAUGAAAGAUAUGAUCGAUAAUCGAGAUUGACACACUUCCAUAUCUCGUAGUUGAUCGGAUCAUAUUGACGAAGGGAUUAUAAUUUCAUGGUAAACGAACAGUUUUGGUUUUGUCAUACCACGUGACAUUUCCCAUUACAUGUGUUGCCCUGAUACAUUGUUAGAUGUUAAUCUGGGACGGCGAGUGUGAAUUUGUGAUAAAUUAAAAGGGUGUUUAAUUUAUCAAUUUUGAUUAAAUCAAAAUAAUAUUUCACGUCGUUAGGCAUCGUGGUCGGGAACCUAAUGGAUUGCACACAAAGGAGAAUUGGAAGAUUGUAAAUUGCCAAUUGAUUAAUUUAACAAUCGUUGGAUAAAUUAAUUAAUUGAAUUUGUUAUUUAUAUUCUCGAAUUAAUUAAUUGGAUUAAUUAAUUCACGGACCGGUUUAAUUAAAUGGAUUAAUUAAACAUUGGACCGGAUCGGAUCGAGCCCGUUUGGGUUUAUAUAAAUACAUGACUAGGGUUUGAGGUCCAUAAGGUUUUCAUUAUUCUUGCUGGCACAAGAGGAAAAACCCUACCAGUUGCAGUCUAUUCUCUGUGUGGAUUUCAUUGGAGGCUGAACAAUUGGACAGUUGUGGGAGGCAGAUUCAAGCUGUUGGAAAGGAAUAACGCGAAGGAGUUUGCAAAAUCAAGAACAGGUAUAUUUCUUAUCACAGUUCUUAUCUAAAUACAAAGUUGAAUCCUGAAUGGGAAUUGAAAUUUGUUUAAUUCCGCUGUGCAUGUUUAAAUAAAUUCCCAACAAUUUUUAUAUACAUUUAAUUAAGUAAAUAAAAAAUAUACUUAAAAUGUAUGUAUAUAAAACACAAAUAUGCGGUGUAACAAAAGAUUUGUGUGGUGGCAAUAUAUUCAUCCAUAGUUAAAACAAUCAAGGAAGAGGUUCGAAUAGGUUUUCAUCAAUUUCAAAUUUUAUGCCGAAGGAUAUUCAUUUCAAAUUAAUUUAAACCUUAAUUCGGACUUAGGAGUGAUUUCAAACCAGAAGUAUUGCAUAGAAUUUGAUUGGAUAAGCAUGCUGAUUGUUCUUAAUUGAUUUUAAGAGAAUUUUAAAAAGUUAAUGUUAUUUGACCAGUUAGUCAAGCCGAAUAAAACAUUCGUUAAACCUAAACUAAUUAAGAUUAGAAACGACGAAUUUAACAUGGUAAACUCAGUCUUACAGACUAGAAAUAAAAAUCACAGCAUCUCUUUGAAAAUUGAUUAGGAGAAACUCAGAAGAAACAAGAAUAAAUAUUCGAGUUAUAUUAAUCAUAAUAUAUAUGUUUGGCUGAGAUCAAAAAGUUUACUUGUAAGUAUGUAUUUUUGUUAAAAUUAUUUUCGCUUAAUUUGGUUAUACUUGCAAAUAUGUAAUUUCAAUGUCUGGAUAAUGAAAUAAAACGUUAUUUCAAGGAGAGCAUAUUUUUAUUUAAAAAUAUGUUAAAGAAAAGUUUAGAGAUAAAAGUAAACUUAACUUCAUAAUGAGAAAAUUCAGAACUGAUCCAGUUUCUGGCAUUCAGAGAUAUUGACAUCAAAUAAGCUAUUGUAUUAUUUGACUCCAAUAGUUCCUAAUAUUAUAUUAUUUGUAAUGGUAUUAUUCAAGUAUUAAAUAUUCAAUUUGGAUUCUGGGAACCCUACAAAUUGGACUAUGUUGAUAGAAAAAAGCUAAGAUGCAUCCUGAGAAAUAAUAAUUUUUUUCUUAUUCAUGGCCUUUGAAUGAAAGGCAAUAGAAUGCAUAGAUUUUGCAAAUGGAAUGGAUAGUCAAUAAUGGCGUACUAUGUUAUAGAUAACGCCAAUAUGCAAUAACAUGAUGAUAGAACUUAAACCACUUGUUAUGAAUAUUAAAGACAAGAAAUAUGGGCCCCAGGGCACAUUUUCAAGUGGUAAAAGGGGAGAGUGGAGAAAUCCAAUUUUGCUUGAGGUUGUUGCGUCAAGGGUUCGAAUCCUGAAAUAUGGAUUUGGCUCUUGGGUAAGUGCAAGUGUACAAGCAGCCUUUCACCCUUUACCCUUGGAGGCAUAACCUGCGAUUUACCUCCCUCACGAUACUCCAGGACAGGGGUGGUGGGGGACCCUUAAAGUUAGGGUUUAACCUUUUAAAGACAAGAAAUAUGGACAACAUAAAAAUAAUGAAUCACAUAAGAUUUAUGCACAAACCCAAAUUCGGGAAUACCACGAGCAGAGAGAUGAAAAAUUUACUAUAAUCAAUAGCAAUGAAAUACAAAAGGAGGUCCAUGUGACAAAUUAAAAUUUUCUCAAAUAAACAUAAAAAAAAAAAAUGAAACAGCUUCAUGAUGGGCUCUAAAGAAAUUCUAGACAUGGCUAAAAGUUCUCAUGUUCAAAUAUAUUCACAUCAAUUAGGCCGGCUGUGGGGUAUUGUAUUUAAAUCUAAACUAGUAGAUAUAAAUGUAGAAGCUGUACAAUUUUGAUGAUUAAAGCUCCAACGAGACAGUCCACUAAAAAUAUUUUCUUAUUCAUAGCAGACUUGGGAAAAUAGCAAAAGAAUAAAUUGAUUAUAAACAGAAAAUGUAUCGUCAAUAAUGGCGUGCUAAAAUAUUAAAUUUUAAACUGUAGUUUAGCUAUAAUAUUAAAAUGAUGUUAUCCACAACACCACCGCUAUAUGUACCAUGUUCAGCUUCUGUAUUCUGCACAGCUCUACACUUCUUUUCUGUUGUAAUUCACUCCAAGUUUUCAACGAGUCUUCAUAGGUUAUACUAUUCAAGGUAAAUAUGGGUAUCUCCAACUAUUUCCAUGAACUCAAAACUAAUGUUUCUCCCAAGAGGCUGUUCAAGGCUUUGAUCACCGAUAACCACGAUGUUUUGCCGAAAGUCUCCCCAUCCAUCAAGAGCAUUGAGACAAUUGAAGGAGAUGGUGGUGCUGGAAGUGUCAAAAAGACAAACUUUUCUGAAUCUGAAGGUUAGUCCAAAUAUUAAAAUCGCGAAAAAAGAAUGAGAACGUAAUAUUUUGUACAUAUGCAGUACUAUUGAUUAUAGCAAUAGAAUAAAUUGAUUUCCAGAUUUAUUAGAAAGAACUGUACUCAACAAAAUUGAACAGAGCACGUACCUUUGUGAUUUUGGAAGUUUAGAACAUGCAGCAAAAUGAUUAGAACGUUGGAUACAAAGUAAUGAAGAUGUCAGGCUCUUCAGACCAUAUUAUUAUUAUUUUGAAACCUCAGACCACAUUAUUAUACUAUCAAAUGCUCGAUUAGGAAUGAAAAAAAUUUGCACCCUGCGCUGCCUGCAUAGUCCUGCAGUAGAAAAUUCGCGCCCCAAAUGGUAAACGGGACAAAAAAUAGGAAACAUGGUCCCCAUCCCAAAAACUUUUUAUGAAAUUGUUUCAACCAUCGCAUUUCAAUUUAUAAUGUUACAAAGUCUCCUUGCUUUCUCAUUCUCCUUUUAAUAUCCGAAAUAUAGAAUAAAAUAGGCACAAAAUAUAAGAGUCUAUAUUCGACUAAAAAAUUUCAGUUUCUGCAAAGGGAUGUGAAAUUUAAUACUGACAUAGUAACAACUUCUAAAAAAAAGGAAAAUAUUGAAAUAAUUCUACUCAAAAGCCCAUUGGUUCUCUCUUCGGAUCUCCUCUUCUUCUUCCGGAGUGAAGUCAUUUAUUAUGUUGAAUAACUUGCGGAUCUCCUCUGGCGUUUUUCCCUUAAUCAUGUCUGCAACAGUUUGGCAAGUAAGAUCCAGAAGACUCUUGAUAUUCAGAUAGUUUGCAGCCUGAAAAAUCAGAUGGUGAAAAGGAUUAGUUAAUGCCAUGAGAAGCAGUAAUUCGGAUUUGGUGUAAUAGAAUUCAACGAUAGUACAUAACACGCAAUUCAUAACCAAAUCUAUGCAAUUCUGUAAAAUUAUCACAAACAGCAAUAUCAAUAGCCACAGUUAUAAUAGGCUUAACUAUUGAUAUGAUGAAACCAAUUUCAAUUUAACAAAACCCUAACGCACAAUUCAUAACAGAAUCCAUUUAUAAACCCUAAAAGACCACUUAUAAAAACAUCUACACAUAAUUCUGCGAAAUUAGUACAAAACAGCACUAGCAAUGGCAACAACAACAAUGAUAAAAGCAAUUCUCGACAUGAUCAAACCAAUUUCAGCCUAGUAAAGCCCUGACGCACAAUUCACAACGGAAUCCACCAUAAUCCUACAAACGCAGAAUCAACAAGGGAAAAAUCAAAGAGUAUACCAUAAUAAGGUCGAAGAGUAUGGCCUGAUCGACUUUGACAAAUUCGGAGUCGAAAGCCUUGAGGUCGUUCUCUGCGACCACGUCGUUGGCAUUGGCGGCAGCGGCUUCAGCAUGCUUCUUACAGUAUACAAUGAUCAUGGACAGGAUCUUUCCGGUAACAUUGGGAACUGGGAUGGCGCUAUCGGCGCAGUCGUCCUCGAUCAUAUGUCUGAUGGUCAGAGACUCCAGCGCCACCAACUCCUCCACCUCGAAAACCUCGCCGUCAGAGCUUUUCAGCGUAAUCUUCUUACCCUCGUUCGACAUCGUUUCGCUUUGAGUUGUUGACGUGUUUGGUAAGGCUUAUUAGACGCAAAACGAAAGCGAUAAACAGAGAUGAGUUGAGAUUUGCAGGGUGCGGCGCAAUAUUUAUAGAGAGAGAGGAGAAUAUGGAAAAAGGAAAAUAUUGAAAGCAACGGCUGGGAUUUAUCGUGGAAAGUUGGAAACAAUUUGGAAAUUUUGGAUGCGGCGGUUUGGAUCCAUAGUCAGUGACUAUAAUUAAUUAUUCGUUACUCUAAAAAAUUAUUUUUACUUGAAAAUAAAAAAAAAAAAAAAAAAAAUAGAGACAGAGAACAUAGGCAUAAAACUACUUUUUUUUUUCACACUCGACCAGAUAAAACAUGUCCGAAGUUUUGUUCGUUAUUCAUAAUCUCAUAAGCAUCUACGUUAUAUGCCAGAGGGUUACUUCAAACACAUGAAGACCAGAGUUGACUUUCUAGACAAAGAAAACUACGUGGGCAAGUUCACUUUGGUUGAGGGAGACGCACUUGGUCACGAGCUUGAAAAGGUAUGUUAUGAGAUGAAAUUUGAGGACACAAAAGGAUGGAGGAUGUGUUCUCAAGAUCUCCAGUGAGUAUCAUUCCAAGGGUGAUGUUAUACUUAAAGAAGAGGAUAUUAAAGCAACCUUGGAACAUACCAUGGGACUCUACAAGUCUUGUGCGGAUUACCUGAUUGCCAAUCCUCAUAUUUGUGUCUAAAUAAUUUCCAAUUAUGUUUCUUAUUUUCUAUAUUUCCUUAAUAAAGAACUUUGUUCUACUCUUCCAUUGAAGUUUGUUCUUAUCCAACUGUCAUCAAAAUUUACGGUACAACAUUAAGAUGCAAUUUUAGCAAAGUUCCAGUCUUUGCCUUAAUAAAACAGAUUUGUUUGUUUAUUUUCAUCCCCGUCUAUUUAUUCCUCUUUCGUGUCGAAUUUUCAAUGAAUAUGACCUAGCUAUUUAUAUCGUUUCAUUGCACAUAAAUUUCAGUUGCAAAGAAAUUUUAUCUAGAUAUGGACUACUUAAAACUAAGAUCCUUUAAUUACUUAUUCAAGAAAUGAGGCUUUGUUUGAUUCCCAUUUUUUUUUAAAAUACAUUUUUCUCUCUUCUUUUCAAUCACAUAUUAUUCAUUAAAAUGAUAUUACACGUAAAUAAAAAAAAAUUUCUUAUUUUUCAACCACACAUUUUACAUCAAUCUACUAUUCUAAAAUACAUUUUUUCAUAAAAAUGGGACUCAAACACCCUCUGAAUAAGGUCAGAAAAAGCUGUGGAAUACUUACACCUAACUUUUGUACGUUGGAUUUUUUUGCAUAAUUUAUUGAAGUUACUUUUAUUAUUAACAGGUCAUUAUAUUCCAGAAAGUUAAACAUAUAAUGCUUUUUUAUUUUUAUUUUUAAGAUUAGAAUAAUAAGUAUAUUGAUGUUAUGUCAGACAAAAGUUCAAAAUCAAGAGUGAACCCCUUGAGUUGUCGAUUCCACAGGGGAAAAUUGUAUACAAUUUGAAAGGGUAACCAUGGCAGAAUUUAUAACUAAUUGCAUAGAAUUUGAAAGGAUAACUACGCUGAUUAUUCUUAAUCGAUUAUGGCAAAUUUAUAAUUAUUUAUGGUAGCCAAACAUAGGUUUAAGUAUCUUUAGAUAAUGAAUGAUUAUAUGCUAACAUUUGAGCCAAAAUUUGCCAAUUUUUCAUUUUAGUAUCAAACUUUCUUCGAAUGUGCAAUUUGAUCCUCUUUCAUUUCUUUUCAGUCCUUACCCUUUCGUUGAAAAAAGGAAUCGAACCCGGGACUCGCAAGACGAAAAUGCCACUUCUACCCAAGUUGGCUAGAAGCAGUGUCUAAAUUAAAAGUGAAUAUCAGUAAUAUAACCUAAAAAAUGUAUGUUGUCAACAAAAAGAGGGUUGCCGACGGAUCCAGCACGCAUGGUCACGGGUGCUCGCUAGGUGCUGGAUCCACCAAUGAUGACAAUUGACUAGGAAAAAUUGAAACGUGGAAUAUCACAGGAUAUCUCUGAAAAUUGAUUAGGAGAAACUCAAAAGAAACAAGUAUAAAUACUCGAGUUAUGUUAAACAUAAUUGAUAUGUUUGGCUGAGAUCAAAAAGUUUACUUGUAAGUAUAUAUUUAUCUUAAAAUUAUUUUCAUUUAAUUUGGUUAUACUUGGAAAUAUGUAAUUUCAAUGUCUUUAUAAUGAAAUAAAAUGUUAUUUUCAAAGAACCACUACCACCACCAACUUGCUUCUUCUUGUCUCCAACAUUCCAUCACACCACCGAUUACUCCAAGAUGACAUCUUUUCGUCCCUCACUUGCUGUUUCAUUACUCAAAGAGUGACCAACACCACCAUUUCACUACUUUCAAUCACCCCCAACAGAUCCAGAGCCAUAAACCUAUAUACAUCACAAUCACCCUCCAUCCUCUACUCACCGCACGACUGUAUUACAAAAUGAGACUAGGGUAAUUCCAGGAGCUAAAGACAUUUAACACGAAGGAAAGGACACAAGCAUAACUGGGGCCCAUGUGUCAGCAAUUCGGGCAACUAAACAAUGGGAAGUCAAUGCUCUCUAUUUAUUGUUAGUUUAUAAUACUGCUUUAUUUUAAAAUUGCAUCAUUUUAAAUUCUUUGUGUUGCUAUUAUCUUGAUAAUUUUAGCCUUAAACCCCACUUGAUCGGAAUUAUUAAACGAAUUUACUUUCCAUUAUUCCCCACUUAUUAACGUGAUUAAGAUUUUGACUAGUUUUUUACCCUUUGCUAAUUUAUAUGUAUCAACAGUAUCAGUUUGCAAUAUUUGGAUUUUCUUAAACCCUCAAAAGAAUAAACAUAAAAAAAUAAAAGAAAUGCUCAAGUUAUUAUUUUCAUUGCUAGUACAUGUGGUUCAUUGAUUUCUUCAUUGCACCUCAUUUAGCUCAUAAUACAAUGCAUGCGAUUACGUAGUGAUGGUCUUAUCACUUCUAGUUUUAGUAUCUUAUCCAUGGAACCCUCACGAUUUGAUCUACUCACACGGUAAAUAGCAACCAUUAAAGCCCAGAUGACUGGUACUCUUGAAGAGAGUAGGGAUUUAUCUGCUAGUUUGAACAAUUUCAAGCAAAUCUCUCAUUCGAUUGAUGCUGAUAAUUUUGAAGUUUCUUAUAAUAGACAUUAUAGUAAUCAACAAGGUAAUCUAAAAUAGUUUCGAUACAAUCAUAUUGAUAGGAUCAGGAUUAUAAGCAGGAACGUGGUUGUAACCGUCACGGUACUCAUUCUCGUCCUUGCCAUGAGAAAUGUCUCUCUAGAAACAUCAAAUCAUAUGCUUUUACCUUUGAUGAUUGUUCACAUCCUGGAGUUUUUACUCAAUGUAAUACCCUUACAUAGGGGAAUCGUUAGUAACUGAGUAUACCGCUCAAUUUGAAGAACUUCGAAUGAAAUGCCAAGUCAAUGAGUAUGAGACCCUUGCUUUGAGUAGAUGUAGCUAAGGACUACAAGAUGAUCUUAGACGUGAACUCUUCUUUCAGGGUGUCACCACUCUUGAUCAUGCUUAUUCUAUAGCUCGAGAUUAUGAGUUAAUUAUUGACACUCCCUAUGAAAAGCGUAGUGACAACCGUGCAUCCAUCUCAUCAGCAUCGCUUCCUUUGAAGUCUAUCAGAAGACCUUCUCUGUCUAAUGUUCCUUAUGUGUUGGAAAAUAAGAGUAAAAUUCUUAAUAUUUCAAGGACUUCUUCUAAGUUGCAGUACUUCAACCGUAAGGACUUUAGCUACAUCUCUUCCACAUCUCCUAGGCGAGCUUUAAUCAUUGAAGAACGAAAUAAUUUCAUAAACGAGCCAUUAGAAGAUCUAGUAGAUGAACCUAAACUUGAUGAUUUUGAUGACUUGGAUAAUAGUGAGGACACAUCCUUAGGUAAUAUUCGGACUCUUCCUAAUAAUCUAGAUACCAUACCAUUUGUUCUUGAAACCUAUUGAUUUCGUGUUGCAUGUUGUAUUCGUACCCAAACUAAAGAGGCAAAUGAUUUCACUAGUCGCUCUUCGAGAACCUGUCACCUAUGGGUAUUACUACCUGGAAAUUCUCCACUGUUGACCACCCUCAAACUGAUGGUCAAAGUGAAGUGGCUAACCUGAGUCUUAACAAUUUCUUAAAGUGUCUAGUCCAGGGAAAUCUUGGAAAUUGGGAUUCGAUUUUCCAAACAACUCAAAUUACAUAUCACAAUACUAUAAAUCAAUCUCUAGAUCUAAGUCCUUUUGAACUUAUUCAUGGUUAUAAGCCUAGGAGGCCUUUAGACUUUAUUAUCAUGUCACCACAUGCUAGUAUGUCGAUGUCAACUCAAGUAUUUGUACAUCAUUAUCAUGACUUGCAUAUUGAUAUCAAUAAUCAACUUGAGACAAGUAAUGCUUCAUAUAAACUUCGAGUUCAUUUGCAUAAAUGACAUGAUGAAUAUAAUAUUGGGAAUUAUGUUAUGUUGUAAGGUUGUAGUACUUGUUCUUUUAAAAUUUUAAAGCAUGUUGGUCAAAAUGCAUAUGUCAUUGAUCAUUUCUCACAUUUUGGCUACAACCAUACUUUAAAUUUUGAAGACUUAGUUACUUACGACGGUCAUUUUAAUUAUUUUGAUGAUCCUUUUUUACUUUCAUAUGUGGACCCCCAACCUAUAUAUACUACCAUUCCUGCUCCAAUAACACUCAUCAUAGCACAAAAGAUAAAAUUGACGCUCUUUUAGAUGAAUGGGUUGUGUUAACAAUUGAUAGAGAAAAUCGGUACUCCCUUGUUUGUUGGUUAGAUCGACAUGCUUAUUGUGUUCUGCAUUAUGCACAACCAUGUGACGAUUUUGGAAAUGAGCUGAAUGAGUAUGUACAAGUUGCACUUCAAUGUCGAUUUUCUGUUCAUCAAAAAGAUAGUCCCUAUGGCAUGACUUGGAGCAUUUUGUGUAUCAGAUUGAUAGUAGUAUUUUGUGAUUUACUCACUUGACAGUGUUGAGUUUUCUCCCAUCCUAGAAGAGUUAACGAGGACAUCCCCUAUUUAUUUAUUUCUAUUUGGACCUAUAUUUAUGUUUGGACUCUUAUUUAUAUUUAUGUUAUUGUACUUGUACAAUGCGUUUGGCCCAAGCCCACCCUUUUUAAGAUUUAGUUUUACUAUUUAUAUUAGUUCAUUGUGUAAUUUAGACAGUUGAUGAUUGAAUAAAAUAUUGGUGGCUUGUAGUAAAAUUCCUCUCUUCCUCCAUUAUUCUUUUUCUUUCUCUACUGUUUUCUUCUUUUGUCAUCUUUACCCCUGAUUUUUCUUCCAUGUUGAAUUGUUUCUCAUAUUCCAUUGGGUGUUUUGUUUAUGCUGAUGACAUCUCCAUUUUAUUUAUUUCUAUUUGGACUCUUAUUUAUAUUUAUGUCAUUGGACUUGUACAAUGGGGUUUUGUCCAAACCUACCCUCUUUAGGGUUUGGUUUACUGUUUAUAUGAGAUUCGUACUUGUGAUUCAGAUAAUGAUUGAAUAAAAUAUUGGUGGCUUGUGAUGAAAUUCCUCUCUUCCUUCAUUAUCCUUUUCCUUCAUUUAUCUCUACCCUUGAUUUCUUCUUCUUGCUAAUUGGUUUUCUCAUAUUCUAUUAGGUGUUUUUAUUGGCCCUGCAUCACCACCCAUAUUGGUUUUAUCAUUUUCCUUGGCUUGACCUCCAAUAAGCUGGAUGUGAAGACAAUGGUUGGAAUUCAUGUAGAGAUCUUCUCAAACUUCCUUCGAGCUUCUUCCUCUUCAAGGAACAUGGCAUUAGCUCUUCCUCCUCCCAUCAAGGAUUCCGCUAACAUACUAACAAAGAGUUCUAAUGAAAAGAAACUAAAAAUUCCUAAAUAAUAUGUCAACAAAUGAGGCGUGCAUAAUUGUUAAGUUGCACAAGCACAAAUCUAUCAUUAACAUGAUGUUAGUAGCGAACAAGCUAUUAACAUUUGUAUUCUUUGUAGUUUGGUAUGCUUCAUUUGUUUUGAAACCAUUUUACUUACAUAAUUCUCCUUCUAUGUAAGGAUCAAGAUGGAAAAGAUGGUUGAGAUAAGGAACUAGGCUGCUAAGCUUUGCAAAAGUAUGGAGGCCAAAAAAGCUCAGGGAAUCGUGAAGGAGAACGGAUGUAAGGAUAGGUUUAAUAAGAUAGAUGUCGAUAGGCUUAAUAAGAUGGACGUUGAGCUCGAGGUCAAAUCAGCGUCUGGGCUCAAACUUUUUGAUAAAAUAAAAGCCUUGAAGAUUUAGGGUGAAAAUGAUAAUGAGAGGGGUUCAUCUGAAAAGGGGAAAAAGGCCUGAGAAGAAAGGAUUUGGGCUUCUAAAGCCAUAAAAAGAGCUGAAGAGGUUGACGUCAAGGCUGCUAAGGUAGGUGAGUUGGACCUUUCCUAAGUUUGAUAUACUAGCUAAAGAUGCUUAUGGUUAGUCGGAUUGAGGUGAUCAAACACAUUAAGAAGAUGUGGCCUAAGUAUGAUGUUGGCUUCUCACAAGCUUUAGAUAAGCAAAGGUACUGAAGGAGAUGUCUAUGGCAGUAGGGAUAAUCAUAACACCUGUUGAUAAAGAUAAAGAAUCUGAUGAAGAUCAAGACUAGUUGACCCCCCAACUGCCUGAUCUGCUUAUUAAACGAAUUGUCUUUAAAACAAUAUAUUUGAAUGUGGUUUUUAUUUUGCAAUGUUAUUUUAAUAUUUUUAUGAAUGAAUGACUAUAUUUUGUAUUAAUUAUAGAUAUGUUUUCUUCAAUUUUGGUUUAUCGUGCUAGUCUGAUAAGUGAAAAGUUUUUAGUCUAAACGUUGUAGCACAUGAACCUUGGAUCAGACUAUUUAAGGGCAGAUCCAAAGGAAUUUCCUUUUGAAAAAAAAAAGAACUAUUCACUAAGUGUUGCAGUACAAGCAUCCUUAGUUAAAUUUUUAUUCACAAUUGUAUAAUUUUGACUUUUAUAGGGAAAAAACACUAAAUUGAAGGAUAAGAAGGCAAAAGAAAAGGAAAGAGGACUAAAGACAUACAAAAAUGUGAAGUUCGAGACCAAAUUGUACCAAAAGUUAAAGAAAAGGCAUGCAAUUUUUUUAAUGAAGACAACCACAUCCUUAGUGACUUUUUAUGGUCCACCGAGGAAGGUAGAUGGGGGUGAGGUUCUCCAGCCAUAUAUAUAUAUAAGAAUACAAGGAAGGAGGGAAAACCUGAUCUCCGAACAAUGCAAUAAGUGAAUAAAUAAGAAGCUAAUGCAAUAAAUAGGGGAGUGCUACUUCCUUGUACAAUGGAAUCAAUGUAAAAAAUGGAAUUUAAGUUACAAACCUCUAAAGCUAGACAGUCCAUGUCUGCCAAUCAAAACCAGUGUUGUAAUCUAUCAUGGUAGGUUGGAUGGUUCAUACUCUUGAUAGCGACAGUGAUCUCAAUCCUCUAAAGUAAGUGAGUCUACAACCUAGUUCAUCUCUCUGUAGAUGUGGAAAACUAUACCUCUAUCGAAGGAGAUGAGGUCUCUAAUUUGUCAAAGAGUGCUCUAAAUCUUCCGUGGUCCUCCGCCCUUGGUGAUGCAACGGAUAGCCAUGGUCAAAUCUACUUCAACCUAAAUUGCUGAUAACGCAAUUCCUUUGACCAAUAGAAUUCCAUCCAAUAUAGCUCUACGUGGGCCAUAUGAAGAUGAGAAUGUCCUGAUGCAGUGUCCUGUGUAGUUCGUAAUGAUGCUCUUCCACUCGCAAAUCCAUCUUUCAUGCAUCCAUCAGUGUUGAUUUUGUAAGAUCUCACCGAUUAGGUGGCUAGACAAUUAUAAUAGGUGGCGGUGGAGGAGGGAGGGUCAUAUAAAUACCAAAGAGUGGUGCGAGUUUUAAAUCCCCUUGCCAGUGCAUAGUGAUAAGUGCGUUUUUGUGCACUUAUAUAACUCACAAACAUAACCAAAAUAUGAGCAAAGUGUAUGAAAUGUGACCUAAAUUCGCUUGAUUCUUGGAUUGUAGGGUUUUCUAAUAGAUUUGAUGGAACUCAUGAGAAAAAGAAGCAAAAAGGACCAAAACAAAUCAAAGUGAUAGUUCAGGGACCAAAGUACAAAUAUCCAAAAUAUGAGCCAAAUGAGCAAUCUAAAAAUUGAGAGUGCCAAGUACCAGUUGGAGGUCAACAUGAGCAGAUAGAACAAAAGAGUCGAAGAAAAGAGGUCAAGAAACAAGAAGAUUGAAAUUGUGGACUAAAAUGGCACAAAGUGAAAGGUUUAACACCAUGUGGUCGCACAACCCCCAUCCAAAACCCAAACCAAAGAAAUAGAUCAAACCAUGCGGCCGCAUGGUGUAAAUUUCUGUCGCGAUUCUGCAAUUUCCUUUUUGCGUUAUAAUUCCUUUGGAACUUGAUUGUGACGCGAUAUAAAAAUCUAGAACCAUCAUAUUUCGGAGAAGAACACAUUGGGAGGCAAGAAACCACAUCUUGGAGAGGAUUUUAAGCGAAAUUAACGAUGAUUUACAUGAAAAUCAUCAAGAUUUUAAGCAAUUUCAUAACCUGAUGAUUUUUUUUCUUCAAUUUAUCAUGUAUUUAGCAAUUUUCUCCAUGAUAGGCUAGAUUUUUCAUGUACUAGGAGAUCGAUGUACUAUAUGAUGUGAUUUCUUUAAUUUCUAGUUUUCAAUUUGACAAUAAACACGUAUUGAAUGUUUGAAUGAUUUAUAUACAAUAAUUUUUGUCCAUAAUUAAGUGCAUGUAAUUAUGUGAUAUUUGGUGGUUUAUUUCAUCUGUUCGAGAGAAGAGAAAUAAAUUAGACUCGGUAUAAAUCGCCGUAGGGUCUGAUAGGGGAUAGAAAUAUAACCCUAUGUUUUGAGUGAAUCUUUAGAUGUUCAUAAAACCACAUGCAUUCUUAUAUAUGCAUUUGUCAUAGAAAUAUAGGUCGGUGGUGUAUAAGAAUAUGUUCAAUACUUCUCGAGAGAGAGUGUUGAAUAGAUUUAAAAGCAUUGAUUCGUCAAUAAUUCAAUCGUGUUGUCAUUUUGUGAAAUCAGGGUUAAGAUUGAUCAUUGCAUGGGAAUUCAUGAUCCUAGUGCUUUUAAUUUUCAUUGAAUAUAACCAAUUCACGUUCUAAACACAUAAUUUGCAUUUUAAUUCAUUAAAAUAUCAUUUUGCAUACUGAGUUUAUUACAAUCUUCAAGUUUGCAUAAUUAGGGCUUUUCUAAGAAUAAAUUCAUGUUUUGACAAAUUUGUUUUGGCGAAGGUUGAAAUAGUUAGAAUUGAACUACUCAAUCUCUGUGGGACGAUACUCGGAACUUAACAUUCCACUUUAUUACUUGUUAACGAACCGUACACUUGCGGUAAAUUAAAUUGAGAGAAAAUAUUUCGUGAACAAGUUUAUGGCGCCGUUGCAUAGGAUUGAGUAUCCGUUUAAUUUUAUCUAUAUUAGCACUAAUUCAGACAUCCAUAUUUACAUUUCUUGUUAAUUUGUUGUAUUUUAUUUCACUUAAUUUUAUUUUGGUUUGUUCUAGUUAUUAUUUCAUUUUAACAUUAAGCACUCCUAUUAACUCUUCUCGCAGAUUUGCAUGCUAAGAUCCGCUGAAGGAGAAUUGAUAUCAGCUGAUCCAGAAAUCGAACGAACUUUCCAUCAAGGCAGCAAGAAAAUAGAGAGGCACAUCAACAAAUGGCUAACGUGUAGAAUAAUCCAAUUUUUUAGGCCAAUGAAGAAGGGACAGCGAAUGAAGGAAAUAUGCUCGUGGGAGAUUUCAUGACCCCUCAGAUAAUUCAAAGCCAAUCAAGUAUCGUGUAUCCACCGUUUGGACAGCCAAACUUCCAACUGAACAGUAAUGUGAUACAAUUAUUUCAAAAUGGCCAUCAAUUCUAUGGAAGGAUCGAAGAAAAUCCACAUACACAUGUUUCUCGUUUUCUAGAGAUGUGCCAGCACUUCAGAUAUCUAGGAAUCUAAUACGAUACAAUAAGAUUAAGGUUGUUCCCACAUACACUACGUGACAAUGCAAUUGAAUGACUGAAUUUGCAACCAAUCGCAAGCAUCACCGCAUAGAAUGAUCUAGCCCAGAAAUUCUGCACUAAGUUCUUCCUACCAGCUAAGAUUCAAAAGCUCAAGCACGACAUCUCUGUUUUUCGCCAAGGCGACUAGGAGAAUUUUGAUGAAACCUGGAAUCGGUUCAAGAAUAUGCUGUGAAAGUAUCCACACCAUAGGAUUAGCAAGGGACUUCAAGUCCAAUACUUCUAUGCAGGAUUACUUCCAGCCUUUAAAAGCAUGGUUGACUCAUCAUCAAACGGAUCACUAUCCACAAAGACAAUUGAUGAGGCACUAAAAUUUUUCAAGACUAUGGCUAUCACUUCAGCUAUGUAGACAUCGGAAUGAGCAGUUCAGAAGAAGACGCCAGGGGUUUAUGAAAUGGAUGUUUAUUCUACCUUGUCAGCGAAAAUUGAUUCAUUAUUUCACAAGGUAGAAAACAUGACACAAUCAACCACCGUAGCACAGUCGAAGAAGACCAGUUGUGAAGAAUGUGGAGCUAAACAUGUAACAACAGAAUAUCCAAUUUUGGCACAAGAAGUAGAGCAGGCAGAUUUUGCUCAAUGGGGACAGCGGUAGCAAAACAACACCAAUGGGAAAACAUACAAUUCAAGUUGGAGAAAGCACCCAAAUUUCUCUUGGAGCAAUCAAAACUAGAAUAACCCAGGGUCAAUAUCAGCAGUCAGAGAAAAAGCGUCAAUUGGAAAAGAUGUUGGUAAAUUCAUGGAGAAGACUAAUCAGUAAAUGGAAGUUAACAAUCAAUUCAUGAGGAAAACUGAAGCCACUCUUCAAGACCAGAAUACAACUAUAAAAAAUUUAGAGACUCAGAUGGGACAGAUGGCAGUUGCUUUGAUCGGAAGAGCACUAGGUAGUCUAUCGAGUAACAUGAAAUUAAACUUGAAGGAGCAUGCUAAGGCAAUUACAACUCGAACUGGAAAGCAGCUACCAGAAAUCCAUGUAAAAAGGUCGAAUGUAAAUCAAGAAGUAGAAUCUCCAAUGAUAGAAGAACCUAUAGAGCAUGAUGAACAGAUGGAGGAAUCCACCCAACUGAAAAAUCGAGCAACACACAAAGUAAAGCAAACGUUAACCCUCACAAGCCUCCCAUAUCUUUUCCACAUAGGCUAAAAAAGCAGAAGUUAGAGCAGCAAUAAAAGAAAUUUCUUUAAGUUUUUAAGAAACUCCACAUCAACAUCCCACUAACCGAUGCAUUAUUCCAGAUGCCUAGCUAUGCAAAGUUCUUGAAGGACAUACUAUCAAAUAAACGCAAGCUAGGGGAUCAUGAAACAGUAAUGCUAACAGAGGAAUGCAGCGCCAGAAUUCAGAAAAAGCUCCCACCAAAAUUGAAAGAUCCAGGGAGUUUUACUGUUCCUUACACUAUUGGUGAAGUUUAUUUUGAUAAAGCUUUGUGUGAUCUUGGUGCAAGUAUUAAUUUAAUGCCUCUAUUUGUUUUCAGGAAACUUAGCUUAUAAGAGGCUAAGCAACUACUGUAACGCUGUAGCUGGCAGACAGAUUGUUAACAUAUCCCAGGGGAAUAAUUGAAGAUGUGCUUGUCAAGGUGGAAAAAUCCAUAUUCCCUGUGGAUUUCCUAAUCUUAGACAUGGAAGGAGACAAGGAUAUUCCAUUAAUAUUGGGCAGACCAUUUUUGGCAAUAGGAAGAGUCUUGAUCGACGUUCAGCACGGGCAACUGAUAUUGAGACUGGGAGAAGAGCAGAUCUUGUUUAAUGUUUUCAAGGUAAUAAAACUACCUAUAGAGAUAGAUAGCUAUUUUUAGAUCGACGUGAUUGAUAUGGUGAUCCAAGACUCCUUUUUGUUACACAACCCAUCAGAUAUAUAUGAAGCUUACAUUGCACAUUCGCAGUCAACGCACUCUGAUUCAAUGGAGAUGGAAGCUUGUGCAAGGUUUCUGGAUACCAACCCACCUUAUACGUGCAGAAGGCAUUUUAAGGAGCUUGUAACAGGACCUACGAAACCACUACCAUCCAUUCAGCAGCCACCAAAAUUAAAACUCAAGCAGUUACCACCACAUCUCACAUAUGCUUACUUGGGGGGAUCCUGUUCACUCCCUAUGAUCAUUUCAAACACAGUUAGUGAAGUGAAAGAAGAAAAACUACUUAUGGUACUCAGGGAGAAUAAGACAGCGAUUGGAUGAAACAUAGCAGAUAUCAAAGGGAUCAGCCCAUCACUGUGCAUGCAUAAGAUUCUCAUGGAAGAGAAUUUUUGGCCAACCAUAGAAAAUCAGCGAAGGUUAAACCCAAAUAUGAAAGAAGUGGUCAGAGCGGAGGUAAUCAAACUUCUUAAUGCUAGAAUCAUCUAUCCGAUAUUAGACAGUGCAUGAACUAGCCCAGUUCAGGUGGUGCCAAAGAAAGGAGGAAUAAUGGUAGUGCCCAAUGAGAAGAAUGAGUUGAUACCGACCAGAACAGUCACAGGAUGGAGGGUUUGCAUUGAUUACCGCAAACUCAAUGCAGCAACAAGGAAAGAUCACUUUUCCUUUUCAUUUAUGGAUCAAAUGCUUGAGAGAUUGUUAGGCUACUCACAUUACUGCUUCCUUGACGGGUAUUCAGUUUACAAUCAGAUACCAGUGACACCAGAUGAUCAAGAAAAAACUACAAUCACGUGUCCUUACGGUACUUUUGUAUACCGCAGGAUGCCUUUCGGCCUUUCCAACGUCCCUACCACAUUUCAACAUUGUAUGAUGGCGAUUUUAUCAGACAUGGUAGAAAAAUUUAUAGAAAAAUUUAUGGAUGACUUCUCAAUCUUCGGGUUUUCAUUUGACGAGUGUUUGGAACACUUGAAUUUGGUAUUACAAAGAUGCAGGGAACCCAAUUUAGUACUGAACUGGAAAAAAUGUCAUUUCAUGGUACAAGAAGGGAUCGUACUUGGACAUCGGGUCUCAGCAAAAAGGAUUGAGGUAGACAAAGCAAAGAUUCGGGUUAUUGAAAAGUUAUCACCACCAACAUCAGUUAAAGGGGUUCGCAGCUUCUUGGAACAUGCCAGAAUCUACAAGAGAUUCAUAAAGGAUUUUUCAAAAAUCACCAAACCUCUCUGCAACCCGUUAGUGAAAGAUGUGCCCUUUGAAUUUAAUGAGGAAUGUCUAACUGUUUUCAACACUUUGAAGGAGAAACUCACUUCAGCACCAGUAAUUGUAGCAUCUGAUUGGGAGUUACCUUUUAAGUUAAUGUGUGAUGCUAGUGAUCAUGCCGUAGGAGCAGUAUUAGGAGAGCGAAAGAACAAGAUCUUCCAUGUAAUAUAUUACACAAGCUGAACAUUGAAUGAUACCCAGAUCAACUAUGUGACCACUCAGAAAGAACUCUUGGUGGUGGUCUAUGCCUUUGACAAAUUCAAAUCAUAUCUCUUGGGAUCUAAGGUCAUAGUCUACACAGAUCACGCUAUAUUGAAGUAUCUAAUGACAAAGAAGGAUGUUAAGCCAAGAUUAAUCUGUUGUGUAUUAUUGCUGCAAGAAUUUGACAUUGAAAAUAGGGACAAGAAGGGUAGUGAAAAUGUGGUGGUAGAUCACCUAUCGAGAUUAGAACAAGAAGAACCAGAAGCGUUAGUGGAAAUCAAUGAAAUUUUUCCAGACGAGUAGAUGUUCAGUAUAGAAGAAGCCCCAUGGUAUGCAGAUAUCAUCAAUUAUUUAGCUAGGUCAAUCCCACCGCUAGAAUACUCGAGUCACCAAAAGAAGAAGUUCUUUGCCGAGCUAAAAUAUCAUUUUUGGGAAGAUCCUAUUUUUUAUAGGCAAGGGGCUUAUCAAAUUGUGAGAAAGUGUAUACUUGAAGAUGAAGUACCUGAAAUUCUUGAGCAUUGUCAUUCAUCUACCUAUGCAGGGCACCUGGGAGCUUCAAAGACUGCUGCUAAGAUCUUACAAUCAGAAUUCUAUUAGCUUACCUUGUUCAGAGACACCUUUGAGUUUGUUGAAAGGUCUGAUAGAUGUCAACAUGCUGGAAACAUCUCAAGAAAGAAUGAGAUGCACUAAACAGCAUAUUGGAGGUCGAGAUAUUUGACUUAUGGGGAAUCAACUUUAUGGAAUCGUUUUCCCCAUCAUCAACAAAUUAGUAUAUCCUGGUCGCAGUUGAUUAUGUAUCAAAAUGGGUGGAAGUAGUUGCAUUGCCAACAAAUGAUGCGACAGUGGUAAUUGCGUUCUUGAAGAAAUAAAUCUUUACCAGAUAUGGCACACCGUGGGCAAUAAUCAGUGACAGGGGCAAACACUUCUGCAAUCACCAAUUCGACAAUUAUUGAGUAAAUAUGGGGUUAAACACCUUGUAGAAACCCCAUAUCAUCCACAAACCUGCGGCAAGCUGAAGUAUCCAAUCGGCAGCUGAAGAGAAUAUUAGAAGUUACAGUGAAUUUCUCCCGGAAGGACUGGUCUAAAAAGUUGAACGAUGCAUUUGAGCAUAUAGAAUAGCAUUUAAGACACUAAUAGGUAUGUCCCCAUUCCGUCUAGUUUUUGAAAAAGCGUGCCACCUUCUACUGGAAAUAGAACACAUGGCAUAUUAGGCUAUAAAACAGUUGAACAUGGAUUUGAAGGCCGCCGGUUUAAAGCGUUUAUUGCAACUUAAUGAGUUGGAUGAAUUCAAAAUGGAAGCAUAUGAGAACUUGAAGCUUAUCAAAGAACGCACCAAAAAGUGGCAUGAUCUACACAUUCAGAGACGAGAGUUCGAAGUGGGGCAAAAAGUCCUAUUAUAUAACUCAAGGCUCAAGCUAUUCCCUAGAAAAUUAAGAUCAAGGUGGUUGGUCCCUUACACUGUCACUCAAGUUCUGCCAUAUAGAGCUAUACAGGUCAGCCAUGAAAUAAAAGGAAUGUUCACAGUUAAUUGACAAAGGCUAAAACACUACUGGGGUGGGGACUUCUCCAAGCAAAAGUCCACCGUUCAACUCGGAAUGCCUAACUGAAGUAGAAGUGGAAAAGUCGAGCUAUCGACUAUAAACUAGCGCUGGGUGGGAGGCAACCCACUAUAUCCUUUAAUUUAUCUUAUCUUCGUUUGUAGUAACUUAGGAAAUUUUGAUUUCAUGUUUACAUGAUUAGUUAGGUCAUCGAUCAUCCAUGCAUAUUAAUGGAGUCUAAGCACCCUUCACACGAAUCCCACAUCAAUGGGACACAUGUUCGGUAAGCUUGAAGUGGUUUUGGGUGAUUAGGGGUAUAAUUCACAUAUUUCCAGACAAAAGGUCAUUUUCAAAAAAAUUUAAGGGCCGAUGUGUGAUUGAGAGUUCAAAGUUUGGUUGAGGUUGUGUUUUUGGGGGAAAUCAAAUUUUUUACUUUAUUUUGUUUCAUUUUAUUUUAUAUAUACAAAAAAUUUAGUCUAUGCGGUCAUAUAAACUAAGUGUCCAUGUGACCGCAUGUACACUGACUGCAAACAAAAUGAAAAAAAAAAACUUCAAAUCCAUGCGAUCGCAUGGAUUAACACCAUGCAGCCUCAUGGUAUUACCAGUUACGGGUUUUUAACCCGUAACUUGACCAUUCAAUGACCACUCCCUCUCCGUUCAUCUCUCCCGCCCAGCACACCAAAACACACACCUCACUCGAGUCAUAGGGCACGAUUUCUACCCAUAUUCACACAACCAACACGCAAGUUCAUCACAUUAUCAAGAAUUGGAGGGCAACUAAGUCAUCCACAUUAACACCAAGUUCAAGGUACAAUUCUCUAAGCCCUAAAUUUUUACUUAGAAUUGGAGGGCUUAAGUUUUCUUAUUUUCCAACAAUUGGUGAAUAUAGAAUGCUAUGCCAUGUUUGUGCUUAUUGUGUGACAUUGGAUGCCAGUUUAGGAAGCUUUAUAUACCAAAGUAGUGAGAACUUCAAAAUGCUCAUAAUGUGUUUGAUGAAAUGCCUCAGUGAAAAUUUGUGUGCAAUUUGGUGCUUUUUGCGUAAGUAAUGAUUGACAGACCUGGUGACCAACACAUUGUGAUGAAUUUCCACAUCAAUUGAAAUAGAAAACAUCUAUAUCCAUUUUGCAACACAUACGUCACGGCACCUCACGUUACCUAAUUUGGCACAUAAUUUGACACACCAAACGAAAUCCAAUUGAUUUGAAAUUUGAGUAUAUGCUAGACCUCAUUGAAUACUUCCAUAUGCCUAGAGAUUUCCUGGAAAUUUUAAAUAAUUCUCGAUGAUGCCCGAGGUCGAAAGUGAGCACUUAGUCAUGGGCCAAAUUUUGAUAAUGUGCAUGUUUGGGCCUAAUUUUUUGAGUUUUUUCCUAUUGGCAUAAUAUUUCUACUAUCUUGAACAUCAUAUUUGGAAUAAUGCACAUUAACAUGUUACACAUGUAUCUAGGAUUAAGUUUGGGGGAUUCAUGCAUCUAUAAUCAACUUUCGUGUUUUUGACAUGCCUUUUUUAUUGCAUUCUAUGGUUUUGACAUUCGAAGUCUUAUUUUUGCAGGAUACUGCCGAAAAGAACUUCGAAAUGCAAAGAAAAAGUCGGUUCAUCCUCUGGAACUGCGAGAACUAGGGAGCUUGGAGGAAAUUUACAGAGGUUCUUCAGUGCCGAAACCAUUGCCCGGUAUGAGAAUAUCAUACGCCACUGGACAAUGAAACAUGAAAGAGCAUUUAAACUUGAAGAUUUCCCGGGGUUUGAAUUGGUAAAUUUGGUCCAUAUUUGUGGUUGGGAAAAAGUUGUAGAGAGACCUCACCUAGUUUAUGAGAAUCUCGUCCGAGAAUUCUAUGCAAAUUUCAACAGUGAAAUCGAUACCCCAAGUUCAGAGCACAUACAUCAGACAUAGGUGAUAGGGAUAUGGAUUAUGUUUUCUCAGAAAGUUAUCCAUUAUUAUUAUCAGUUGAACAUGGAGAAUGUGGUUCUCAUUCCCACCGAAUUCAACUGGCCUGAAGUAGCUGAGAUUUUAUUGGGAAGGGAAAAUAUAUGGCCCCUAGCGACUGCUGAGUGGCAUCAAAUAGAGCUCACACCAUCCACAACCGUUCUAUAGCUCUUCAUGUGCCACAACAUCGAGCCCACAUCACACAGAACCACACUUCCUAAUCAAAUAGCAGUUCAUUUAUCAUCUGGUUUGAGGUUGCGAAACAGACCUCACCACCCUUAUCUAUAAUCAAAUCUAGACAUUAGGCACUUGACGGGAUCGGCGUACCACUUUGGUCUUUCCCAGCCUCAUCAGCAACAUAUGCCGAGCUGUAGGUGUUACAAUCUUACUAGAAGAGGUACCAGAAAAAUCCAGCCCUUUAAUAAAGCGUACUACAUUUGAGGCUCAGGAGCGAGCUCAGAUAAGACAUGGGGAUGAACAAGAGAGAGAGAGCAAAGAAGACAGCAGCAAGCUGCACAGGGCCAGGGACCCGAUGAUGUUGAGAUGCACCACCACCACCACCACAGAUGGGAGCUAAUACACAGGUACUGCGUCAGAUGUCUAUAACUCUAACAAGAACUAGAUGUGAUAUAGAGGGAAUCCAGCAAGCUCUAGGGGCUUUGAUGACUGACAUGCAGAUAGCCCGGCGUGAUAUCAAUACUACUUAAAACAUGGCACAGUUUGCAUAUCAGGAGGCCUGAUCAGCAAGGAGGGAGAUGGAAACCAUGAACGAGCAUCUGAGUGUAUAUGUGGGAAGAGUGGAUGGAAUACAGAUAAGAGUGAACGACACUUGGGACCGACUGCAUAGCAUGGAGGGCAAAGUUAGAGUACAGAGUAGCAUGAUGAAAGCCAUAUAGGCAGAGCAAGUCCAGCAGUCGGAUCUACUGAGGCAGAUUUUGGCUCAUUUCUUACAUCCACCGGGCAACGACACCAUAGGACCUAGCUACCAGGCACCGCCACCACCACAGUGAUCAAGGUAGUUUUAUUUCACUCAUUUGCUAACUCUAAUUUGGACUUGUCUUCAAAAUAUGCCUUUUGAAACCUUUAUUUUUCACAUUGAGGGCAAUGUAAUGUAUAAGUUUGGUGGGUGGUGGCAUAUUUUGAACGUGAUCCUUUUUAAAAUGCAAUUAUCGGCAUGUAAUGUAAAUUUUUUGAAAUGAUCACAAUCCAUCAAUUCUUUGACACUAGUUGAACAGUGUGUGCUUGACGAGUGACUAUUACAUUAAUAUGCUGUAUUUGGCUCAUUGCAUACCUGUGUGGGUUUGAUAGCCUUGUCGAUAAUUAUGUGAUUAUUGGAAUAGGUAUGUGUUAGGAACUGUGAAUAUAGUCUAGAAUUUAAUUAACCGAUACGUGUUGGGAUAGUACUUGACAUUUCAUAAGCACGCCACUCAUACCAUACAUGUCAGGGAAGUGAUUGGGUUUGAAUAAAGCAUAAGAAACUAGAAAAUCUCGACUAGAUUUAGCCAUAAUGUAGAUCCAUAAACCAAAAUGCAUUAAUGCAUUGUUUGGAGACAGUUUAACAAUUAUAGGGGAACAUUGAGAUAAGUGGGGGUUGCGUGCAUAAAUUACGCUAUGUGGAUUGCCUAGACAGUUGAGAUGAAGACUAGGAGAAAGUCUUAAUUCGGGGGUUGAUUCCAAAGACCAAAUGUCUAGAAAAAUAAUGAAGGGGCAUAAAAAUAGGUUAAAAAAAUAUGACACCUUUCCAAGCUUUUAUGAAUUGAGGAAGUAAGCCCUUAAGGAUAUCUCAAAAUCUGGUGCCCUAAGGCCAAUUGGUUUGGGAGUCACCAGCCCAACGCUCGUUAUAGGAGUCAUGUAGAAAGCAAGAGGGAAAGAGGUCAAUAAAAAGUCAUUCGAUCGAUCCUUUAUAACUCAAGUGAAUAAGCCUGUAAGGGUUUGAAACCUGGUUCCCUAAAGCCAACUGGUUUGGAAGUCAUCGGUCUAAAGCUCGCUAUAGGGGUUAUAUAGAAAGCAAAAGAAAAUAUGGCAACAAAAAAAAAAAUUUAAAAUACAGAGUAACAUAGUAUGGAAAAAGCCCUUGGAUAUUUGGUUGAUAAAAAUCACCCUUCACUUGUUGACCUGCGAACCUGUAAUGGUGGGAUCUGUCCAAACAAAGAGAGAGUAAGGACUACAAUUAAAUAAACCCUUAACCUUAAAACACAACCCCGGGAUAAUUGAGUAAAAAGAAUAAGUUUGGGGGGUUGUGUGUCUCUCGAGCAAGGUAAGGAUAUAUUUGACCAUUCUGGGGAUAGAAUUGAACUAAUCAUGAGCUUGCUAUGUUGGUAUGAGAUCACACACACACGAUGAGUCUUGCAUCCGACAAGUAAAGGUAAAUUCUAUUCUUGCACUAUUGAAACUAUUUCUUAUGUUAAUUAUUGAAUUCCAAUCCUAAGAUAUGGCAAGUUAUUGAACCAUGAUUGUUGAGAUUUAAGUCACCAUUUUGUUUGAGGACAAACAACAAUUUAAGUUUGGGAGAUUUGAUAAGUGCAUUUUUAUGGACUUAUAUAACUCACAAACAUAACCAAAAUAUGAGCAAAGAGUACGAAAUGUGACCUAAAUUUGCUUGAUUCUUGGAUUGUAGGGUUUUCUGAUGGACUUGAUCGAACUCAUGAGAAAAAGAAGCAAAAAGGACCAAAAUGAAUCAAAGUGAUAGUUCAAGGACCAAAGUACAAAUAUCCAAAAGAUGAGCCAAAGGAGAAAUCGAAAAAUUGAGAGUGCCAAGCACCAAUUGGAGGUCAAAUGAGUAGAUGGAACAAAAGAGUCGAAAAAAGAGGUCAAGAAACAAGAAGACUGAAUUUGGGGACUAAAAUGACACAAAGUGUAGAACCCCAAAUAAUUCUAGACACCUUAGUGGCACUAAGACAUGAAUAUUGGAUGACUAAAGUAUACUUCAAAUUUUUAGUCUCAUUUAAGACCCAUUUUUGACAUAGAAAACAUUCGAUUUGGAAAAUGAUAACUAAAUAAAAGUUGUAGCUCUUUGAGUUAACUUACUAACGCACUUUGUAUUACCUCAAUCGGAUAUUGGGAGAAGAAGUUAUGAUAAAAUUACUGAAAGCUGUGCAGUGUCAACCGGACUACAACCGGUCGACCGAAACUGCCUGAAAUGAAAAUUCUCAUUUUUCUCUAGAAUUUAAAUAUUUAUUUUCAUCAAUUAUUUCCUCAAAGGGCCACCCACGUUUUUGACAAUAAAAAUCCCACUAAAUUGAAGCAUUUAACCUCAAACUUAAAUGGCACCCAUGUUUUCUCUCUUAAAUGAAAUUUGACCCUUCAUUUGCUUUAAGUUAUGGGAUAUUUACCUAUAAAUAGAGACCUCAUUUCACUCAUUUUUUCUCACACCGAAAGCAAGAGUUUUUACAUACUAAAGAAAUAAUUUCCAAGAGAGAAAAAGAGAGGGAGGAAAACUAUUUUUCCUAGAAGUUCAAGAAUUAUUUUCAAGCAUCAAUUCUCAAUGAUUUUCAAAAAUUCAAGGAGUGCAUUUCUUUCAACAUCCAAGUUUCAUCGAAGUUUUCAAUCUAAGUUUUCAAAAUUUCAAAAGUAUCAAUCAAGGUAGGUAGAGGUGCAAUGUGUUUAAUCGUGUUAAGUUAUAAAUUUCGAUUCAUGUUAAUGUUUGUGUGUCAAAUGGUACUCCGGUACGGCAUAUCCCUCUAUGUUAAUGGUUGUAUGUCAAAUGGUAAUCCGGUAUGGCAUACCCCUCUAUAUUGAAGAAAUGUUCGUAUGUCAAAUGGUGCCCUCGCGUACGGCAUACCCCUUCAUGUCAAAUGGUGCCUCUAGGUACGGCAUGUAUGAAAAGCUAUAAAGUUAAUGUUUUGAACUGUAUAGCUUGAUCACGAAUGCACCUAUGACACCUAUUGAGUUUUUCAACUCACGGGUUUAACCCCAUCUCUACAGAUUGAAGAAAUUCUAUCUCGAGCAUGGAUGGAGGAGAAGAUGGAGAGUGAUGCAACGAGCCCAUGGAAAUCCGGUGAAUAAGUGAUUUGGAUUUAUUUUUGUGAAAUGUUUUCCAAUGUUAUUUCUUUAAAGUUUUGAAUAACGCAGAAUGUGAGAACAAGUUAUGUUUUCUUCAAAUAAAUUACAUUUUGUUGUUUUGAAAAAUGAUUCAGUGUUUUUGUUUAAAGUAUUUGAAGUAUUGUUAUUUAAAUUAUUAUCCAAAGAUGUAAGCUUCUGCUAAAACGUAUAGACUUGUUACUAAACCACCUGUUAAGCUAAGUAAAGUAAGUAGCGUUCCGGUCAACUAGGUGUCGAGGCGUUACAGCGUGGUAUCAGAGUAAGGUUUAGCCGGUUCUGUAGACCAAGUAUGUUUUUUUUUUAAACAAAAGGAAAAUGAAAAGUUUAAGGUAUUCCAUGACAUCGUGCAUCCAUCCAUCAAUCUCAUCCUAUGGCCCAGGUAUGUUCAUGUUUAAAGUUAAUGAUUAUGUUUAUGUUAUGAUGCUUUAAUAUAAUUUAGAGAUGUGUUAUUUAAAGAUAUGUAAUGGACUUGGGCAAAAGCUAAGGGCUGAAAGGGAAUUGCACGAUAUGAAAGUUUAAAUAUUUGCAUUUUUUUAAGCAAAGAAAAAGUAUGAUGUAUGUAAAAACGCAACAGAUAUGGCUCGUAGAACGGCUAGGGCAUAUAGAGAAGCAUUGAGUCAUAGAAUUGCUAUUCAUUCCUAUGAAAACUAUGUAACUAAUCUGACCCGACCGCUUAGAGAACAUGUGUAUGACAUCUAUAAGAGAUGCAUGACGACGGUUAAUGCUGGAAUGGAGAUCACGCAUAUUGAGGCCAUAAAUAACCUCUUACACUCCCUCCCACCUCAAUGGGGAGAUUUAGGAGUCACGGUUAGAGAUGAAAUGUUAGAAGGCAACCCAAACCUGUUCGAGUUUGAGAGGCAUUGCCAUGCCCUGAUUGAUUUGUGGGAUGAUGUAAUCCAUGAGGAGCCUGAGGAGGAACCUUUGGCUAAGGAAGAAGAUCCCAAAGAAGAACUCGAGGAUGAUUUAAAGAAUGAUCCUAAGCCUGAGCCACAGGUUGAGAUGGACAUAGAGUCCGGACCUGAGGCGGAAGACUCCUCCGAAGAUGAAGCUCCACCAAAGAAGAUCCGUAGAACUUAUUGGGAUUAGAUUUAAAUCCUUGUAAUAGCUUCCCUUAUGUCAAGAAAUAAAAUACUAUCUUCUUUGCUUUAGUAUUCAAAGAAUGAAACUAAUAAGAACCAUAUGCUUUGUCUAAAGGAAAUGACCCGCGCAAACCAAAACUUGAUAUGAGACCUCCUCCGAGCGGUUCAAGACUUAGGCAGGCAAAACCUGAACCAAGCUCAACCCCUACCACUAGCUCCUAAUGUUCUAAACCAUGCUUCAAUGGUCGAUCAAUUUCGAAGGCACAAGCCCCCUACCUUCAACGGAGCAGCUGAUCCACGUGCAGUCGAGGAGUGGCUUCGCAAGUUGGAGCGUAUAUUCCGAUUGAUAGGGUGCACAGACGCUUAGAAAGUCCAGUGUGCUGAGUUCAUGUUCUCCGGUGAUGCAAGUCACUGGUGGGACUCAAUGUCAAGGACAAGGACCCCUGAGCAACAAGCAGAAUUGACUUGGGAGCAAUUCAAAGGGGAAGUAAUGGAAAAGUACUUUCCCCAGUCCUUGAGGGAUCAUAAAGAAAGUGAAUUCCUCCAACUCAAGCAAAAGACUAUGUCCCUGACUGAGUAUGAGAGGAAGUUUGAUCAACUUUCAAGGUAUGUUCCACAUCUGGUGGAUACGAAGGAUAAGAAGGUAUGAAAGUUUGAACAAGGGCUGAACUCGGAUAUAAGCAUGAUACUUAUGUCCCAUCGCUUCACCACAUAUCGUGAAAUGCUGGAAAGAGCUCAUGCUAUUUGGUACCAGAAGACUAGCGUCGAACAACAUGGUCAACUGUUCAAUCAACCGGACAAUGGUAACAUGGGAAAAAGGAAAUGGAAUGGCCAGGACAAGGGAAAAGGCAAGUGGCAGAACAAGAAAGCUAAUGGUGGAGCCAAUGCCAGCAAAAGCAUUGUGCUGGUUAUUGCGCCCUGUUCUAAGUGUGGAAGGACACAUUGUGGUGAGUGCUUAUAAGGAAAAAUGUCUGUUUUCGAUGUGGCAAGUCAGGACAUAUCAUUAGGGAUUGUCCCACACAUUCCCAGAAGAAGGAUGAUAACAGCGACCAAACCAAAAAGGGAAAGCACGAGUUUUUGCAUUGACUUAACAGAAUGCAGAAGAAAACUCUAAUGUCAUAGCAGGUACUCUACUUAUAGCCAAUACACCUGCUUGUGUACUGUUUGAUUCAGGAGCUACACACUCCUUUGCUUCAAUAACUUUUAUGGCUAAAUCUAGUAUUACCUGUGAUAAGUCGAAAGGUACAUUAGAAGUUAGUAUUCCUUUGGAUAACCCUUCGAAUACUGAUAGAAUAGCCAAGUCAGUAAGUAUCAAAGUUGAGGGAAAACCAAUGGAAGCGAACCUAUACAAGACAGAAAUGAGGAUUUUGAUGUAAUACUAGGCAUGAAUUUGUUAGGUUGUAAUUACGCCACCAUUCGACGUAAGGAAAUGGAAGUAUCAUUUCAAAAACCAGGAGAUGAAUCAUUUUCGUUCCUUGGAAUGAAGACGAAACCCCUUAUUUAACUAGUAUCAGACUUACAAGCUGAGAAGAUGUUGAGAAAAGAAACAUGUCAAGGAUAUCUAGUAAGUAUCUCAGGAGGGAAACAAGAGAUGAUAAGGGUUGAAGAUGUACCAGUAGUACGGGAAUUCGUAGAUGUGUUUUCAGAAGAUCUAUCUGGUAUUCCACCUGAUAGACAAGUGAAAUUCACCAUAGACUUAAUUCUCGGGGCGGCACCAACAUCUAAGGUCCUAUACCGAAUGGCCCCAAAGGAACUACAAGAAUUAAAGAAGCAGUUGCAAGAACUCCUAGAUAUGGGCUUCAUAUGACCAAGCGUAUCUCCAUGGGGUGCGUCGGUGUUGUUUAUAAAGAAGAAAGAUGGAAGCAUAAGGAUGUGCAUCGAUUAUAGGGAGAUAAAUCGAUUGACCAUCAAGAAUAAGUACCCACUCCCGAGGAUCAAGGAUCUGUUAGAUCAACUGAAAGGAGCUAAGGUAUUUUCCAAGAUCGACUUACGAUCGGGAUACCAUCAACUGAAAGUAGAGAAAAAGGAUAUACUAAGACAGCUUUAGGAACUCGAUAUGGACACUACGAGUUUGCGGUGAUGCCGUUUGGGCUAACCAAUGCACCUAUAGUGUUCAUGGACCUGAUGAAUCGAGUGUUUCAUCAAUACUUGGAUAAGUUUGUCAUAGUCUUCAUCGAUGACAUUCUGAUAUAUUCCAAGAGUAAGGAGCAACAUGAAGAGCACUUGAGAAUAGUCUUAGAGGUAUUACGCAAGGAGAAGCUGUAUGCUAAAUUCAAGAAGUGCAAGUUUUGGCUUGAACAAGUUGGAUUUCUUGGACAUGUAGUUACUGCCCAAGGGAUUGAAGUAGAUCCAGCAAAAGUAGAAGCAGUAACCAACUGGAAAGCACCAACAAAUGCUGGCGAGGUACGGAGUUUUCUAAGAUUGGCUGGAUAUUAUAGGAGAUUCAUAGAAAGAUUCUCCAAAAUAGCUGGACCAAUGACGUAGCUUACAAGGAAGGGAGUAAAAUUCCAAUGGACGGAAAAAUGCAAACAAAGUUUCCAAGAACUUAAGCAAAAGUUGAUAUCAGCACCUGUAUUAACAAUACCUGAAGGUACGAAAGGAUUUGUUAUAUACAGCAACGCAUCCAAGCGAGGAUUGAGAUGUGUACUAAUGCAGAAUGGAAAAGUGAUAGCCUAUGCUUCAAGACAAUUGAAGAAACAUGAACAGAACUACCCGACGCAUGAUUUAAAACUUGCAGCGAUAGUACACGCUUUGAAGAUAUGGCGACACUACUUGUAUGGACUAUCACACAAAUCACAAAAGUCUCAAGUAUUUCUUCACACAGAAGGAAUUGAAUAUGCGACAAAGACGAUGGUUGGAAAUGGUGAACGAUUACGAUUGCACUAUUCACUACCAUCCGGGUAAGGCUAAUGUUGUGGCCGACGCUCUAAGUAGAAAAUCAAUGGGAAAAUUGAUGUCACUACCCACCUCUCAAGUGGAGUUAGUCAAGAACUUGGAAAAGUUGUAGAUCGAAGUGGUUACCACACCAGGACAAGUCACUGCUCGUCUAGCAACUUUAAUAAUUUGACCUACUCUUAGAGAUCGAAUUAUAGAAGUACAAAAUAAAGACUCAUUUUUGCAGGAGAUUAAGAAUGAAGUUGGUACCGAUAAGAAAAAGGACUUUGGAAUAACUAACGAUCAGGCACUAAUAUUUAGAGGAAGAAUUUGUGUGCCUAAGGAUGAAGCCUUGAGAAACGAGCUAUUAAAAGAAGCUCAUUCCACCCCGUACACCGCACAUCCCGGUGGUACGAAAAUGUAUCGAGAUCUUUGAGAUACAUUUUGGUGGAGAAAUAUAAAAAGAAGUAUAGGGUUGUACGUGCAGAAGUGCAUGGUAUGUCAAUAGGUUAAGGCAGAACACCAAAAACCAGCUGGAUUGUUAAAUCCACUAGAUAUACCUGAAUGGAAAUGGGAAAAUAUCACGAUGGACUUUGUGGUUGGAUUCUCGAAGUCAGCAAUAGGAAAUAAUGCUAUAUGGGUAGUAGUGGAUCGACUAACGAAGUCAGUCAUUUUCUUCCAGUGAAAAUGACAUUUAGUUUAGACCAAUUGGCACAGUUGUACAUUAAAGAGGUUGUGAGAUUACACGGUGUACCUGUAUCCAUUGUGUCUGACAGAGACCCAAGGUUCAUGUCCAAAUUUUGGAAAAGUUUACAAGGAGCUAUGGGAACGAAGCUGAACUUUAGUACAGCUUAUCACCCUCAGUCCGAUAGUCAGUUUGAAAAGACCAUCUAAACUUUGGAAGACAUGCUGAGAACAUGUGUCUUGGAUCUAGGAAGUAAUUGGGAGUCAUACUUACCUCUAGUAGAGUUUGGUUAUAAUAACAGUUUCUAAGCAACUAUUGGAAUGGCACCAUAUAAAGCUCUCUAUGGUAGAAGAUGUAGAUCCCCUGUUCAUUGGGACGAAGUCAGAGAGAGGAGAGUUUUAGGACCAAAAAUAGUUGAAAGGACGGUUGAGGUAAUCAAUAAGAUCCGUGCAAAAAUAAAGGCAGUACAGGAUCGACAAAAGAGCUAUGCAGAUAUAAGGAGGAAUGAUUUAGAAUUCUAAGUUGGGGAUAAAGUGUUUCUGAAAGUAGCACCGAUGAAAUGUGUACUUAGAUUUGGAAAGAAAGACGAGCUACGACCCCGGUAUAUCGGACCUUUUGAGAUACUUGAUAGAGUCGGAAAUGCGGCUUACCGACUAGCUUUGCCACCUGAAUUAUCGACAGUGCACAAUGUGUUUCAUAUAUCGAUGAUAAAGAAGUAUGUACAUGAUCCUAAUCAUGUAAUGAGUUAUCAAACCCUGGGGGUACAGAAAAAUUUGUUGUACGAGGAACUACCGAUCAAGAUAUUGGAUCAACAAGUGCAUAAACUAAGGAAUAAAGAGAUUCAGCUGGUUAAGAUACAGUGGAAUCAUCACGGCGUAAAAGAAGCCACUUGGGAAAAAGAAGAAGAAACCAAAGACAAGUAUCCAACGCUAUUCGCCCAAUCAGAAGGUAAAUUUCGAAGACGAAAUUUUAAUUAAAGUGUGGGGGAGUAGAACCCCAAAUAAUUCUAGGCACCUUAGUGGCACUAAGACAUGAAUAUUGGAUGACUAAAACAUAUUUCAGAUUUUUAGUCUCAUUUAAGACCCAUUUUUGACAUAGGAAACAUUCGAUUUGGAAAAUGAUAUCUGAAUAAAAGUUGUAGCUCUUUGAGUUAACUAACGCACUUUGAAUUACCUUAAUCGGAUAUUGGGAGAAGAAGUUAUGAUAAAAUUACUGAAAGCUGUGCAGUGUCAACCGGACUACAACCGGUCGACCGAAACUGCCUGAAAUGAAAAUUCUCGUUUUUCUCUAGAAUUUAAAUAUUUGUUUUCAUCAAUUAUUUUCUCAAAGGGCCACCCACGUUUUUGGCAAUAAAACCCCCCACUAAAUUGAAGCAUUUAACCUCAAACUUAAAUGGCACCCAUGUUUUCUCUCUUAAAUGAAAUUUGACCCUUCAUUUGCUUUAAGUUAUGGGAUAUUUACCUAUAAAUAGAGACCUCAUUUCAUUCAUUUUUUCUCACACCAAAAGAAAAAGUUUUUACAUACUAAAGAAAGAGUUUCCAAGAGAUAAAAAGAGAGGGAGGAAAACUAUUUUUCCUAGAAGUUUAAGAAGUGUUUUCAAGCAUCAAUUCUCAACGAUUUUCAAAUAUCCAAGGAGUACAUUUCUUUCAACGUCCAAGUUUCAUCGAAGUUUUCAAUCCAAGUUUUCAAAGUUUCAAAAGCAACUUUUUCAACUCACGGGUUUAACUCCAUCUCUACAGAUUGAAGAAAUUCUACCUCGGGCAUGGAUGGAGUAGAAGAUGGAGAGUGAUGCAACGAGCCUAUGGAAAUCUGGUGAAUAAGUGAUUUGAAUUUAUUUUUAUGAAAUGUUUUUCAAUGUUAUUUCUUUAAAGUUUUGAAUAACGCAGAAUGCGAGAACAAGUUAUGUUUUCUUCAAAUAAAUUAUAUUUUGUUGUUUUGAAAAAUGAUUCAGUGUUUUUGUUUGAAAUAUUGUUAUUUAAAUUAUUAUUCGAAGAUGUAAGCUUCCGCUAAAACGUAUACACUUGUUACUAAACCACAGGUUAAGCUAAGUAAAGUAAGUAGCGUUCCGGUCCACUAGGGGUGGGGGCGUUACACAAAGUGAAAGGUUUAACACCAUGCGACCAUACAACCCCCAUCAGAAACUCAAACCAAAGAAAUAGAUCAAACACCAUGCGAUUAAUUUCUUUCACGAUUCUACAGUUUCCUUUUUGCAUUAUAAUUCUUUUGGAACUUGAUUGGGACGCAAUAUAAAACCCUAGAACCGUCAUAUUUUGGAGAAGAACACAUUGGGAGACAAGAAACCACAUCUUGGAGAGGACUUUAAGUGGAAUUAACGAGGAUUUACAUGAAGAUCAUCAAGAUUUCAAGCAAUUUCAUAACCCGGUGACGUUUUUUCUUCAAUUUAUCAUGUAUUCAGUAAUUUUCUCCAUGAUAAGCUAGAUUUUUCAUGCACUAGGAGAUCGAUGUACCAUAUAAUGUGAUUUCUCUAAUUUCUAAUUUUCAAUUUGACAAUAAACACGUAUUGAAUAUUUGAAUGAUUUAUAUACAAUAAUUUUCGUCCAUAGUUAAGUGCACGUAAUUAUGUGAUGUUUGGUGGUUUAUUUAAUCUGUUUGAGAGAAGAGAAAUAAAUGAGAUACAGUAUAAAUCAUCGUAGGGUCCAAUAGGGGGUAGAGAUAUACCCCUAUACUUCGCGUGAAUCUUUAGAUAUUUAUAAAAUCACAUGCAUUCUUAUAUAUGCAUUUGUCAUAGAGAUAUAGGCCGGUGGUGUAUAAGAAUAGGUCCAAUAUAUCUCGAAAGAGAGUAUUGAAUAGAUUUAGGAUCAUUGAUUUGUCAAUAAUGUUGUCAUUGUGUGAAAUUAGGGUUAAGAUUGAUCAUUGCAUAGGAAUUCGUGAUCCUAGUGCUUUUAAUUUUCAUUGAAUACAACCAAUUCACGUUCUAAACACAUAAUUUGCAUUUUAAUUCAUUAAAAUAUCAUUUUGCAUACUGAGUUCAUUCCAAUCUUCAAGUUUGCAUAAUUAGGAUUUUCCUAAAUUAGAGUUUUUCUAAGAAUAAAUUCUUGUUUUGAUAAAUUUGUUUCGGUUAAGGCUAAAAUAGUUAGAAUUGAAAUGCUCAAUCUCUGUGGGAUGAUGCUCGGAACUUAGCAUUCCACUUUAUUACUUGUUAACGAAUCGUACACUUGUGGUGAAUUAAAUCGAAAGAAAAUAUUUCGUGAACACACAGCUCUAAAAGUCCUGCAAUAUGAAGAAAAGAGACCAUACGAUAUACCCUCAAAAUAAUCCAUCAAGCUACCAUGUGGAUCUUCUUAUGCUUCACAUCAUUCCUUUCGGUCCAUAAAAACCAAAAUAUUAGUAGAGGAAUGAUAGUGCGAAUGCGUACACAGCGAAUGUACUGUCUAUAAUAUCUCCAUCUCUAGAACCUCUAUCUAACUCCCUCUUCUAAUCUCAUAGGUAUUUAUAAAAUGUCUUCAAAGUGUUGCCAUACCAGAUCAGAGAUGCUAGUGCCUAUGAAAAUAUGAUUGAUGGUCUCAAUCUCAAAGCAAUACUAACAUCGAGAAGCCAACUGGUACUUAAUCUUCCUCUAAAUGACUAUAUCUACUAGAAUGAGAUCCUACUAUAAUCUUAAAUAGAAAAAUGAAAUAGAAGUAGGGAAAAUGGAACUCCACAGUAAUCGAUACGAGCCCUGAGAUUGGUGAACCGAAUAGAUUAAUUACCAUGCUGAGUUGGUAGAAAAGCUAUCAUCUAAUGUAAUCCUUCAAAAAAUAUGGUCCGGGGCAUCUACACAUAAAGGUAUCGUCCAUAUUUGCCCUGUCAUGUAAGGAUGAAGAGCCUGUAAUAAUAAUCCAAAAUCCCACCUAGUGUCAUCAAAAAAUUUCUAUACCCUUGCAGAUGUGUAUUGCCUAUUUGGGAAUAAGGAUGCCAGUGUAGUAUCACGAUCCAGCAAUCAUGCUAGAAGAACGUUUGUCCAGUACCAACUCCUCCAGUGUAAUCGGCAUACCUGUUCUUUAGAAUCCCAUAGGAACCAUGUAAAGAUGCUCUCCAACUUUUUCAGUAUAGCCUUAGAAGGCCAUAUAAUUUGGAAAAGAUAAAGUGGUAGAGAGGAUAGUACUAAUCUUAAUAGAGUAAUUUAACCCCCACGUGAUAGUAGUCGAGAAGCCUAGCCUGAUAUCUUGCUCUUGACUUUCAUGAUGAGGUCAUCAUAAAAAAAAAAAAAAACUUUUCUUGGCCCCCUUAAACAAGGGGACUUCCAAAUAAGUAAACGACUGCUGCUAAUAAGUAAACCCAAUUAAGGAUACAAGUCUCCUCAUCCAAAUAUCUUAUGCCCGUCUAGGUAGUAUAAGACCGCUUUGUCUUUAUUCACCAACUAGCCAAAAACCCUUUCGCAAUGAUCCAGACGAUUAAGAACCUUCUGAUAGACUGUUUCCAGCCAUUAGCAAAUAUGAUCAUGUCAUCAGCAAAAGAAAGGUGUGAGACAUGAGUGUUGCCUCCAUGCCAAUAUCGUAUAUUGGAGUAGGCCUGAAACCUCUGAGUGAGAAGCGAGAUAAAUAAUCUACAGCAAUAAUGAAUAAGGAAGGUGAGAUGGGAUCACCUUGUCCGAGCCCAUGUAAGGAUGGAAAGAAACCAUAGGGAGGGCAUAGUCAAAAGGAAAGUCAAAAUUUGAAGAUUAAAAUGUAUAAGAUUAAAGUUGAGGGACUUGAUAUGCAAUUAGAGAGGACAAAACUCGCAAAGAAACUACAGCAAGGUACCACGGCCAUAACUUACAAAUCAGUUCAAUCACACGACUUGGCAAAUGUUUGGGCAGUAGCCUCAACCCAUUGUCUACGUGGCUACACUAGGGUUGUUGGUUCGGCUACGCCGGCCAUUUCGAGACAAAAAAAAAGUUUGGUUCAUGUUUAAAAUUUCAAUUCAAUUUUGGGGGCUUUUUGUUAUUUUUUAGGGCUCGUUUUUGGGUCAAAUAUAUACUAAAAUUUUUAGCACUAAGUCCAUUACUCUUCAUCCCUCUCUUGAUUCUUCUUCAUUUUCUUUUCAUUUUUGGGAGAAAAAGACCUAAACAAGGACACAAAAAAGGAAAUAACUCAAAGGAAGUAGAGAAAAUUUGAGAAAAUCAAGAUCAAUACAUAUCAUUGCUUCAAUAAUCCAACCAAAAAGGGGUUUAUCUUUAAUCUUGUAUUUUACCAUUAUUUUCCCCUAUUUGUAAUGUAUUCUAUGAAUCUUCUCCUUUUUUUAUCAUUUAUAUAUAUAAUGAACUAGUUCUUGAUGUUGGGAUUUAUGAUGUAGCUUAACCUAACAUUAUUUAUUUUAAUACUUGCUCUUUAAUGUUAAGUUAUUUAUUUUUGUUUGUGUUUAUUAUUGUGUUGUUGCUCUUCAUUUAUUUGGCCAAUAAAUGUAUGUGUUUAGUGAUUGCUCUUCUUUUAAUGUGGUUUGGUUAUAAUCCACAUAGAGUUAUAAUAGGUUAAACCAAUUCAUUAAGGAUAAUUUCAUUCAAGAUAGGUAAUUAACUAAAAUCGGAAAAUCGAGUCUAACAUUCUAAAUGAGUAAUUUGUUAAUUUUCUUGUGAAGAAAUCAUUUUAGUGAAGGUUAAGCGAAAUCAUGAAUCCCAACUAGUUUAUCUUAAAAAUUUCCUCCAUUAUUGGAAUUCUUAUUUUUGUAAAGUUUCUAGAUAUUUUUCUUGUAUGCAAGAAUUAAAAAUUAUUUUGUGUGUUUUGUUGUUAAAAUUAAAAUGACUUGAGUAAUGUAAUUAAAAAUAAACAAACCUCGAGGAAUCGACUUUGACUCACAAGUCUACUUUAUUACUUGACUGCAACCUGCACACUUGCGUUACGUAAUUUUAGCGGGCAAAUUUCUAAUGUUGUUGUCGGGAAAUGCAUUUACUUUGAUUACGAGUUUAGCUAAUUUUAUUUUUAACAAUUUUUUUUUAUUAUUUGCUUUUAUUUUUUUACCUCUUGGCUAACCCCCACAAUUUUAAUCUUUCCUUUAUUUGGUAAUCUUUCCAUAUACUUUUUUGCUAUAUUUUCAUGAUUCUAAUCGUGGUAAAGUAGAAAAUAAAAAUUAUGCAAUGACUAAUCUCUAUAUGGAUUAUGGAUAUAGCUUGGUGGAGAUCCAAGAUGUGAAAUUUGUUGCGGGAUGCAUUGCCUUGAACAAUGUUCAUAUUUGUGCACUGUUGUAUUCAAGUCAAAACUUCUUUGGUUUAGACAAUACUCUAGGUGUCGAAAGCAAGUAGUUGAUAAUUCUGAUGAGAGAUAUAUGCUUGUGAAAGAUUGUGUACCUGGAGAUUAAAACAAGGACAUCAAGCUUGUGAAGAUGGUCAUCUCCUAUUGAAUGAGAAGGUAUUUGCAAAAUAUUAUCAUGAACUUGCUAAGUUGGAUGAAGAUAAUAUGCUUAUGGGAGAUUUCAUGUAUUGGGAUGAAUUUCAAAAGUAAGGGCAUAAUCCACUUGAACGAGCUUAUAGGAAAGACUUGCCAUUCCCUUAGAAUUCGAUUGUGGAUUAGUCAUUCAGUUUGAUUAGAUAUCAACUAUUGACGAAAGAUCAUAGAGAAUGAUAGAUUAAUCACAAAUAAAUUGAACGAAAAUGUGGCAAUUAAUGAGGAUUCAUCUUCCGACUUCAUUGAUUGUCCAAAAAUCAAUUUUGUGAUUAAGUUUGAUGAGAAGAUAGAAAUCUACAUAGUUGAAGUUGAAUCGGAUGGAAUAGACAAAUCAUCUUAUAUUGAAAGAAAAAAUAUUGAGUUUUGGAGAACAAAUGAAGAGUGGAGCAAAGCCAAAAAUAGAAAGAUGUGCAAGGUAUCUAAAGCCUUCUUUAGAUUCCCAUGAUGUAAAUUUCCAAAGUCGCCCUAAAAACUAUAAAGCAAAAAAAAAAAAAAAAAAAAAAAAAAAAAAAAAAAAAGAAGAAGAAGAAGAACCUAUUAUUAGGAAGCAACCAAAUCUUCUUACACUUAAUCUUUUUAUGUUUUCAUUUUUGUCAUUAAAUAUAAUUUUUGUAGUUAUAUAAUUUUUUUGAGGUCCUAGGUUGAUCUUGGUUCUCAACAAGCUUGAUGUUCAUUUUGACUCUGUUGGUUACACUUAGCAACUUUUGAUUUUAAACCAUUUAAUUUACUUCUUUCUUGUGAUUUUGAAGGACACCACAACUCAUUCCAUGAGAUGCUUGUUGAAGGAUAUGAUUUGAAAUCAAGUUGAGGAUUGAUCACAAGUUUGUGGGUGAAUUAUAUCUGAACUAUUAAAGAGCAUCACAAGUCCAAGCCGAGCAUGGCACCUCCUCACCAAAUGUUCAAUCGGGAAAGCUUCGUUAACCUCUCUUCUCUUUUUAUCUUGUUCUUUUGCACAUUGAGGGUUUUGUGUGAUUUAAAAUUUGUGGAUGAUUGUGCUUAUUUAUUUUGAGCUUAUUCUAUGUGCAUGUUAGAUAGCCUUGUCGACUAAGGAUGUUUUAAUGUUUAAAAUUGUUAUUGAUUCAUGAGAUAUGACCAAGUAUGCUAUUUGUGCCUAGAAAAAAAAAUUGCUUAACCAUAUGAGAUCAUAAGUUACUUUGAGCACAAUAGUCAAUAUCAUGAUUAUGUGGAAAUUAUUAAUUGAGGAGAGAAUUUUGAAUUGGUAGAACUAGGUCGUGAAUUUUAAAUUUUAUGAAGAAUUCUUUUUUAUCAAUCUACUUUUUUAAUAAUUAUAAGAUAGGUAAUGACCAUGUACUAGAGAUCUAACCUUCAUGUAUUUUUGUUGUGCUUGAAAAAGGACAUUGCACUUGUUAAAUCUUAUGCCUCACUCUAUAGCCUUUUUACUUGAGUUAUUAAAUCAAUAGGGUAUCUCGAAAUCUAGUACCCUUUGGUCUAAAAAAUCGAUGAAUUAUCAAUCUAAAGAUCAUUACAAUGGUCAAGAAGAAAGCUUAAAUGAGCUUUAAUUGAAAAAAGAAAUCAAUAUUGUGCAAUUGUACUUCAUUUUUGGGCUUAGAUAACUAGUGGUCUAAAUUACUCAGUAUAAGCUUAAAUGUCGAAUCACUCAAUUAGUGGAAUAUUAACACUUGAUUAGAUGUUGGGAUUGCCGAUCAGACCCAAUCGAAUUAAGUGAGAAAAAGAAAAGAGCGAUUUGAGAACAACCUUUAGAUUUACACCUUGAGAAGAAAUAAACAUCUAUUUGGGGGUUACAAAUAUCACUAGUGGGAAAGAAAAUAUAUGACCACAAAGUGUCGGGUUGGCACCAAUUUGAAAAUUCUUUUCCUUCUUUACAGCUUUUUAAUAAUUUAUAUAAUGAUUGAGAGUGACUAUGCAUACGCACACUAAUCAAAUAUUGGAUAAGCUUGAAUUAUUUUUGGUAGCAUAAUUUGGAAACAUAUUUGUGAAUUGAUUACACAAUUUUACACUCAUGGAGUUAUUGUGGUAAGCUUUCAAAUAUUGUUGAUCAUUAACAAGUGUUGCUUGAUUAUGCCAGUAAAUAAUCUUGUUUGGGGCGAGGAAGAACUUAAGUUUCGAGGCGUUUCAUAAGUGUAUUUUUACACACUUAUUUGAUACUUAAAAUAAGCUUAUUAUUGAUUAAAGGAGUGGUUGCUUCUCACAAUUGUGUAAGUGUGGCUUUUAUAGGCUAAAACUCCAAAGUGAAGAAGAUGAAUGUAAAAGGAAAGGAAAAAUGACUAAAAACGUACAAAAAUGUGAACUCGGGGACCAAAUUGUACUAGCUCAAAGUUUCUACCCAUUUUUGCAAUUCCAGUUCCAUUUUGGGUACUUUUUGGGCUUGCUUUUAGGUCAAAUAUAUACCAAAAUUGGCCACUUAGCCCCUUAUUCUUCAUCCCUCACUUAAUUCUUCUUCACUUUCAUUUCAUUUUUGAGAGAAACGACCUAAGAACAAGGGCGAAAGUGAGGAGAAAAACUUGAAGUGGAGAAAUUUUGAGAAAUGAAAGAUCAAUCCAUAUCAUUGUUUAAAGAAUCUAACCAAAAAAAGGUUUCAUCUUUAAUUUUGUAAUUCAUUCAUUAUUUUCUCUUAUUUGUAAUAUAUUGCUCUGAAUCUUCUCCUUCUUUUUUUAUUAAUUAUAAAAAAAAUGAGCUAGUUCUUGAUGUUGUGAAAUAAUGGAAGUCAAACGAGAGCUGAAUACGUAGCUUAUGUGUAUGCGUACACACCAUUACAUAAAAAUUUCAUUGUACAACAAUCAUUGAUCUUGAUUUUGAUAUAGUGAAUCCUCCUCUUCCGUCUGUGAUUUUUUCCAUCUUGAAUUUUCAUGUAAAAUCUUGACGUUCUUGUUUGUGAUUGAUUUAUUUCAUUUUGCAAUUAUCUUGUUUCAUUCAUAAAAAAAUAUGAGUCAAAAUCAACAAUUAAUUUUAAUCACACAUUUUAUGAAACCUACUACUUUUAUUAACUCUUACACCACACAUUUUUAUACAUAUAUAAACUUAAUUUAGUUCUUGUUUGAUUUUGCUAAUAAUUAGGUUUUUUAGUAGAAUUGUUACGAUACUGAGAUCAAGAGUCACGUAUGAAAAUUAUAUGUUUUUACCUUAAAAUUAAGAAAAAGAAAACAUGUUUGGCUCAGUAUUUAGCUCAGUUCAAGGGGCAUGUGUACCUAAGUUUAAAAAAUUUUAAAGUUACUUUUGAGUGAGGUUAGGUGUUCAAAUUUAUACGGAUAACUCAGUUUAAAGUAAAGAUUGCCUUUUUUAGUAAAUAACUUUUACUUAAUAAGAACACUUUUUUAACUUUUACCGAACAAAAAGUUAAUUAUUCUUUAAAAAAACUUAUUUAUUUAAUUAUAAGUAACCUUUUUAAUUUGGCCAUAAAUGCUUUUAAAGUGAGGCAGUAUUCAAAUUAGCAUGGAUAACUCAGUUUUAAAAAUUAUACUUCUCAAAAAUAACUUUUAUUCAGCAACUAGCUUUCAACUUUUACCAAAAAAUAUUUAACUAGUCUAAAAACUAAUUAUUUACUUAUAAGUAAUUUUUUUAAGCUUGGCCAAAAAUGUUAUUAUGAUUAAUUUUACUUGAUUAUUUAUUUAUUUUUUUCCCCUGAGUUUCUCCUAGUCAAUUGUCAAGGAUACGCAAUAGUGUUUCAUGAUUUCGGUUUCUUAGUCAAUUUUCAUCAACCAAUUAUAAAUAAUUGAGACCUUAAAAGAUAACUUUCAUACAUUGAAUUUGGGUCAAGAAAAGGAUAUCAUGGAAUAGUCAUAAAUAUCUUUAUUAUCUUUAAUGGUGAAAUGAAAAGAAAUGAGUCCAGAAAAUAAUAUUCUUUGUUAAGAUAAAUGAGGAAACACAUUUUGUUUUCAAUUGAAAUUUCUAAUAUGUUGGCUUUCUUAAUUUUUCGGAUUAGUUAGAGGAUCAAACUUUCAUUUGAAAUAUGUUGUUGACGAAAUAACACUUUAAAUGAUGGAGUAUUGACAAUGAUUAUCAACUUCACCUCAAGAUUAUCACAAAAAAUUUGAAUUCUAGAGUUCGUGUUUCAAUGAGUUCCACAUUUCGGGUUGGUGGUGGCAAUCGCGUUGUCUCGGUUCAUAAAAGCUCAGCUCUUGGAUGGUUUGUGAAAAUUAUACAAACUAAUUUGACCUACCAACCAAAGGAGAAAAACAAUUAAGAGGAGAAGGAGAAGAUAUAUUAUAGAGCCACAAAAAAACUAGUGUAAAAUUAUGAACAAAAUAGUUUAUAUAGUACGAGGAAACCUAUAAAAUUUUGGAAACUAACAUAAUAAGGAAACUAAUAUAUAUAAUUAUGUUAAAUAUAUUAUUAAAUUAUUAGUUUGGACUCGUUUUGAUGGGACGAGCCUAAAGUUCAUAGAAGAUCACUAAAUUAGUGAUGUAUGGGUCUCAAUUUGGAAAGUUAAGUAACAUUCUAGGAACAUUUUGCAAAGUUCGGUGACUACUUAGGGAAGUUUCGAAGUUCAGUGACCUCUUGGGAGCUCUUUGCAAAGUUCACUAACUAUUUAGAGAAGUUUUGAAAUUAGGUGACAUCUUGGCAACUUUUUGGAAAAGUUUGGUGACUAUUUGGAGAAUUAACCCAAAUUGCUAAACUUUUGUUCACAUAGGAUCCUUUGAUGACUCCAUAAUGCCCAGCGAAGUCUUAGCUUCACCCUUGGAUGUAUGAUCUACUCUUUCUAGCACUUGAUUUGACUAGGAAAUAUUGUUUGGUUUAUAAGGUUAAAUAAAUAAAAAAAAUCAACAACUACUUGUCGAUAAUCACAUUAUGAAUUCGAAUCCAACUAAAAGAUCGUGUAUUUAUUAGAAAGAAAAAAAAAAAAGAAAAGCCAAAUACAAAAUGAAAAUUGUAAAAAAUAAAUUGGGCAACUUCAUAAUGAGAAAAUCCAGAUUUGGUUCUGGUUUCUCGUUCUCAGAUAUAUUCACACAUAAAAUAAGAUUCGGUAUUAUUUACUUCGAAAGUUCCUAAUAUAUUUAGAAUUUCUUGUGGUAUCAUUCAACUAGUAAAUAUUAAAUCUGGAUUCUGGAAGCUGUACAAAUUGGACAAUGUUGAUACAAAAAAGCUAAAAUAAUGAAUCAAAAAUUUUAAUUUUUUUUCUUAUUUAUGGCCUUUGAAUAAAACGCAAAAGAAUGCAUAGAUUUUGCAAACGAAAUAGAUUGUCAAUAAUGGCAUGCUAAAAUAAUGAAUUUUCAGCUGCAAUAUAAUAGUAUAAAAAUGAUGUCACCACUCCCUCACACCUAUAAAUUCCCUCUUCAGGUUUUGUUUUCUACACAGCUCUCAAUUUUUGUUCACUUCAUUUGAGUCUUCCUAGGUUAUAAUAUUCAAGAAAAAAAAUGGGUAUCUUCAAGUUUUUCUAUGAAAUCAAAGCUAAUGCUUCUCACAAGAGGAUGUUCAAGGCUGUGAUGAUUGAUAACGCCGAUGUUUUGCCGAAAGCCUCCCCAUUCAUCAAGAGCAUAGAGACAGUUCAAGGAGACGGUGGUGUUGGAAGCAUUAAGCAGACAAAUUACGGUGACGGUUAGUCUACAAUUCAGUAUCACAAAAAAAGGAUGAGAAUAUUAUAAUUUAUUUGCCAUACGGAUAGGAUAUACCUAUCAUUAAUCAUGUCCUAUAAUAUAUAUAUAUAUCGUUUGUAAUUACAUACAAAUCAUUUUUAAAAAAAAUACAUCUUAGGGUAAUACUAUAUAGCAUUGGAUGGACAAGAUAACAUCUUCAUUGAUCAUGUACAAUCUUGUGUAAUCGAGGGUAAUAUUAGAUUCUUUUUUACAUAAUUUGAUGGAUGAGUAAUUGUGUAAUCCUGCAGAAUCUAAAUACAAGUACAUGAAGUACAGGAUUGAUCAUCUGGACCACGAAAACUGCGCAAGCAAGUUGACUUUAUUUGAGGGAGACGUACUUGGAGACAACAUUGAAUCUAUUAGCUAUGAUGUGAAAUUCGAGGACUCAAAAGAUGGAGGAUGUGUCGUCAAGUUCACCUCUGAGUAUAAUACAAAGGGUGAUUUUGUGCUAAAAGAAGUGGAUGUUAAUGUAGGCAAGGAACAAUCUUUUGUACUCUACAAGGCUUAUGCAGAUUACCUGAAUGCCAAUCCUCAUGUUUGUGCCUAAAUGUUUUCCAAUUAUGUCUUAACGUUGUCAAGAAUUUCUGUAUUUCUACAUAAAUGUUACUUUUGCCUUAAUAAAAUAAUUGUUCUGCUUUUCCAUUGAAGUGGUUUUAUUUUUAUUAUUAUUAUUUUUUUAAUCACAAUAUGUUGCAUAUUUAUUAACAUCGAAUAUAAAAUAUAGUAUAUAAUUAGGAGGAGGCUCGACCUGACCUUCCAACUAAAGUUGAAAACAUAGUUAUACUUUUUCAUCUUGGAAGGAGUACAAUGUAAGAUUUAAAGAAAGUAAACUGUAUUCACUCUAUUCAUACUUUCCAUCAUCUUUUAAUGAGUGGUCACUCUGCCUCAUCGCUAUAUUCAAACUUGCUACUUGAAGUUUGUCCGUUUCCCAUUGUCAUCGUUAUAUUCAAACUCGCCAAUUGAGAAUUUAAUUCCUGAAUGUUCAAAAUUUUCUAUGCUUAGCGAUAUAAUGAAGGGUUUUGUUAAACUAAAAUUAGGCUUGGCAUAGGGAAUUACCAAACACACACAUGGGAUCGACAUUUUUUAAUUCACACGGGAUCCACGUGCAAAUUGUGAGUGUCGAUCAAUUAUUAUGUCAACCAAUUCGAUCACUUUUUCUUAAUUCUACAGAAGAAUUUCAGAUACUCACAUGGAGAGUGGGCCCUAUGUAAAUAAAAUAAUUCAAAAAAUAAUCUGUCCACCCCAUACAGUGUAUUUUAUAAGGUGUCUGUAAAAAAUAAAAAAAAAAAAAAAGAGGAAAAAAUUACAUGAAUAAUCACUCAUUCUAUAAUGAAUGUGCCUGACUUAGCUGAGGCAACCACGUGCCACAUGUUUUAUCUUUGAGCACUUAAAUCUUCAUAUGAGUCGCCAACGAACUCAACCCAACCCAGAUCCCAAUCCGCCUAAGUCCCACCACCACCACUCAUCAUCUCCAUCUGAAAAAGGGUUGCCCGACUCGGUUCGAAAAAAGUCCGAGUCCUAUUUUUUUUUUGUCGUGCUUUUGCUCGGCCCAACUCGAGCCCGCAAAAAAAGCUCGGCCAUUUUAACCGGACCGAACCUAAGCCUAAACUUUAGGCUAGCGAGCCGACUCGUUUACAUCCGUACUAAUAACUCAAAUUUUUAAUGAAGAGUUGUAUUGAAAUAAAAUAUUCCAUAUUACAAUAUUUUUUAUAUUUUAGUCUUUUCGUAUGUCAACCUCAUUCAUACUCCAAAUUCUCCGAUUUUUUCAAAGUUUACAACAGAGAAAGAUUAUUUUUCUCGUAGAAUCGGUUUGCAAAAACGUCAAAAUAAGCAAAAGGACUUACAUAAUUUCAAUACCUCCACUGAAUUUCCUAGAAUUUAUCCAUAAUUGUUUUUUUUUUUUUUUCCAUUUUCGCGACACAACAUGGGGAUUUCAUUCCUGGCUUUUGCGAUAACCAAGCGUGGUGGCUUGGUUUAUCGAAGGAAGAGGCUGGUUGGGAAGGCGGUGAGAGAAGUGGAGGUGGUCGGGGACGAGGUGAGUUUGUUGUGGAAGAUGAAGAUUUAAAUUCUAUAUUUUUUUGGUAGACAGUGCCACAGUGGCCAGUGGCGAUGGCGAAGGUGGGGCUGGUGGGUAUUGAGGGGUGUGAUUGGCUCAAAACCUUUGUUAAAGGUUGAACCCUAACUUUAAGCGUCCUCCACCGCUCCUGUCUUAGAGUAUCAUGAGGGAGGUAAAUCGCAAGUUAUGCCUCAAAGGGUACAGGGUGGAAGGCUAUUUGUACAUUUACACUUACCCAAGAGUCAAAUCCAUAUUUCAGGAUUCAAACUCUUGACGCGACAGUCUCAAGCAAAAUUGGAUUUCUCCACCCUCUCCUUUUACCACUUGAAGAUGUGCCCUGGGAGCAGCUCAAAACCUUUAUUUGUCAAUAAUUCUAUUGCAUUAAAAUAAUAUUAUACAUAAAUUAAAUUUUUUUUUUAUUUUUAAUCAUACAUUUCUGCAUCUAUCACUACUUUUUAAUACACUUGAAAUUAAAGGGCACAAACAAAGUCUACUCGUUUGAUUCCCAUUAAUUUUCAUUCCAUUACAUUUUAUUUUUUUAUCUCCUAUUUUUAACCACACAAUCUUUCAUAAAAUAAUAUUACACGUAAAUUGAAAAUUUUUCCCUCUAUUUCAACCACUCAUUUUUUCAAAAAAUAAUAUUCCAUCCAUUAAUUUUUCCACGGAAUGAGGCCAGACGGGGCUAAAUCGCUGGUGGUGGACUUGAUUUGAAGGGGAUUUAUGGCUGUUUGUCAACAAUGGUGGCAAUGCAUACAGUUUAAAUUAGGAAAUGUCCAGCACCAGGCACCCUGGAAAUCCAGUCUAGCAGGGUUAUUUGAAUUAUGAUCAUCUAUUUUGGGUUUUGUGGGUAAAAAGAAAAAACAUCGUUUUCUUCUUAUUUGCUUCAUUUUUAUAUAUUUUAUUUAUUUAUUUGUGUUUAUAAAACUUUUAAUGGGAAAUAAAUGUCUUUUUAUACCACUUUAAAUAAAAAAUAAUUUACGAAAAAUGUUAUUAGGGAUGAAUCUUGUUAAUAAAUGAAAGGUUGAGAGUCGAUCGGUGAAUAAAAAAUUGAAUACAGACAAAAUUUCCAUAACCAGAAAGGUUGGGGACCCAAGCUGAAAUUUACCUUAAAAGAAAUCCUAGAAAACGUUGGAUUAUGUCCAAUUAAUUUUGAAUUCCAUGUUUCUCCGACAUGCUUAAAAAUCAAGGAUUGUAGGAUAUAUCCGAAGGAAUAAAAUAUUCAAAAUUUCCAAUUAAUUUCAUCAUUCAUGACUUUUAAGGUAAUAAGGAAAAAUAUAUUAAAAAAUUAGAAAUGACAAAUUCGGAGUUGUUGUGGAUGCACAGUUCACUCAUGAAUCAAGUUCUUAAAACACGUGAAGCUGGGAAUAGUGAUAAGCUGAGUUGACCCGGCUCACGAGCUUGCCUAUUAAGCUGGCUGAGCUCCUUUCUUAAACAAGCUCGAGAUUUUGCGCUUGUGAGUCAAGCCAUUACCUAACGGUUGGGCGUGGCUCAUGGCACAAAUUUUUAAAGAGAAAGUGAAGAUUGAUUUUUUAUUUUUAUACUUCAAGAUUUUAGAUAAGAUUGCUCAAAUGAAAAAUUAAGGUAGAUAAAUGCUUUGAUUCUAAACUUUAAUGGGAAUCGUUCUUUCUACUCAUAAAUUCAACACGCUAAUUUGACAAAUAAUCGUAACCUUUAACAUAAUUCAAUCUGACGCUCAAUAUUUUAUAGAUCUCAAGUGGUUAUAACAAGCUCUUUUAUGAUCUUAGUAAAAUACAUAUUGAGUAUUGAAUUCACUUAAAUUAAAUGUCACGAUUAUAUGUCAAAUAAAUGUGUCAAAUUUUUUAGUAGGAGAAACGCCCCAAACUUUGUUAAUAUGAAAUAUUAGUUUAGAAAAUUCAGUAAUUAAAGAAUAUAUUAUUGCAAGUGGGCCUCAAAAGCCGACUCAUGGCAGGCAAGGCAACCAAGCCCGUAAGCCGACUCACAAAACUCAUAAGCUUUCGAUGGUGAGCCCAUCAUAGCUUGCGACGCUAAAAAAUGAAACUCGACUCGACUAGCGGCUCGUCAAAAUUCAAUUCAACAACUUGUGAGCAUUUUCUCAUAAGUUGAACCAAGAAGGUGGUUGCUGGUCUUAAUUGCUACCCCAAAUAGUGGUGGCAAUGAACGGAUCCACCACUAGCUCGGCUUGUGGCUCGUUUGAGACGAGACAAGAUAAGUCAAGCCAUGGGUUCAUUUAUUAAGGGCCAAGCUCUUAGUUCGUCGGGUCGAGCUGAACUUAGCCGUUGAGCACCUUAAUUUUAUUUAUUUCUUUUUUAUAUGUAACUAAAAUGUGAAAAACCCUCUUUCUUUUCUCCGAACUUGGGACUGACUACUUAUUUUUUAAGCAAGUAGAGUAAAAAUUAUAUAUGAGCAAGUUGUUACGUGUAUAAUUUUUUUUUAAAUUUAAAUUAUUAUUGCAAAAAUAACAAAGUUUGAUUAUAUGAUGAAAUUAAAUAUCAUUUACCUGAUUACACGCAAUUUUCCUUAUACUUAUGUUGUAUUUGAAAAUGUGCGUUGUUUCAAUCCUUUAGACACAUCAUUGCUUCCAAAAUAUUUAUUUUUUCAGUAGGUUUUUGGCCUCAGACAAAGUUCUAUUACCUGCAUUGUGGACUUCGAAACUAUAGUCCUAAACAAAGUGUUAGUAAAUCUUUUGCAAUGGCAGAACUAAUAGAGUAUUAUCAUUCAUUUUUUGGUCAAAAAUCAAGUAAAUCAAAACAAAUGGCAUCAACGGGUUCUACGCUCAUAAGCAUUUCAUGAUUAACAUAUCUAACUAAUUCAGCAAGCAUUCCAAUAUGACUUGCGUCCUAUGUUGGAUUAUACGUAGGAGACAUACUAGAAAAAGAAUCUUAUACUUCAUAUCUUUCAUCCCUAAUACCUUCAAAUAAAUUCAAUAGUUCUACAUCAUCUUCUUCAAGAUUAGCAGAAGUGGUGGGCAGAAGGUGUACAACUAAUAUUUGCACCCCAUCGGGAUGCAUACAAUUCGUGCAUAAAAGUUAAAGUGUUUUCUAAAUUCGAAUAAGUAAUACGUUAGUCAAAAUUUAAACAAGUGAUUUUUAGAAUAACAUAUUUAUUGCCUUUUAAAUUGUACUUGGAAUCCAUUAUGCAUUCUAUAGAAAAUAAAAUAGGUAAGUGUUUCCAAUAUUUUUGAAAGGGUAAUUGUCACAAAACGUCCAUACCUUUCGAAGUUAUUGUGAAAAACGUCCACACCUUUCAUUUUUUAACAUUUUUGCCCUUAUUUCAACCUUUCGUUGCGUUGAAAAUCCUUUUCACUGUUUUAAAAUAUAAAAUGACCAUUAUACCCUCUUAUUUAAAACAAAAAAUAAAAAAGAAAUGAUAAAUAAAAUACAAAUUGCAAUCAUACUCACAAAUGUUUUGAAAGAAUGUAAAUGAGUCCAAUAAAUUAUUAAAAUAUCAAAAAAUUAAAAAAAAAUUAUCUUUCUUUUCUCCUCCUCUAGUCCUCCUCCUCCCUCCUCCUCCUCUUCCACCACCAAAACUCCGUCCCCGGCCACCUUGGACACCAGAUCAAUAUACCACCUUAAAGCCCUCAAUAACCCUACUGAGAUCAAUUAAUAAAAGUUAAAUUUGGGUCCCAAAAUUCAAUAGAAUAGUUAUUUCCCAUAAUAAAUAAACCAAAAAACUUGUUGCUUACAUGUUUCUGUGGUUCCAUUACAUACAUCGCCUCCACCGACACCGAAAAAAUACCAUCGCCUACGCCUGUCAACUACCAAAAGGCAGUUCAAAACCAUAGGUCAGUCACACACAGAAUUUAUGCAUAAAGACCCAUUCAAUAGUGGCCCAUAUCUCUAUUUUUCUCUAUCCAAAAGCAGAGAAAAGUUAUUUUUUGUAGAUAAUUUUCAGUAGAAAGUGGGAAUUAGGAAUUGAAGUGCAGGGGGAGUUCUUGAAUUGUCCGGAAGAAUGUGAAAUGUUGAAAGUGAAUCUGUGUUGGAAUUAAUUUUUUUCUUCUACGGAUCUAGAAAUUUGAAUUUCCAAAUCUUGGGUUUUGUUUUGAAUCUUUGUUUUUUCGUGUGGGUUCAUUUGUUCUUAAUGGCUACUGCUUUUCCUUUGCCAGUCACUGUUGCUCCCACUCCCAAGGUGGCCGGAGGGUGGAGGAGGAGGGGCAGGAGGAGAGAAAAGAAAGAUAUAUAUAUUUUUUAAAAUUUUUAAUAUUUUAAUAAUUUAUUGGACUCAUUUACAUUCUUUCAAAACGUUUGGGAGUAUGAUUGCAAUUUGUACUUUAUUUCUCAUUUCUUUUUUUGUUUUUUGUUUUAAAUAAGAGAGUAUAAUGAACAAUUUACAUUCUAAAACAGUGAAAAGGACCUUCAGUAACAAAAGGUUGAAAUAAGGGUAAAAAUGUCAAAAAAUGAAAGGUAUGGACGUUUUCCACAAUAACCUUGAAAGGUAGGGACGUUUUGCGCUAAUUACCCAUUUUUUAAACUUUAAUUCCAUAGAAAAUAAUAUUUUUAUAGAAAGGGGUAAUUGACACAAAACGUCCCUACCUUUAAGGUUUAUUGUGGAAAACGUCAUCACCUUUUAUUUUUCGACAUUUUUGCCCUUAUUUCCACAUUUCUUUACGGAAAACAUCAUUUUCAUCAUUUUUUAAUGUAAAAUGAUCAAAAUACCCUCUUAUUUAAAUAAAACCCAAAAAUAAAUAAAAGAAAAAUAAAGAAAAAAUUACAAUCUUACUCCUAAAUAUUUUAAAAACUGCAAGUGAGUCCAAAUAGUUAUUAAAAGAUCUAAUAGCACAAAACGUCCUUACGUUUGAUCUAUAGUAUGAAAAACAUCCAUACGUUUCAAAUUGGUGAAAGAUAUGUUUUCCGCAAUGAAAUGUGGAAAUAGGAAUGAAAAUGUAAAAAAAUUGAAAAGUUGGGACGUUUUUCUGCAAGAAGUGUCAAACAUAAAGAUAUUUUUACUAUUAGUCCUUAUUAAAAUAUUAAAAUUAACAAAAACUCUCUCUUUUCCCCUCUCUCCCUCUCCCUCUCUUCUCUUCUCUCCAAAUGGACCAAUCACCUUAGAAGCCAAAAAACUCCAGCAAACCACCAUCCAAACUGAUGGACUACCAUACCACCGAAAAGCCCUCACUUCCUUCUACUCAUACCACCCACUCAUACCGCCCAACAUCCAAUCUUGAAACCUUCAUGCCAAUAAAUUUGUUAGAAAUUGCAAGCCAAAAUACCCAACUCGCGAAUGUAAAUACUGAUGGCAUCACCUAUUUCGAAGAGAUCCAUGCCAUUUCUAACACACCAAUUGACUAUACUCACUAUGGCGCCUCUCUUCAUGGUUUUAAAAUAUCAGCAGAUAGUUCAACGGUAUAGAGGUUCGACGGUUUGGACGAUGAUUAAUCGAAAUUUUUUCACUUCUAAUGAGACAGUCCUAUUUAGAGAAGAAGAGAAGAGAGAUAGUAUUUUUUUUCUUUCAAAUAUUUUAAUAAGGCCUAAUAGCAAAAAAAAAUCCUUAUGUUUGACACUUCUUGAGGAAAAUGUGCAUACAUUUCAAUUUUUUUCAGUUUUCAUCCCUAUCUUCAUGUUUCAUUGCUGAAAACGUCCAUUUCACCAAUUUGAAACGUAGGGACGUUUUUCACACUAUAGACCAAAUGUAGGGACAUUUUGUGCUAUUAGACCUUUUAAUAAUUAUUUGACUUACUUGCACUUUUUAAAACAUUUAAGAGUAAGAUUGUAAUUUAUUCUUUAUUUUUCUUUUCUUUCUUUGGAUUUUAUUUAAAUGGGAGGGUAUUUUAGUCAUUUUACAUUAAAAAUGGUGAAAAUGACUUUUUUGCAAAGAAAUGUGGAAAUAAAGGCAAAAAUAUCAAAAAAUAAAAGGUGAGAAUGUUUUCCACAAUAAGCCUUAAAGAUAGGGACGUUUGUGCCAAUUACCAAAUAAAAAGUGAGAUUGUUUUUGUCUUUUUGAAAUCAAGAACUCAUGAACUAGUGGAGUAGUAUACCCCAGAUAAGAUAGUUGUGGGGACAUUAAAACUUAUCAAAAAAUUAAAAAUAAAUCACUCUAAAGGCUAGUUUCCAAUGAAAAUCAAUCAAAACAUAAUCAUCAUCAUUUCUUACAUUCUUAGAGUUAUGAAAUUCAGUAAUUAAAUGUUCAUAUCCUUCGGUUUAAUAAUAAUAAGUGGAGUUGCAUAAUGUCCUUCGUCAUUCACAAAUUUUUGGAAUCUUGGCCAUAUUAUGCACAAAGUUCCUUGUUUCAUACUUAUAUAUAUAUAAGAGAGAGAGAGAGAGAGUUAUGAAAUUCAGUAAUUAAAUGUUCAUAUCCUUCGGUUUAAUAAUAAUAAGUGGAGUUGCAUAAUGUCCUUCGUCAUUCACAAAUUUUUGGAAUCUUGGCCAUAUUAUGCACAAAGUUCCUUGUUUCAUACUUAUAUAUAUAUAAGAGAGAGAGAGAGAGAGUUAUGAAAUUCAGUAAUUAAAUGUUCAUAUCCUUCGGAUGAUUUUAAUAAUAAUAAGUGGAGUUGCAUAGUGUCCUUCGUCAUUUACAAAUUUUUGGAAUCUGGGCCAUAUUAUGUUCAAAGUUCCUUGUUUCAUACUUAGUGAUAUGGUUAUAUAUAUUUUAUCCAACCCUAAUUCUAUCGAUUUACUCCUUAGUUGUUUCAUACUAAUUUGCACAACUAAAUUAAAAAUGUGACACGCACAAUGCACAUGAAACAAAAGCUACUAGAAUCAAGAUUAAACACUUUUCAAAGUUUAUCAAUUACAACCUUAUUAACGCUAGCAUUGUCAAACGUAAAAGAAUGAAUUUUACUUUCACAACGAUAUUCUUUAAUAAUUUGCAUGAUAGAGUUAAGAAUAAUUGUUAGUAUUAUAAGGAAUUCAAUUAUCUUAAAAACAAUAAUUUUUUUUUAUGCAUUACUCAAAGUGUAUCGAUGUAGUGUGCAAUUGCUGCUACAUAACCUUUUUUCUAAUUUAUACCUUCCAAUAAAUCUGAAAUAAAAGUAAUCAAUUGGUUCUUGCUUCUAUCGAAAAUAGUUGAUAGUAUUAUUAUGAAGAGUAUUUCAACUUAUCCCUACAUAUUUCGACUGAAGAUAUUUUUUUACAAGUGUUGUGAGAUGUUUAUUGUCCACUAUGUUUAACGAAGACUCACCAAUAACAAUGAAAUUGACCAUUCUACCAUGAGUUCUUUCCUCCGAAUACAUCCAUGUACUUGGUGUUGAAGUUGCACCGCUACCAAAAAAAUGAGUACCAAAGGCUAGUUAUGUUUGAGAUCCACCAACGAGUCUAUAUGUUUCGCCAUACAUUUGGUAUAGUGAUAAUUGAGGUGGGUAGUAAUGAUACCCUAUUUUCCAGGCCAAUCGUUGUUGGCAAUUUUUUAUUCACUACUUUAAACUCUUGACUUUCACACCCCUCUUGUAUUGGGAACUUACAUUUUUGAUUUGCUAGUCUCUUCAUCGAUGUUGUUGGGUUUUUUGAUACCCAAUAAUUCAGACGAUGAUUUAAAAUAGUUGUCGGAUUAUUUAUCGACACCAUGGACUUGGCUCAGCUCGGAAACGAACUACACUUUUGGAUGGCUCGGGUUUGGGUUGGAUGAUUAUUUGGUUAGUUGGACCAUUUAGUGAUUAAUAUGGAGUUGAAUAUUAGCCCAUUAGUUUAGGGUAAUUGGUAGCCCUCUUAGUGAACCCUAGGCCUAAUUGAAGUGACCUAAACUAACCUAUUUAUAUAUGUAUUUAUCUCCAAGCAGUUUUGUGGUGGUGUAUGUGUGUUGUAGCAAUGGAGAGGAGAGUCGAGAGAAGAGAGGCAACCGAAAGAGAUGAAAGCCAUGUGAAGUUGUGAGUAAGAUUUAACCACUAUUCUUCUUCCUCUCCAUACCUUUGUGGAUUGCUAACACCACCAUCCUUCUCUUUUGUGGGGUUAGAGAGAAAGAGAGCAGUCUAAAGUGAAGGUGAAAGUCUUGGGUUGAGCCGAGAUAAAUCGGUGUUCGUGAGAGAAAGAGAGCAGUCCAAAGUAAAGGUGAAACUAUUGGGUUGAGCCGAGAUAAAUCGGUGUUCGUUUGGUUAUUUUCUAAGCUCGAAAUCAAGAUUUAUAGAGGAAUUUCCGCUACAAAUGGUAUCAGAGCUUGUGUUGUUGAUAAAUCUGUGAUUUUGGGGGCUAAAAAUGGGCUGGAAGUGGUCGGAAACGGAUCUGGAAAUCAGAGGCAGAAACUGUCCAGUUUUUUUAAUUUCUACCGAAUCUGUUUUGGCGUUUUCUGGUGAAACCAAAAGGAGUUUGGCAAAAUGGACACCACCGGUGGACUGUACAAGCGAAGAAGAAGUCAAAAGGGUGACAGGUCGAUGGCGCGUGGACGGCGCGAUGCGGCGCGUGGGGUUUCUGUUAAUGGCGCGUCUUUCUGAAUCCGGCGAAGUGGUCUUCAGACAGAAUCUUCCCCAUGACGAGAUGGACCCUACAGUGUUUUCAGAUUUCAGUUUGGAGCAAUACAGUGAAAGUUGGACGAUUUUGCCCUUGGACGUUCGGGUGCCAGGUGCUGUUUUCGUGUUGCUAUGGUUGCUGAUGACUUUAGGAUGAAUAGUAAUAGUCCCGAAGUAGUGAAUUCACGUCUCGAGAUAUUUACGGACCUUCAGACGUGGUCUGCUCGGUAUCGUAUUCUUUGCUUUUUAUUAUUGCAGUUAAAAUAAAUGUGUAGAGUAGUUUAUUUUUUGCAUUAGAGGUCAUCGUGUGGGGUGACAUUAGGUUUGGGGUUACCAUGGAGGGGUAACCAUUGCCUGUUACUAGACAUAGGAAUUAUUUGUUAAUUAUUUGCCUUAAAUUCUUUGUGAAUUUGCUGUCAAUUUUUCUAAAUUAUUAGAAUUGCAUGUGGCCUUAGGAAAGUUUACUAGACUAUUAUAUGUGAAUUAUGUUCAUACUUUACUUGUGGUCAUUAUUUGGCAUUGGUGGCAAAUGUAGGUCUAAGGUAAGUGCGAAAAAUAACAUAUAUUUUAACUGUGGCAAAAUCUGGACAUAGUUGAAAGACAUUGUUCUAGAAUGAUAAUAAAAGGAAAAAUGAGAAUAGAGAUAAGGCGAAUGUGGCUUUAGGGUCGAGUAGUAAUCCUAGUAAGGUUUAUUGAGAAAAUAAACCUGGUUCUUGCAUUGCAUCUGUAUGUAAUCCUUUUUGCAUGUAUUUGGUCACUUAAUUCUGUUGUAAUGUUGAUGUUACACUUUCAAUAUGUUUGAUGUGUGUAAUUGCAUGAGUUAGAGUGACUUAUUACUUUGUGUAAUAUGUUUACAUGCAUAGUGGGUUAAGUUUUGUGGUGUACUCUAUUUGCUCUGUGAGUGGCGUGAAAGUGUGGUAGUGAGAAGAAAGUUGGGUAGCCGUUUCUCUCCUUUAUCUUUGUGAGCCUAUGUGGUUUGUGAGAUUAUGUGAGGCAGCUAUGUUAGGGUUACCUUCUUUAUCUUUGUGAUCCUUCUUUGUGAGUGUUGUGAAGUAACCAACUUUUUCUUCGAUUCUUUUUGAGAGUACCACCUUCACUAUUUUCUUUGUGAAUUUUUUGGGAGCAUUGGUGAGUGGAUUAACCUUCGUGGUCACCAAAAGGUGUUAUUUUGCCAUAGUGAGUUUGAGAUGUAUUAGCAGUGAGUUGGAUGUCUUUUGGUAAGCUGGAGUAUAGAUGCCUAGAGGUACAUGGUGAUUUGUACCGAGGGAUGUGGAGUGUGACAUUUGGAUCACGAGUGGAGAUGUGAUUAAAUGUGUAGAAUCCUUUAUCUGUGAAAGAAACUCUGUACAGGUAGAGUGUGAAAGAGGCACUUCUAUCACUUCUGUAAGGUGGAGUCCCAUUAUCCACAUAGGUUGGGAGAAGUGAUGUGGUGAUAGAGGAUUAUCCCGAAAGUUUAGUAUCUAUUGUGACUUACCAGUUAGACAUGAGUUAAGUUAUUGGUUUAGUGAGCAUGGUGGGCGAUGAGAGGAGAUAUGUGUUCUCGAGGUGGGAGUAACACGGAAUGAGAUAGGAUAAGUGUGGUGAGAUCUUUUCUUAGGGUCAUUUAUGCAUGUGUUGCAUAUGUGGUUGACCAUGGUUUGAUUAACUAGGUGUUAAUCUGUGGUUCUGUGUGAACGUGAUUUUGAAAAGAUCUAUAUGUGUGUUAUCCUAUAUAUAUCUUCAUCACAUGAUAGUUUGUUCAUUGUGAAUACUUGUUUCUACUUGAGUAUUUUUGACCUUAGCACCGGUGAGUACAUGGAGCAAGUAUGGUAUGUGUUUCGGUUCGAAACACGAGAUAAUGUCUGUUAUUCUAAUUUUAUUGGAUUAUCUUGAUUGUGCAAGUAUAAAUUGUGUGUUUUGGUUGCUUGCAGAUUAUUGGGCAUCAAGGUGGAGAUUGUUGGAUUUUUUGAUACCUAAUAAUCCGGGUAAUGAUUUAAAACAGUUGUCAGAUUAUUUAUCGACACCAUGGACUUGGCUCGGCUCGGAGACGAACUACACUUUUGGAUGGCUUGGGUUUGGGUUGGAUGAUUAUUUGGUUAGUUGGACCAUUUAGUGAUUAAUAUGGAGUUGAAUAUUAGCCCAUCAGUUUAGGUUAAUUGGUAGCCCUCUUAGUGAACCCUAGGCCCAAUUGGAGUGACCUAAACUAACCUAUAUAUAUAUAUAUAUAUAUGUAUUUAUCUCCAAGCCCUUUUGUGGUGGUGUAUGUGUGUUGUAGCAAUGGAGAGGAGAGUCGAGAGAACAGAGGCAACCGAGAGAGAUGAAAGCCAUGUGAAGUUGUGAGUAAGAUUCAACCACAGUUCUUCUUCCUCUCCAUACCUUUGUGGAUUGCUAACACCACCACCCUUCUCCUUUGUGGGGUUAGAGAGAAAGAGAGCAGUUCAAAGUGAAAGUGAAAGUGAAAGUCUUGGGUCGAGCCGAGGUAAACCGGUAUUCGUUUGGUUGUUUUCUAAGCCCGGAAUCAAGAUUUAUAGAAGGAUUUCCGCUACAGAUGUCAUCCAAAUAAAUUGAAUUACUACUUCCAUGAGCAUCUUCAACGCUCAUUGGCCCCAUUCCCAGCAAAUUGUUGGGGAUGGGGACAUCUUUGAGAUCGACAAAGUUGAUUGGAACAUUUGAAUUGUGAUGUUGUAAGUGAUUUGCCAUCAACAAGCCCCCAAUAAAAUUCCAAAGUUCUAUGUGUAACAUGUAAUAAAAAUAUAGAAUGACAAGAACGUAGAUUGUAGUGUAGAGAAUAAAGAUAAAAUUUAUUAACGUAUAGUAUAGAGAAUGAAUUGAGAAAAUAUAUAUAAUAGAAAUGAAAUUCGAAUUAAUAAAAAUUAUAGAAUGUAUGUGAAUUAUUAGUAAUUAAUGUUGUGUAUGUAAUAUAAUUGCAGAGAACAGAAGAAUUGUAGAAUAAUUGAAUAAUGAAUGAAUUAUUAUAGAGAGUAAGAGAGAGUGGAGAGAUUGUUGAGUUGAGAAAAUUGGUGAAGCAAAUGAUGUAUUUACAGAGUAAGAAAAAUAAAAUAAAAAAUUCAGAUACAGUUGGGGACGGACUCUUUUAAAGGUUUGUGACCGUUUAAAUGAAGAAAAAUGAUCUUUGUUUGGCUCGUGAGACACGCGAUAGCUUGGCUCGCGGGCAUGCCUAUUUUGGCAAGCCAAGCAAGCUUAGGCUUGUCUGUCGAAACGAGUUCAAACCAUCCAAGGGUUGAGCUUUGCGAACCAAGACGAUGCGAUUGCCACCUCCAAUCCGAAAUGAGGAAUUCAUUGAAACACGAACUCUAGAAUUCAAAUUUUUUUGUGAAAGUCUUGAGUUGAAGUUGAUAAUCAUUGUAAAUACUCCAUCAUUUAAAGUGUUAUUCCGUCAACAACAUGUUUCAAAUGGAAGCUUGAUCCUCUAAAUAAUCUGAAAAAUUUAGAAAGCCAACAAAUUAGAAAUUUCAAUUAAAAAAAAAAACGGUGUUUCCUCAUUUAUCUUAACAAAGAAUAUUAUUUUCUGGACUCAUUUCUUUUCAUUUCACCAUUAAAGAAUAUGAAAGAUAUUUAUGACUAUUCCAUGAUAUCCUUUUCUUGACCCAAAUUCUAUGUAUGAAAGUUAUCUUUUAAGGUCUCAAUUAUCUAUAAUUGGUGAGUUAAUUAUUCCGAUGGCCACUGAACUUAGGUCCAUAUCUUUUAUUGGUCACUAAAGUUUAAAAUGUCGAGUUUUGGUCACUGAACUUAGGUUCAUAUUUUCGAUUGUUCACUAAAGUUUAAAAUGUCGAAUUUUGACCACUGAAUUUUCAAAAAUGUUCUACAUUCCUUACUGAACUUUGAAAAAUAUUGCAGAUUACUCAUUGAACUUUAAAAAAUGUUGUACAUUAUUCACUGUAAACUCGAUAUUUUUCAAAGUUCAAAAGUUAUAUUAGUGAGUAACGUACGACAUAUUCCAAAAUUCAAUGGUCAAAAUUUGACAUUUUAAAUUUCAGUGAGCAAUCUAAGAUAUGAACCUAAGUUCAGUGAGCAAUCGAAGACAUAGAUCUAAGUUUAGUGACCAAAACACGAUAUUUUAAACUUCAGUGACCAAUCAAAAAUAAUGACCUAAAUUCAAUGACCAUUAGAACAAUUAUCUUGCAAUUGGUUGAUGAAAAUUGACUGAGAAACUGCAAUCAUGAAACACUAUUGCGUAUCCUUGACAAUUGACUAGAAGAAACUCAGGGAAAAAAACAAAAAUAAAUAAUAAAGUAAAAUUAAUCAUAAUAAAAUUUUUGGCUAAGCUUAAAAAAUUUACUUAUACGUAAAUAAGUAAUUUUUAGACUAGUUAAAAUUUUCAAUAAUCCUGCACGCAGAAUUAUUUCAACAGAAGAAAAACAGGAUACUCAUAUGGGGUGGAACUCAUGUGAGUUUUAUAUUGGAAAAAAAACACACUACCCAUCCCGUGUAUGUGUGUGUAUUUUGAAUUUCUUUAUAGAUUGUGUUCAAUAAUCCCUGUACCCAUAGCAACACUAAAAUUUUUUGGUAAAAGUUGAAAGCUAGUUGCUAGAUAAAAGUUAUUUUUGAGAAGUAUAAUUUUUAAAACUGAGUUAUCCAUGCAUAACUUGAAUACACAGCCUCACUUAAAAAGCAUUUUUGGCUAAGUUAAAAAAUGUUAUUUAUAAUUAAAUAAAUAAGCUUUUUUUAGAAUAAUUUAAAAGUUGAAAAAGUGUUCUUAUUGAUAAGUAAAAGUUAUUUUCUAAAAAUGUAAUCUUUACAUUAAACUGAGUUAUCCGUACAAAUUUGAACACCUAAUCUCCCUAAAAAAUAACUUACUUUUUUUUUUUUUUUUUAAACUUAGGCACACAUACCCUUGAACUGAGCUAAAUACUGAGCCAAACAUGUUUUCUUUUUCUUAAUUUUAAGGUAAAAACAAAUAAUUUUCAUACGUGACUCUUAAAUCUUAGUAUCGUAACAAUUCUAAUAAAAAAACUAAUUUUUUUAGCAAAAUCAAACAAGAACUAAAGUUUAUAUAUGUAUAUGAAAUGUGUGGUUUAAGAGUUAAUAAAAGUGGUAAAUUUCAUGAAAUGCGUGAUUAAAAUUAAUUGUUGAUUUUGACUCACAUUUUAUUAUGAUUGAAGCAAGAUAAUUGCAAAAUGAAAUAAAUCAAUCACAAACAAGAAUAUCUAGACUUUACGUGAAAAUUCAAGAUAGAAAAAAUCACAGACAGAAGAGGAGGAUUCACUAUAUCAAAAUCAAGAUCAAUGAUUGUUGUACAAUGAAACUUUUAUGUAAUGGUGUGUACGCAUACAUAUAAGUUGCGCAUUCUACUCUCGUUCGACUCCCAUUAUUUCAAAUUAAAAAUUUUCUCUAUCUUAUUUCUAAUCACACAAUCUUUCAUAAAAUAAUAUUAUACGUAAAUAAAAAAAACAUUUCUUUCUUUUUCAAAUACAUAUUCUCCAAAAACAUAAUAUUCCAAAAAUAAUAAUACCAAAUAAUUAAGGUCAAAUGGCACUUCUAAUUGCUCUGUCCAAUUAAAAAGUGAAUUUUUUGUAGGGUUUUGUCGUCAUUUUUUAUCCCGCAAAUGGAUGGAUCGUAAUAAGUAGUAAAGUGGACAUUUUGAAUCCGAAUUAUCGUUCCCACGAGAACUAUACAUUAAUACUCAAAUUAUUACUUCUGGCUUCUAUUUGACGAAGAUAAACGAGAACAAUGAUUAAAAGUGAUUUUUAUUAUAACUACUUAAAAGUUCGUGAGUAUAACAUAAAAUGAGUGAGAAUUCAAAUAAUAAUUGGGCAUUAGGGUGGAAUAACUUCACCUAUUAGUCACAUUUACUUCUAAUAUCGAGAUUCAUAAAAUUUAAAGUAGUGUUUGGUCGAAUUCUUCUACGGUAUUCAAUUUACCACCAUCGAGUUCUCAUUGAGCCUAUUUAAAUAAUUUAAUUCCAUAUCUGUAUGCGAAUCAACAUUAUUUAAACGAAAUAAUAGUUCUAAGAAUUCAUAUAGAACCGCAGCAAUUAAUAUAGGUAUCUCUGCACGUUAUAUUAAUUUACCAAAUUUUAAUAUGUGGUCUAAACAAAAAUCCACAUCUCUACGCAAUUAUUGUUCACGAAAUCAUUGAAUAAUUGGCCAGAAAAUUCAAAGCAUUAAUAACAUAAUUAAAAUCCACAUAUGAAAUUAUAACGGACAAGAAUCUCAAAUAAAAGAAAUAAAGGUUCUCAAAUCAGUUAUAUUGUUCGCCCUAAAAUCAGAUUAGCUCCUCAUAUUAAUAAAAGAAAAAUAAGAAAUUAUUAUGAAAGACAUCAUCGGGUUUUGAAUAAGAAUGUAGAAUAAGAAAUCAAUCUUGCACCAAGAUAUUUUUUCUCUUUCAAUUUAUGCUUCAACCCUUGAAUUGCUUGUUCUCCUCUUGAAUUCUUCUUUUUUUUAUUUUUGAUUCUCCAAUUAUAUAUCUUACCUCUCAAUCUGUGAAGAAGAGUCCCCCCAAAAGUGUGAGAAAGAUGUAUUUAUAGAUGCCUCCUCCGUUUGUGUAGAAAGUAUGGUUUUUAUGGACUUCAAAACGGCCCAAAAACGCGUUCUAAACAAUCCCGACGCAGUGCCUAAGCGCUACGUCUUUAGAGCCUAGGUGCUGACGAUAGCGCUUGGGUGCUAUGAUUGCAGCGCAUAAGCGUGGUCUCUCGAGUUCAAGUUUCAUUUUUUUAAGUUUCGUAGCGCCUAGGCGCUACAAAUGCAGCGCCUAAGCGCUUUUUUUUUCCUCCAAUUUCCUUAUUUUUGAUCUUUUCAUCCGCUUUAAUUCCCAUUUUUGCAUCGACUUUCCUAAUCUUCAAAACAAAACUAACAAACACAUUAAAAGCGUUCUAUACUUAUAAGAUCUAGCAAAUAAUCAAGAUAAAAUUGUGCAAAAUUUAUGAGCCAAACAAAUUCAUCAAAUAUCCCCAAACUUAACCGUUUACUAGUUCUCGAGCAAACAAACACACCAAACAAUAAAAUCAUCCAAGGACGAUACACACUAGCAUGCAAAAGAUAAUUGGUUGGACAAUCGAAUUUUUUACUUCAGGAUUUGAGAUUUUGAUUUUAUUCCACAAACAUGCUUCAAGUCACAAUACCAAACCAAUAUCUACUCUUUCAGUGCAGAACUGACAUAUGUGUGUGUGAAGAAUUAAGAAAUCAACCAUGAUUACAAAAGUUGCUUCAAUUUCCGUCCCUCUGUGGUCAAAUAUACCAUACACUUCUCGUAAGAUUCAUGUAGCCCCAAACUUAUACUUUUUCACUCAUUCCCAGUGUGUAACCUAAGGUUGAAUAUUUCAUUACUAUCCUCACCCUCUCGAGUUCAGGUGGAUGUUACUAAUUGCAAGUCAACACUUAAGUGAACAGGGAUUCUCCAAUUAUUCGAUUGCUUUGACCGCCACGACUUAACUAGCUAAUUAUCUUGCAUCAAAAGGAAAAUGUUCUCAAAUAAAUGUUAGGGCUUAAUUAAGAUAUUUAGUGCUUUUGCUCUUUUCAUGCACUUUUUUUUUACAAGUUAUUUUAUUUAUUUAUUCUCUCCAUUAAGUUUUCUAGAUGACCUAUGUAGCAGGCUUUAGGCCAUGACUCCCAAAUCAGAUGAUUUUAGGGCACCAGAUUUUAAACACCCUUACAGGCUUAUUGGCCUGAGUCAAAAAGGUUUCAAAGAGAACAAAUUUUUUUUUUUCAAGUGCAACUUCAUCUCUGAUUGCUUUUUGAAUGACUCCUAUAGCGAGCUUUAAGUCGAUGACUCCCAAGUCAGACGACUUUAGGGCACCAGGUUUUAAGAUACCUUUAUAAACUUAAUCACUCUAGUCAUAAAGGUUUCAGAGAAAUGAUUAAAAUUUUCAAAUGUAUAUGCCUCGAUUAGUGCAAUGCCCCUUAUCACACACUUAUUCAAAAAAAUCGACUUCUAACUUGAGACUCUCACCUAGUUUUAUCAUGUUAAUCUACGACAAUCCAUACAUAAGUUUUUACACAUGGAAUCCAAAUUCACAUCCGCAUCUAUCGACAACUGUAAAGUCACCGUCAAACUAUGCUAACUUUGGUCUGAGGAUAAAUAACUUACUUAGUUUAGGUAAAGCAUUUAUAUCCAAUUAAAUCAACCUAUCUAACAAAUGAAUCAACUCGUUUCAUCACAUUUUUAGACUCAAUUCUGGUGCACUUAUAAUAUCGAGUUUUCAAUGUUAAGUUUCAAUCAAUCUAGUAUGCAUCAUAUCCACAGUUCAUAAAUUAAUACCAAAUCUCAAAAUUAAUUGUAAGCCAAAAUGUCCAACUCAAAAAAUUUUAGGUAGGCAAUUAAUAAUAAUACACUUCACUCUCCCAAAUUUAAACUAAACAUUGUCCUCAAUGUUAAAUUUAAAGGAAAAUGAGGACUUCCUUGAAAUGUUAGUAUUGCCUAUGAUAUUGUGGUGUCUUGGUGUUGCAUUUGAUCGACUCUUCUUCCACAUUCUCCCCCAAACUUGAGAUUUGUCCCAUUUUCUCCAGGUCAAUGUUGGUUUAAGUAUUCCGCGACGUCAUGUUCCUGAAAAAUUAGAUUUGAGAAAUUAAACUCAUGGAACAAGGGUUACUUAGUUCAAACAUCUAAUAACCAACUUAAUUACUCAAUGACCUAAGGGUAAACGGGAUAUGGGUAAUGUCUCCUAAAUAGACUAAUAAACUAAACUAUCUUAUAACUUGAAAUUAAAAUAAAUAAAACAAAAAGAAAGCUUGGGUUGCCUCCCAAGAAAUGCUUCUUUUAAGUCAUUAGCUAGACUUUUGCACAAGUUUUCAUGGCACUUUGAAUAUGGUUUUGGAGCUCCUGCUCAGCUUGCUUAAUUUGACUUUGUUCCAUAUCUCGUACAUUUUCCAAACUCUUACAUUUACCUUUUGAAUACGAUAUGACCUGCCUAAAUUGUCUAUUUCGUACUCAAUCAAAUAUACUGCAAUCUUUUCAUCAUCCUUAAUCACAAAUUCAAUGAAGUUAGAAGUUUGCACGCUGAUCCCAUCUUCAUUGAAUGCAACUAAUUCAUCUGACUCCUUCACGACUAAUUUCUUGAUUUCCACCUGUUCUACAUCUUUAGUCGUUAGUUCCUCGGGUUGAAUGAUGAAGAGAUCCUCCGUUGGCAUGUUAUUCGGCUCGUCCAGAGUUAUUUGAUCUUCAAUCUUUUUACAUCUUUGUAUGAUGAUGUCUCCAGUAAUUAUUUUAUUGUAAUCAAAAUAUUCUUCAUAUGGAUAACGUUCUCUCACUUCCACUGGAGUUGCCAAAUAUGAGCAAUUUUUAGUAUAAUGAGAAACACCACAACAUUCACAUAUCAGUCUGAUCUCUAGAUAAACAAUUGAUUUGAUGUUUAAUCCCUUUGGCCAACCAUCCUUACCAAAUUCGAUAGGCUGAUUAUAUCCCAACCUUUUAAGUUCUUAUCUGACCAGGAAUUCUCCAAAGAGCAUGUCAUCUUCUUUCAAGUCGGAAUUAAUCAUUAUGAAAUUAAACCUCUUGCUUCUUCUUAUUUCCUGUAAAAAAAGAAAAAAGAAAAAGAAAAGAUGGAUCAAUUGAACAAAAAAAGAAAAAGAAAAGAAAGAAAAAAAAGGAAAAAAAUCAAACAGAAGUAAGAAAUAAAUAAACCAAUAUUAAAGAAAAUAGUCCCUGGCAACGGCGCCAAAAGCUUGUUGUCAAUUUUUAUCCCGCAAGUGGACAGAUCAUAUAAGUAGUAAAGUGGACCUUUUGAGUUCGAAUUAUCGUUUCCACGAGAACUAUACCUUAAUACUCAAUUUAUUAUUUCUAACUUCUAUUUGAUGAAAAUAAACGAGAACAAUGAUUAAAAGUUAUUUUUAUUCUAACUACUUAAAAGUUCGUGGGGGUACAACAGAAAAUGAGUGAGAAUUUAAAUAAUAAUUAGGUAUUAGGGCAGAAUAACUUCACCUAUUGAUCACCUUUACUUCUAAUAUUGAGAUUCAUAAAAUCUAAAGUAGCGUUCGGUCGAAUUCUUCUACGGUAUUCAAUUUACCACCCUCGAGUUCUCAUUAAGCAUAUUUAAAUAAUUCAAUUCCAUAUCUCUAUGCGAAUCAACAUUAUUUAAACGAAAUAAUAGUUCUAAGAAUUCAUAUAGGAUCGCAACAAUUAAUAUAGGUAUCUCUACACAUUAUAUUAAUUUACCGAAUUUUAAUAUGUGGUUUAAACAAGAAUCCGCAUCUCUACACAAUUAUUAUCCACGAAAUCAUUGAAUAAUUUGCCAGAAAAUUCAAAGCAUUAAUAACACAAUUAAAAUCCACACAUGAAAUUAUAACUCAAAUAAAAGAAAUAAAGGUUCCCAAAUCAGUUAUAGUGUUCGCCCCAAAAUCAGAUUAACUACUCAUAGUAAUGAAAAAAAAAAAAGAAAUUAUUAUGAAAGACAUCAUCGAGUUCUGAAUAAGAAUGUAGAAGAAGAAAUCAAUCUUGCAUUAAGAUCUUCUUCCUCUUCCAAUUUAUGCUUCAACCCUUGAAUUGCUUGUUCUCCUCUUGAAUUCUUCUUUUUUUAUUUUUGAUUAUCCAAUUAUGUUAUCUUGCCUCUCAAUGUGUGAAGAAGAAUCCCCCCAAGAGUGUGAGAAAUAUGUAUUUAUAGGUGCCUCCUCCGUUUGCAUAGAAAGUAAAGUUUUUAUGGACUUCAAAACGGCCCAAAAAUACGUCCUAAAUAAUCCCGGCACAGCGCCUAAGCGUCGCGUCAAUUUAAACGCAUCGCCUAAGCGCUACGUCUGUAGCACCUAGGCGCUGAUGAUAGAACCUGGGUGCUAAGACUGCAGCGCCUAGACUCUGUCUCUUAAGUUCAAGUUUCAUUUUUUUUUAAAGUUUCGUAGCACCUAGGCGCUACAAAUUCAGCGCCUAAACGCUGUCUUUCUGCCACAAUUUCCUUAAUUUUGAUCUCUUCGUCCGCUUUAAUUCCUUUUUUUGCAUCGACUUUUCUAAUCUUCAAAACAACACUAACAAACACAUCAAAAACAUUCUAUACUAAUAAGAUCUAGCAAUUAAUCAAAAUAAAAUUGUACAAAAUUUAUGAGCGAAAUAAACUCAUCAGGUUUAAUUCAGUUUUUUGACAAAUGGUAGGAUGUAGUAAAAUUUUGAAAGAAUUUCCGUUAAAAUAUAUUUGUCUCGUUCUACUAAAUUGUUUCAAAUAUUAUUAACGAAUGAAACUUUAACAAGAUAAGGCAGUAAAUAAGAAUAAUACUUAAAAGUAAAUGUUAAAAAAUUCACAAAUAUGUGGUGUAACAAAAGAUUUCCGUGGUGGCAAUGUAGUCUUCCAUAGGUAAAACAAUCUAGGAGUAGGUUUAAAUAGGUUUUUAUAAAAUUCCAAUUUCUUUUGCUAAAAGAUAUACAUUUCGAUUUAAUUUGGACCUUAGUUCGAAACUACGACCGAUCUCCUGCAGUUGUAGAUUCCAAACCAUUGAUAUGACAUAGAAUUUGAUUGGAUAAGUAUGUUGAUUGUUCUUAAUUUAUUUGAAGAGAAUUCUUAAGUAGUUAACGUUAUUUGACCAGUUAGCCAAGUAUAAUAAAACAUGCAUUAAACCAAAAUUAAUUAAGGCAAGAAACAAGAAUUUAACGUGGUAAACCCGCUCUUACAGACUAAAAAACUUCCACUACAAAAAAAGGGAGUCAUUACAAAUUUUUUGAAUUAAUAUAAUUAUUUACUAUUAAGAAACUAAAACAAAGAACAUACUCUUAAUUAAGAAACAACUAAAAACCCUUCCCUAUAUCAGUUUUUCCAAUUCUUUCAUGUAGAAUUAAUGCUUUUUUGGAAGGGAUUUUGAAAAUUGAUUUUUUGACCAUUAGAGAUAAAAUGGAUCCUAUUUAUGAGAGAAGAAUUAAAAAAUGACGACUAAAAUGGUAAAAUAAUAAUAAAAUAUUAUUUUAAUUGAAUUAAAAUCUUUACCAAACACGCUUCCACGAAACUGACUUCAUCCUUACCCUUUGCCAAUUUGACGUUUUACAACGAAAGUAAAGGUUAUCUUUAUUUACGCGCUUUCAUAUCCUAUUUCUCGACCCAAAUACAACGUAUGGAAGCGACCUUUCUAAGUUCCUAAUAUUCUAGAAUCACUUUAUGACCAUAGACUAGGAAAAAUUCAUACUGUGGAAAUUCUUAGCAGACCUUUGAAAAUUGAUUAGGAGAAACUGACAAGAAAACAAGACUAAGAGUGAUUGAUGCUGUCAGUAAACAAGACUAAGAGUAUGAUUGAUGCUAUUUUUUGCAAAUAAUGUAUUUUUAAAUAGUGAUUUGAUGAAAAAUGUGUGAUUAAAAAUUAAGAAAAAAAUGUGAAUUCACGUGUAAUAUUAUUUUAUUAAAAAAUAUAUGAUUAGAAAGAAAAGAGAGAAAAAUGUAUUUUAAAAAAAAAAAUGCUUAAAUAUUCAAGUUAGAUUAAUCAUAAUAGGUAUGUUUGGUUGGGAUAAAAAUAAAAAAUAAAAAGAUGUUUACUUGUAAGUAAACAAAUAGGUUUAAAUUAAUUUUCUUCUUAUUUGGUAAUGCUUGCAAAUAUGUAAUUUCAAUGUCUUCACUGUAAAAUAAAAUGUUAUUUUCAAGAAGAAUAUUUUUUUAUUUAAAGAUGUGUUAAAAGAAAAGUUUGGAGAUAAAAGUAACUUCAACUUUUUAAAGCUCAGGUAAUCAUACUAUUAUAUUCAGUAAAAAAGGGUACGUAUUUCUUACUUUUAAGUAAAAAAAAUUUUAAUUUAUUUUUUACUUUAUUCAAUAUAAGUAACUUAGCCUCCAUUAGAUUUUUUUUUUUUUUUUAAUCACUUGAAAAGAGGAAUAAUGGUGAGUAUCACUAAAUGUCAUGAUAAUAAAUGAGUAAUAGCUAUAAAUAUGUUAUUGAAAUUAAUAUUUAACUUUGACUUAAUUUAUAAAUUAUUUAUAAAUUGGCUGCAAAAUGGAGGUGGUUGAUAAAACAUUAUGUAUUUCAUAAGGUACUUAUUAUGUAUAAGUAAAUUACAUAAGCCUAAAAUUAUAUUCUUAGCCAAACAUAAAUAAUAGCAACCGGCAAGCAACCAUGCCAGCAAAUUUUUUGUUGUUUAUAAUUAGAACAAGUCUUGUCACCAUUCAUAAAUUACCUUUGCAAAAGAGAAGUAAGUAAUUCACGAGAAAUCCACAACGUCCCGUUAUGGAUUUGAAUCCAAUCACACAGGCCAUGUAUUUAUUAGAAAGAAAAAGAAAAGACAUUAUGUUACGCCUAUUCCAAUGAAACUCUAAGCAUUGCCGAUCCUAACUUUCAAGUUCACGCAUUAUAUAACUAUUCAUACAUGAAAUUGGGGGGCCAUUGUUAUGCCUCUUCCAAUGAAACUUUAAGCAUUUUCAAUCCUAACUUUCAAGUUCACGCAUUAAAUAAAUAUUCAUACACAAACUUGGGAGACUAUUGUUACGCCUCUUCCAUUGUCAAAUGGCAUCUCCAUCGUAAGAGAAUUGAGGCCCGCACUUCACAUCAUUCUACACAGGUAGCAAUUUGGCCGAGCCGCCAUGGAGGGCUGAGCCCCCAUGAAUGAAGCGAGGAAGGUAGAGGCAUCUUAGGGAAGAUCUUCAUAUAAGAUCUUGUAACAAGUGGGGUGAUGUGACAACUCUCUACAUGGACUGCCCAACUCAAUAAACAAGUCAAGUCAAGUCUAGUCUAGUCUAGUCUUACAUGUCAGGUUUAGAACUGCUAAUGGUCAUAACAUUAUAUGCACUUGAGUCUAAGCCUGACUGAUUGAUGCCUAUAACAAGAGGCCCUAGCCGCCAAGAUGAGGCCACUUGUCUCUUCAUCCAACGGUUCUUAUUCACCUUCUUCUAUUAUAAAAGCUCACACUUGAUAUUAUUUCAAAGGUAAUGCAAGUUUAGACUUUUAUACUAUAACUUUGUUUUUUGCAUUCUUUACUCCCAAUACCGACCCCCUUUUUAUAUUGGAGGCUCACGUUAAAAGCCCUCCCACACUCAUAUAUGUCUUCCCACAAACUGAUUUGACCGUCGGAGUAUGCGCGGCCGGCUCCAACCCCAUCGGAGAAGGCCACGUGUGUCUAACGGUUUGUCUUAGUGUGCAUGAAUACGACUUACUUGGACAUGAGAAGUUUUGAAAUCUGUUGGCCAUAUCUGAGGUUUAUUUUUUGAGUUCAACAAAUACAAAACCAAAAAAAUACCAAUAUAAUUUCAUCAACUUCAUAAUGAGAAGAUCCAAAACUGACUCCAGUUUUUGGUAUUCAGAUAUAUUCCGAUCAAAUAAGCUGUGUUAUUAUUUUACUUCAAUAUAUAGAAUUUCUUGUGGUAUCAUUCAACUGGUAAAUAUUCAAUCUGGAUUCUAGAAGCUGUAAAAAUUGGAAUAUGUUUGAUAUAAAAAAAGCUAAAACGCAUCUGUCAGAAAUUCUAAUCUUUAUCUUAUUCAUGUCCUUUGAAUGAGACGCAAAAGAAUGCAUAGAUUAUUCAAACGAAACAGAUAGUCAAUAAUGGCGUGCCAAGAUAAUGAAUUUUAAGCUGCAGUAUAGUAAUAUGAGAAUGGCCUUAUCCACAACACCGCACCUAUAAAAUACCUCUUCAUGUUCUGUUUUCUAACAAGCUCUCAAUUUAUAUUCACGUCAUUUUUCUUCGAGUCUUCCUAGGUUACACUAUUAACGAAAAACAUGGGUAUCUCUAAGUUUUUCCAUGAAAUCAAAGCUAAGGCUUCUCACAAGAGGAUGUUCAAGGCUGUGAUGAUUGAAAACGCCGACGUUUUGCCGAAAGCCCAUCCACACAUCAAGAAAAUCGAGACAAUCCAAGGAGAUGGUGGUGUUGGAAGCAUCAAGAAGACAACUUUCAGUGAUGGUUAGUCUACUAAACAACAUCACGUAAAACGAAUAAGAAUAUUAUAAUUUAUUUGCAGUACUGAGAGAAAAACGCUAUCUUUAAUCCUGUUCAAUAUUAUCAAUAUAGCAUUUUAAAUAUUUGAUAAGUAUGUUAUUACAAAAAUUAAAAAAAAAACAAUAAAAUAUAAAAAAUUCUUAGGGACAGACAAUAUAACAUCGUCGUUGCUUAUGUACAAUGUUGUGUAAUCUAGCAUACUAAAUGUGUCAUUCUUUUUUACAUAAUCUGAUGAGCAUAUAUGUUUUCCCAAAGGCAAGUACAUGAAGAACAAGAUCGACCAUCUGGACCCUGCAAACGGCGUGGCUAAGUUGACUUUAUUUGAGGGUGACGUACUUGGAGACAAAAUUGAAUCUAUUAGCUACGAGGUGAAAUUUGAGGAUUCAAAGGAUGGAGAAUGUGUUGUCAAGAUCAACACUGAGUAUCAUACCAAGGGUGAUGUUGUACUAAAAGAAGAGGAUAUUAAGGCAAGCAAGGAACAAUCUUUUGAAUUCUACAAGGCUUAUGCAGAUUACCUAAAUGCCAAUCCUCAUGUUUGUGCCUAAAUAUUUUUCAGUUAUGUCUUGACGUUGUGAUGUAUAAUGGAAACACACAUGUUUCCCUAUUUCCCUAUUUCAGCAAGAGUGGUGUUUUUGCCUUAAUAAAGAACUUUGUUCUACUUUCCUUUGAAGUCUUCUUUUUUUAUUUUUUUCCUCCAUCCCACCGCCGCCCCCCCUAAAACGACUAUAUAUUGCAUAUUUUAUUAAUAGCAAAGACAAAACAUAGUAUAUACUUAGGAGGGAGGUUCAACCACACCCUCCAGCUGAAGAUAAUAUAUAUAUAUAUAUAUAUAUUCUCUAGAAACAAUAUAUAAAAUGUAAGAGUUAAAAGAAAGCACACUAUAUACGCUCUGUCAUACUCCCCAUCAUCUUUCAAUAAGUGGUCAAUCAUGCUCCUUAUUAUAUUUGAACUCACUACAUGAAGUUUGUUCUUUUCGACUAAUUAAAUUCAUGUUUCUAUAAUCAAUUCGAUCCCCCGAUUGAAUCGGGCGCAAACUGUCAUCAAAUUUUCCAAUACUAAUCAAGAAUUUUGUCAUGACCCAUACCGAAUCAUCCUAAUAAAUCCAACACCUGUCAUGCGCCGAUAGUAGAUACCACUUAAGUAUGGGAUCCACCACCAAGGCAACUAUAUCCUGCUUAGAUUGUGACAUAUUUCUAUAAAAAUUUGACAAAAUUUCUUCUGAAAUAUGGACUAAAACCACGUGAAUAAAACGCAAUUUCUCAACCUUGUACAUAUAAUAUAAAAUAUAAUACUCUAGUCCCUCAAAAUACUAAUUAUUCAAAAUAAAAUACUUACAAAUCGAUAUUUACUUACUUUACAACUAACAAUCAUUAAAUGUACUAAAGAUGCCAAAUAUGUAGUGUGCCCAUAGAAACAUGUAUUAUAUAAACUGAUAAAGUAGGUCAUACAACUAAUGACUUGUGGCUCAAUUCAAUGGAUCGACAAGAUCUAAAGCUGUUCAACUCGAUUGCUAUUUGAUAAAGAAAAAGGUGAUAAGAUAAAUGAGCUUAUAGCUUAGUGAGUGAAUAAUUUGCAAAUGAGUAUAUUUUUUCAUUUAUACAUAUUUUUUGAAAAUUCCUACUCUGUUAAAACUUUGAGAAAUCCAAAAAUUUAGUAACACUUUUAAAACUAAACAUAAUUUCGUCAUACAAUUCUUUGUUCUUAUUCUAGGUAAGCAACUAUAAGGUACAAUAAAUAUGAAUAAUCUGAUAUCAGUAAAUAUAAGUGAAAAUAUCAUUUCACAUAACUAUAAGUUGAAAUCAUAACUCUAAAAACUAGAUAAGCUAAAUUCUAUACUUUGUAAUCAGAUAAGUUGUAGAAAAAAAAUAAAAUAAAAAUUCACACCAAAAAUGGUACCCAAAAUAACCUUAAUCAUGUAUCGAUUAGUACCGUUACACAUGGCAAAUCUAUUCAAUUUUGAAAUUCUGGUCAUAUGCGCACAGAGCUGCCUGAAGGCUAUAAUCUAGUCAUACACUAUGGAAACACAUUCACAAUAGUACAAAGCAGAUAAAAUCACCAUAAUUGAUCAUACACUGUGAAAAUACAUUCACACCAGUACAGAGUAGGUAAAAUAACCAUAUGCAAGGUCGGACCUAAGGAGAGGCCCAAGAGGCCUCGGCCUCAGGCCCAACUUUUUAGGCAACCCAAAAUUGUGUUUUCCUUCUUCAUUUCAUUUCUUUUUUUUUUUUUUUUUAAACCCACUAUGUGCACAAAAGGGGGAAAAAACCAAAACGGCAAAAUCCCGAGAAAUCAAAAGGGUAAAAAUCAAGAACAAAGAAGAACGACGGUGGAGGUCGGAGAUUCGGAGCUGAUGUGAUCGUCAUCACCAUCAAUAGUUCACCUCCCAAUUUCCUCUCCGUUGACGAUGGUAUUUUUCUUCAAAAUAAUCUUGUAUUGUAUUGGGUGAUUGGUAUGGAUUUUUCCGAAGCAUCCUACAUUUUUUGGCAUGCUUUUUAUUUAAAUCGCAGUGGCCUGAGGGCUGACAUAUGCAUUAGAUUGAGAAUUGAGAUUAAACAAUUUGGUUCUAAUUAACUUUACUUAUUCAGAAAAUCACCAGCUCCGUCCGCUGUUUUGUUUGAGGAGAAAAAGUAAAAGGCUGAAAAGGAUUAACUUUUGAGUUUUGGUAUUGAAUUGCAUGGAUUUAGGCAUUUAGCUUUGUGUUGGAACUACAUUGAAUCAUUGAUAUUAUUUUGAUUCCUGGAUUCUUAGAUGUUCUUUCAUGUAUUUAAUCGGGCAAUGGGCAGCAACUGAGGCUUUAUGUGAAAUUUGAAUUUCAUAGAGUUUAGACAUUGAGGCAAUCAGAUCCUGGAGCUUGGGUGCUAUUUCUGUGAUUAUCAAGAGAGCUGGGAACUGAAGGUCAAACACUUGAAAAAACCAUCACUGGACAUAUGAUUAGAAGUAGCUACAGGAACACGAUGAAUUUAAGUUAUUAGUUUUCUCUUUUUUGGAGUUGAUAACUAAUUUAUAUAAUAAUAUUCUCUUGAGUGGCCAAGACAAUUUCGCCUGCUGAUCCAGUAAUGAAUGUUAAUUGUCCUCUGGCAGUUCAUAUUACUCUUUCAUGUCCCUCUAUAAAAGUAUGGAUUUUUGACUGCUAUGAAAUAAUCUUCUAUACUCAGGUUACUCUUACAUUUCAUUAAAUCUAAUUUAUUAACAUUUUGUGAAACUACAGGAGAGUUGAUUGAUAUAAUUUUUGUUCUAAUUUUACAGUUUACGAAGUGUUAGAUGUUGAGUGACUUGAGUCAAAUACCAUACCUCUAAUUUUUGUUGCUUCAUUAUUGAUUUUAAGUUAAUAAAUUUAAUUCCUUAAAACUCUUAUAAAUUAAAAGGAUGAAUUGCUUGCUGUGACUUAGAAGCUCAAAUUCUAAAGUUUGCCUCAAGCCCUGCGAAACACAAGUCUGGCUAGGGUUGGCAACGGUUCGGUUAUGGGUCGGUUCGGCCAAAACCAUACCGCACCACCAAAUUUUUGACCAUACCAUAACCGCACCAUAACCACGUAAAUCGAUUCGGUUCGGUUCGGUUCGAUUUUUAUCUCGGUUCGGCACGGUUCGAUUCGGUUAAUAACCACGAAAAUAAAUUAUUUUUUAUAGGUUCAUCCGUCAAAUUGAUAUAAAACAAUUUAUGAAAAAAGUCAAUGAAAACAAAAAUACAAUAUUUCAAACGAAAAUGCAAACAUUAUCAAGCAAUAUUCCAAACGUAAAUGCAAACAUUAUCCUAAUUUUCAAUUGUAAAAUGCAAAUUUAACAAACAAUAUUAUAAAUAUAAUAAUACUAAACUUUUCCUUCAUUCUUAAUUGUUGUGCAUUGAAGUUACUUGAUGCAUUCUUCCCUACAAGUCUUAUUAGCAUAGAUCAGCAUUCAAAGUUGAUUCCUAUUCAUCCUUGGCAAUAUUGGCACGUCUAGAAAAACAUCGAACUCUGUUUUUACAUGAUCAGCAGUAAUAGAAUGACUAACAAAUGUAACAAAUUUUCGUAGGCGACGACGAUUUGGACCAUAGAGGCAAUGGAGCCGUGCGUGAGUUUUUGGUUGUGCAGAGUAGGGUUUGUAUUUAUAUACUGUCAUACUAAUGUUAUUAUGGGCUAAUGGUAAGUAGAUUGGCCGAAUGAGUGAGGUAGAUAUAAUGAGGAGGGGAGGGAUUUUGUUUUGAUUUUGAUAGAAAAGUAGUGUAAAACCCAUUAUCAAUUCAAUUUUUUUUUAGCGGGUAGCCGGUUCGGUUUCGGUUCGACGACGUAAAUACCAUACCCGCACCAUUACGAACCGGUUCAUUAAAAUCAAAACCAUAUCCGCCCCAUUGCACCAUCGGUUCGAUUUUUUUCGCCCCAUUCGGUUCGGUGAACCGCGGUUUUCGAUUUUGACGGUUCAAAUUGCCAUCUCUAAGUCUGGCCCUGGUGUUAUGGAGCCACACACCGUGGAAACACAUUCACACAAAUGCAAAUAUGGGUAAAAACUCCUAUAUACUUUCUGAUAGUUUUAAAAAUAACUUUAAAUAUAUUGAAAUAUUUAUAUUCAUUUAGCAUGCAAAUCAAAUGAUUUAACUAAAUUGGAUUUAACUUUAAAAAUAAUUGAUUAUAAAUCCACUUUAUUCUAAAAUUCAUGUUAUCAAAUCAACUAAAUGAAAUAAUAAAUUUUCGGAUCUGAUAUAAAUUUAAUAAAUACUAAUUUUUGAAAAAUAAGUUUAUAUCUACUCACCAAGUUAGAGAUUGAUUGUGAUUUCAAUCUUCUUGUCACCUCCUCACAUUCAAAUACCAAGUAUGACAUCUUGCACUCCUCCCAAGAAACCAUAUCUCGUCACUAAAGUGCUUUAAGCAAUUUUUCCUACCAUUAGAAAUGAUUAUUUACUGAUAAGCACUUGGAGUAUUUUAUUUUCAAUGUAAGGUAAUAAUCUCAAUUAGGGUCAUAAUAACAUAACGACCUUUAUAUAAGUUACUUCAACAUUUAAUCCCCAAUAUUUAAUACUUAAUUUGGUUUUCACACUAAAAAAUCCAAGAAAAUCAAAGAUAACAAAAAAUAGCACUGUAUUUCCAGAAUAUAGAAAUCUGGCACCAAUUUCUGUAUAUUGAACUGCCACCAAAACCAUUGACAGAAAUGGCACCUUCUGGGCAGAAUUUCAAAAAGAGCACUAUACAUGAAUUUUGCCCGAAAAUUAAUUAGAAAAAAAAAAAACCAAAUCCAACCUCAACUCCUUAUCUCAUUGUAAUGCCUCAUAAAUCAAGUAUUUUAUAGCAUAUACACAAUAAAUAUAGAGAUUUAGGCUGUGAUUUACAAACCCAUUUCAUAUUACUCUAACAUAUAUUCAACUCCAAUAUCUAUUCUUUCCUCCAAAUCUUUAAAGUUAGGCCACUAAUUACAAACCCAAAUCUAACAAUAUUGAAUAACAAUGAGUUUUCUUACCUCUUGGAAUAGAAUGAAAGAAAUGAACCUUGUACUUGAGUCCAUAUUUCAUCUUCUUCAAUAAUCUCUUUUUCCUUUCCUAUUUCCCAUUUUUUCUUAUCAUCUUCCCCCUUUUUCUUUCUCUAUCUCUUCUUUCCUUCUCUACCUCCUUCUCGAUUAUUCUCUCAGCUUCUCUGCUCGUUUUAUCCCCAAAUGGAAAAAUAGUGGUACUAACUCAUAAUUGCAAAACAAGUCCUCCAACCUUCAUUUAAAACCACAUUAAAUCCUUGUCUUUCAAUUCUAUAUAAGUCGAUCCCCAAAAUUAAAUUUUAUCCAUCUUAAACCCUCAAAAUAUUUUUCAUAAUAAAUUAAGCCCCAAUAAACUAAUUUAUUUCAUUUUAGUCCCUAUUGACUUUGACUUUGAUAACUAAACUUUUAAUUUUUGACUACAAAAUAUUGAGUUGUAACAAAUUUAGUUUAUAGUUUUCUAUUCCGAGUGAUAUAAUGAAUGUUUUGAGUUAAUUGAGACAAGCACGUGGGGCUUGUUUUAUAUCCCUAUUUAUCGCCAGAAACACAUAGAAUCUAAAUCUUCACAUGAGUCCCCUAAUCACUCAAAUUCUUAGAAAGUUAUUUUAUUUAUGUGCCAUCAUAUCCUAUUUCUUCACCCAAAUUCAUCGUAUGAAAGUUACCCUCAUAAUUUCCUAAUUCUAGUGUCACAUGAUGUGACAAUUGACUAGGAAAACCUGAAAUCGAAGAAAAUCAUAGCAUUGUCUUUGAAAAUUCACUAGGAGAAAGCGAGAAGAAAACAAGAAUAAAUAAUCGAGUUAGAUUAAUCAUAAUAGAUAUGUUGGGUCCUGAUAAAAGUUUACUUGUAAGUUAAUAAUUAGUUUAGAUUAAUUUAAUUUUUAUUUGAUUAUUUUCAAAAAUAUGUAAUUUAAUUGUCUUGACAGCAAAAUAUAAUGUUAUUUUGAAGAAUAAUAAUUUAUUAUUAUUUUUAUUUUAUUUUGAAACGCAUUAAUAAUAAGUUAUUCAAAAAUAAAUAAAUAAAUAAAAAUGGUUUGGAAAAAAAAGUAUUACAUAAAAGUAAAUUUAUAUUUUUUAAGCUUAGCUAAUCAUACUAUUAUAUUUAGUAAAUCAAAUUAUGUUUUUCUUAUUUUUAAGUAAAUAUAUUAUUUUGAAGAAUUUUUACUUUACUCAUAAUAAGAAACAUAGCCUCAAUUCGAAAAAUUUAUAAAUCUUUAUUAAUAAUGAGGAAUAGUUGCGAGUCUCACCAAAUGUGUGGAUAAUAAAUAAGUAAUAAUUUAUGAACAUUAAUUGAAAUUAAUCUUUGAUUUUGACUUAAUUUAUAAAUCAUUUAUCAAUUGAUUGUCAAACGGAGGUCUAAUUACAUUCAAUAGCAACAGAUGAAAAAUUAUUUAUUUCAUAUGUUACUUAUUAUGUAUAAGUAAAUUAUAUAAGCAUAAAACUUUUUAGUCCCAGCCAAACGAAAAUAAUAGAAACCCAAUGGCUGCAAAUUUGUAGUUGUUUAUAAUUAGAUCAUCUUAUCAUCAUUUAUCAUUACCCUAGCAAAAGAAAUAUAAGUAAUCAACGAGAAAUCUGUUGGAAAAAUGGUUUUAGUUAAGCAAACUUGAGCUUAGUUUUACGUGAGGCUCUCCAAAAUUUACAAGAUCAAGCAUUCACAUUCUACUCCGUGAGAUGAUUGACAUGAUAUAUUUAUUUAUUAAAAUCAUUGAUAAUUGAAUGAAAUAUUUGAUUCCAAAUUUACCCUCUUCAAAAUUUAAAUUUGAAAUUGCUAAAUUCUUGUCCACAUUUGAAACCUUAUGGUAUAUAGUAUGGUUUAUAAGGUGAGAGCUGACAAUUGGGUUUGGGUUUCAAGGGUACCACAUUUGAAAGCAUGUUUAGUCGUGGGAAAAAUAUGAUAUAUAGUAUGAGCUGUUCAAGGGUACCACAUUUGAAACCUUGUGAUAUAUAGUAUGAGUUGUUUUAUUAUAAGGAAUGUGAGAAAAAUAUGGAUGAACUUCAUAAUGAUUACUUAUUAUGGGAUAAUUUGUUGCCUAAGAAAAGAGUUAAAUGGAUAUGUACAUUCAAGUAUGUUUAUGUGAUUUGAGAAAAAAGGGGAGUAGAGAAUGGUAGAGUUGGAAUUUAUUUAGAUUAAAAAAUUAAUAUAAGAGAUCUGGGUGGCAUAUUGAUGUGUGAAAGGUUCAUAUUAAAAAUAUGAAGGUUGUUAUUUUGUGAUCUUAACUAAAAUUGAUAUAAUUAAAAGUUAGAAGGCAUAUGGUACGGCUAUAAGUAUGUGAUGGUGUUAUAUGAUUACAACAUGAUAUGAUGAGUAUGUAAAUGAACAUAAUGGUUGUCAUAUAGCAAAAUAAUGUGAUGAUUGAUUUGGUUAUUAAGUUAAUUCAUUUUCUUAAUGCCAUUUUGCUGGAUUAUUGUGUUAUAUUCCAUACAAUUUGGAAGCGUUGAGUUAACUUUUGAGGCCAAGGUGAAAUUAUUGAAAUUUUGGUGAUAUAAUUUUUAGGUCAUUUUCAAUUUUAUUUUAGGAUCUCAUGAAUAAAGUAUUUCAUUUUUAUCGAGAUGUAUUUGCUACGAAAUAAACGGAUGAUAUGUUGGAAAAUUUAAAGUUUAAGAGGAUCAUCAGAUGUAUGUUUAUACAUUGUGGAAUGAUAUCUUUAGGUUACAUUAACUUCAAUAAAGGUCUUUAUCUGACAUACAAAAAGACUUAUGUAUUGGUAAUAGGUCCAAGGCCUCUAUAUGGAAUAAGAGUGUAGCAUUAUCAUGGAUCAAAUGUUAUUAAUGUCUCUUCAUAGAAAGAAAGCGAAAAAAAAAAUGUGUUGGUUUAGAAAGGUAAAAUUUGUGCCUACGAGGAGCUUGAAAUUGAUUAAAUUUUGAGGAAAUAUUUGCUCACAUAUCUAAAGUUGAUGAGGGUUUGAUUUAUGAUAAUGAAUUAUGCUAGGGUUUGGAAAGUGUUUUGAAUAAACGAUAAAUUAUGGAUUAUAAGAUAGAUUGUUGAAAAUGCAUGAUUAAAAUAUGAUUUAGAGUUGACUAUUUUAGUAUUGACAUUUAGAAUUAUAAUGUUAUCACAUGGUGAGAAAUACGAAUACUUACCAAUCACAAAAGUUUAAGGUAUAUUUGUAUUCGAAAGAAUUGAACAUGAAGCUGGCAUAUAAGACUCGAUACAAAUAACUCUUUUGAGGUUAUAUGAUACUUGUAUAUUUCAAUGGCUUAUUUAUUGGGAUGAAAGUUACAAAAGAAAGCUAUUGAAUCUUAAUACCACUACAACAAAACAAUGAUUUAGCGAUAAGAUUUUUUGCGACAUACAAAAAGUUGUCGCAAGAAGUGACUUAACGCGACACAUUUUUAAAGUUUGUCGUGAAGAUUGUGAUGAAAAAAAUAUGUACCAAAAACUAUUUUACGACAUAAAAAGUUGUUGUGAAAUGUGAGAUGUUGCGACAAAUAAUAAAGAUUGUCACCAAAAAUAUGAGGGAAGCAAGGCACCAAAAUAUUUUUGCUGUGAAAUUUAUGGCGACAAACUUCUUUUCUUGCAACAAAAUGCUUAUGAUGCAAUAGGGUCUCCUCUUGGCGAUAAAAAAAUAUUUUUUUCUAAAAAUUCUAUAGUUGGAGGAAAAAAAGGCUACAAGAAUAUAACUUUUUUGCAGCGGACAAAAAAUAUUGCAGUAGAUUUUUUACAAUCCUCACCCAUAUAUGUCGACCCUAAUAUUGUCGUAGAGUUGAAGGAUACUGCAAUGUGCAAUACAUGCCGCAAAAGACCUCAAAUGUAAGUGUUCAUGAAAUAUUUCUUUCGACUUAAAAUUAUUGCAAGUGUAUGAUUCGUUAGCAAGUAAUAAAGUUGAAUGUUAAGUUCUGAGUAUCGUUACACAGAGAUUGAGUAGUUUAAUUCUAACUAUUUUAACCUUAAUCGAAACAAAUUUUUCAAAACAGGAAUUUAUUCUCAGAAAAACCCUAAUUUAGUAAAACCCUAAUUAUUGAAACUUGAUGAUUGGAAUGAACUCAAUAUGCAAAACAACAUUUUAUAGAAUUAAAAUGCAAAUUAUACGUUUGGAAUGCAAAUUGGCUGUGUUCAAUGAAAACUAAAAGCACUAGAAUCACGAAUUUCUAUGUAAUGAUCACUCUUAACCCUAAUUUCACAAAAUGACAACACGAUUAAAUUAUUGACGAAUCAAUGCUCCUAAUUCUAUUCAACACUCUCUCUCGAGAUGUAUUAAACGUAUUCUUAUACACCACCGGCCUAUAUCUCUAUAACAAAUGCAUAUAUAAGAAUGCAUGUGGUUUUAUGAACAUCUAAAGAUUCACGCAAAGCAUAGGGGUAUAUCUCUAUCCCGUAUCGGACCCUACGUCGAUUUAUACCUUGUCAAAUUUAUUUCUCUUCUCUCGAACAGAUAAAAUAAACCACCAAAUAUCACAUAAUUACGUACACUUAAUUAUGGAGGAAAAUUAUUGUAUAUAAAUCAUUCAAACAUUCAAAUACAUGUUUAUUGUCAAAUUGCAAACUAGAAAUUAAAGAAAUUAUAUCAUAUUGUACAUUGAUCUCCCAGUACAUGAAAACCUAGCCCAACAUGAAGAAAAUUACAAAAUACACGAUAAAUUGUAGAGAAAGCAUCACUAGGUUAUGAAUUUGCUUGAAAUCUUGAUGAUCUUCGUGUAAGUUCUUGUUACUUUAGCUCAAAAUCCUCUCCAAGAUGUGUUUUCUUGUCUCCCAAUGCGUUCUGUCUCGAAAUAUGAUAGCUUUAGGUUUAUUAUAUUGCUUCCAAAUCACGUUCCAAUAGAAUUAUAACACAAAACAGAAACUGCAGAAUCGUCCCGAAUUUUUACACCAUGCGACCGCAUGGUUGAACCUAUUUUGGGAUUUUAAAUCUCGGGUGGGGGUUGUGCGAUCGCAUGGUUAUAACACCAUGUGACCGUAUGGUGUAAACCUUCCAAUUUGUGCUGUUUUAGUCCACAAACUCAAUCCUCUUGUUUAUUGGCCUCUUUUCUUCGACUAUUUUAUUCCAUCCUCUCAUAUUGACCUCCAAUUGGUACUUGUUACUAUCAAUUCUUUGAUUGCUCCCUUGGCUCAUCUUGUGGAUAUAUGCACUUUGGUCCUCGAAUUAUCACUUUGAUUCAUUUUGGUCCUUUUCACUUAUUUUUCUCGUGAAUUCCAUCAACUCUAUUAGAAAACCCUACAAUCCAAGACUCAAGAGAAUUUAGGUCACAUUCCAAACGUUUUGCUCGUAUUUUAGUCAUGUUUGUGAGUUAUAUAAGUGUAUAAAAACGCACUUAUCAACUCCCCCAAACUUUAACUGUUGUUUGUCCUCAAACAAGAUAGUAACUUAAAUCUCAACAAUCAUGACUCAAUAAUCUGCCAUAUCUCAGGAUUGGAAUUCAGUGAUUAACACAAGAAACAGUUUCAACAGUGUUAGAAUAGAAUUUACCUUUACUUGUCGGAUGCAAGACUCAUCCUGUGUAUGUGAUUUCAUACAAUCAUAGCAAGCUCAUGAUUGGUUCAUUCCCGACCCCAAAAUGGUCAAAUAUAUUCUUAAUUCGCUCGAGAGAUACACAACCCCCAACUUAUUCUUUUCACUCAAUUAUUUCAGGGUUGUGCUUUAAAGUUAAGGGUUUGGGUAACUGUAGUCCUUACCCUCUCUUUGUUUGGAUAGAUCUCACCAUCACAGGUUCGCAUGUCAACAAAUGAAGGCUCUCCUAGAUUUGAUUGCUUUAACACUCAAGAUUAAACUAAGUUACUUGCCUCGCCUUGAAGGUGUGAUUUUUAUCAACCAAAUGUCCAAAGGCUUCUUCUAUACUAUCGUACUCUGUAUUUUUCAUUAAUUUUUUUUAUGUCAUCUUCUCAUUUGCUUUCUAUAUGACCCCUGUAGCGAGCUUUAGGCCGGUGACUUCCAACCCAAUUGGCUUUAGGGCAUGAGGUUUUAAACCAUUGCAUGCUUAUUCACUCGAGUUAUAAGGGCUCGAUCAGAUUUUUUUUAUUAAUAUCUUUCCCUCUUGCUUUCUAUAUGACCUUUGUAACGAGCGUUGGGCCGGUGUCUCUCAAACCAGUCGGCUUUAGGGCACUAGAUUUCGAGAUAUCCUUAAAGGCUUACUUGCUUGAGUCAUAAGGGCUUGGAAAUGUGUCAUAUUUUCGUAACCUAAAAUUAUGCCCAUUUUUAUUUUUUCUAGACAUUUGGUCUCUAGAAUCAACCCCCCAAUUGAAGAGUUUCUCCUAGUUUUCAUCUCACAUGUCUAGACAAUCCACACAGCAUUACAUGCACGAAGCCCCAACUUAUCUCAAUGUUCCCAUAUAAUUGUUAAACCAUCUCCAAUUUAUUCAACAAUUUUUGGUUUAUUAAUCAAAUCGAGGUUUUCUGGUUUCUCCUGCUUUAUUCAAACCUAAUUACUCACUUGACAUGUAUGGCAUGAGUGGCGUGCAUAUGAAAUGUCAAGUACUACCUCAACAAGUAUCAGUUAAUCAAAUUUUGCACUAUAUUCACAGUUCCUAACACAUAUGUAUUCUAAUAAUCACAUCAUUGUCGGUAAGGCUAUCAAACCCAAAAUGCAUGCAAUGAACUUAAUAGAGCAUAUUGAUACAAUAAUCACUCAUCAAGCACACAAUAUGCAACCAGUGUCAAAAGAUUGAUGGAUUGUGAUCGUUUAAAAAAGGAUUACAUUACAUGCCGAUAAUUUAGUUUCCAAAAGAGUCAUGUUCAAAAUAUACCACCACCCCCAAACUUAUACAAUACAUUGCCCACAAUGUGAAAAAUAAAGGCUUCAAGAGACAUAAUUUGAAGGACAAGUGCAACUUAGAGUUAGCAAAUUAGUUAAAUAAAACUCCCUUGAUCACUAUGGUGGUGGUGACUGGUAGCUACGUCCUACGGUGUCGUUGCUCGGUAGAUGUGGAAAAUGAGCCAAGAUGUGCCUCAGUAGAUCUGACUGCUUGACUUACUCUGCUUACAUGGCUCUCAUCAUGCUACUCCGUGCUCUAACUUCGCCUUCCAUGCUAUGCAUUUGGUCCAAAGUGUCGUUCACUCUUUUCUGUAUUCCAUCCAUUCUACCCACAUAUAUGCUCAGUUGCUCGUUCAUAGUUUCCAUCUCCCGUCUAGCUGAUCGGGCCUCCUGAUACGUAGUCUGUGCUGUGGUUUGAGUGGUACUAAUAUCACGUCGGGCUGUCUGCAUGUUGGUCAUCAAAGACCUUGGAGCUUGCUGGAUCUCCUCUAUAUCGCGAUUGGUUCUUGUGAGAGUCGUAAACAUCUGAUGCAGUAAUUGUGUAUCAGCUCCCAUAGGUGGUGGUGGUGGUGCCUGGGACAUCUCAUCAUCGUUGGGUCCCUGGUCCUGUGCAACCUACUGCUGUCUUCAUCGUUCACUCUCUUGUUCGUCCCGAUGUCUUAUCCGAGCUCGCUCUUGAGCCUCAAAUGUAGUACGCUUUAUUGGAGGGCUGGGUUUUUUAGACACCUCCUCUGGUAAAAUUGUAACACCCCGACAUAUGCCGUUGAUGAGGCUCGGGAAGACCAAAGUGGUACGUCGAUCCCGCCAAGUGUCUAAGGUGUGGAUUUGAUUGUAGAUAAGGGUGGCGAGGUCUAUUUUGCAAUCUCGAACCAGAUGAUAAAUAAAGCCUGUUGUUUGAUCAGGAAAUGUGAUUCUUUGUUAUCUGGGCUUGAUGUUGUGAUACAUGAAGAGCCAUAGUAUGGCUGUAGAUGGUGUGAGCUCUAUUUGAUGCCAUUCAGCAGUUGCUAGGGGCCAUGCAUUUUUCUGUCCCAACAAAACCUCAGCUACUUCAUGCCAGUUGAAUUCGGUGGGGAUGGGAACCACAUUUUCUAUGUUUAGCUGAUAAUAAUCAUGGAUAACAUCUGAGGAGAACAUAAUCCAUUUCCCUUGCAUCCAUGUCUGAUGUAUAUGCUCUAAACCUGGGGUGUCGAUUUUACUAUUGAAAUUUGCAAAGAACUCUCGGACUAGAUUCUCAUAAACUGGGUGAGGUCUCUCAAUUCUGGACCAAAUUCACCAAUUCAAACUCGAGAAAUCUUCAAGUUUAACUGGUCUUUCAGGGUUCAUUGUCCAGUGGUGUAUGAUGUUCUCAUAUCGGGCAAUGGUUUCAGCACUGAAGAACCUCUAUAAUUUAUCUUCGAGUUCUCUAGUUCUCACAGUUCCGGAAUAUGAGCCAACUUUUUCCUUGCCCUUUGAAGUUCUUUUCAGCGGCAUCCUGCAAAAAAUAAUAUUUUCAAUGUCAAAACCAUAGAAUGCAAUGAAAAAGUAUGUCGAAAACACGAAAAUCAACUUUAGAUGCACGAAUUUCCCAAACUUACUCCUAGAUGCAUGUAUAACACGUUAAUGUGCAAUAUUCAAGAUAUGAUGUUCACGAUAGUGGAAAUAUUGCGCAAAUAGGAAAAAUAACAAAAUUAGGCUCAAACAUGCACAUUAUGAAAAUUUGACCCAUGACCGAGUGCGCACUUUUGACCCCGAGCAUCGUUGAAAAAUAUCGAAAUUUUUUCAGGCCAUCUCUGGGCAUAUGGAAGUAUUCAAUGUAGUCUAUCACAUAUUCAAAUUCCAAAUUGAUCGGAUGUCAUUUGGUGAGGUAAAUGAAUGGGCCAAGUAGGUAACGCAGGGUGCUGUGACUUGGCCAUGUAUUGCUACAUUAUGCAAGUUGGGGUUUUAUGUUUUUCAUAGCCUUUCAUGUGAUAUCUCAUUAUCGAAUUGUUAUUCACGUUAAUUGUACGGCAUGACAAAAUCAAAGUUGACAAAAUUGUAUAAAGCUUGUCACUUAGGCAUUUGAUCGAACAUAUUGUGUGCACUAUCAUCAAUUCCAUUCUAUGAAUGAUUGGCAAAGUGUAAUCACCCACAAUGCAUAAACACAAAUCAAUGUUAAAAUCUAAGCCUACUUACACCCUUUCACCUCAAUUUCCAAUUGUAAAUUAUAAGUACCUACAAACUGAAAUCUAAAGGAGGAGAAGAGAUAAAGUUCAUGCCUUGAUUUUGAUAUGAAUGUGUGGAUGUAUGAAGGAAUGAAGGAUGAUUCAUGAUUUUUUUUGGAUGUGUGCAUGUAUUUUGGGGAUUUCGCGCUUAGGGUUUGAGAGAUGAGUAAAAGGGGAAUGGGGAAUAAUUGCCAAGUUACGGGUUAAAAACCCGUAACUGGCUUUGCCAUACGGCCGCAUGGCAUUAAUCCAUGCGGUCGCAUGGUAUGGAGAUCACCCAAAAAGAUUUUUUGGUAGGUAUCCAUGCGAUCGCAUAGACACUUUUUCUAUGUGAUUGCUUAGACAAAUUUUUUUUAACUAAUGAUUAUGAAAAUGUACCACACACCUAAUUCUCAAAAACACGACUCAAAUCACUUUUUCCCAAAUUUUUUGAUUUUCAAUUGGUAAAUUUGAUCUAGCAUCUUCUAUGCUUGAAAAGUUUUGAAAAUAUAUUACGCAAUGUGGGAUAUGUGCUGGCCUAUAGACUUAGUACCAAAACCAAUUUUCGAAUUGAAUUCAAACCACACUUUGGACAAUUUUAUGAAAAAUGAUUGUGUGCCUCGAAAUGCGUGAGUAUCACACCCAAUCACCCAACAACAACUUCAAUCUGUCUUAACUCGUGCUUAAUGUCUGGGGACUCAUGUGAACGGUGCUUAGACUCUAUUGACACAAGGAUGAUCGAUGACUUAACUAAAAAUGCAAGCAUGAAAUGCAAAGAUAAAAUAAAUCAAAGGAUACAGUGGGUUGCCUCCCACUCAGCGCUAGUUUAUAGUCGAUAGCUUUAACUCUUCCACUUCUGCAUCAAUUAGGCAUUCCGAGUUGAACGGUGGACUUUUGCCUGGAGAAGUCGCUGCCCCAGUAGUGUUUCAGUCUUUGCCCAUCAACUGUGAAUGUUCCCUUUGUUUCAUGGCCGGCCUAUAUAGCUCCAUAUGGCGAAACUUUAGUGACAGUGUAAGGGCCCGACCAUAUUGAUCUUAAUUUUCUAAGGAAGAGUUUGAGUCUCGAGUUAUAUAAUAGGACUUUCUGCCCCACUUCGAACUCUCGUCCCUGAAUAUGUAGAUCAUGCCACUUUUUGGUACAUUCUUUGAUAAGCUUUGAGUUUUCAUAGGCUUCCAUUCUAAAUUUAUCUAACUCAUUGAGCUGCAAUAAAUGAUUUUCAUCGGCGGCCUUCAAAUCCAUGUUCAACUAUUUCAUAGCCCAAUAUGCCUGGUGUUCUAUUUCUAGUGGAAGGUGGCACGCUUUUCCAAAAACUAGGCGGAAUGGAGACAUGCCUAUCGGUAUCUUAAAUGCUAUCCUAUAUGCCAACAAUGCAUUCUCCAACUUUUUAGGCCAGCCUUUUUGGGAGGAAUUCACUGUGACCUCUAAUAUUCUCUUCAGCUGUCGAUUGGACACUUCGACUUGCCCGCAUGUUUGUGGAUGAUAUGGGGUUGCUACACGGUGUUUAACUCCAUAUAUACUCAAAAUUGCUCGAAUUGGCGAUUGCUAAAGUGUUUGCCCCCGUCAUUGAUUAUUGCCCGUGGUGUGCUAUAUCUGGUAAAGAUGUAUUUCUUCAAGAACCCAAUUACCAUUUUUGCGUCGUUCGUUGGCAAUGCAACUAUUUCCACCCAUUUCGACACAUAAUCAACCACUACUAGGAUGUACUGAUUUGAAAACGAUGGGGAAAAACGGUCCCAUAAAAUCGAUUCCCCAGACGUCAAAUAUCUCGACCUCCAAUAUGCUGUUUAAUAGCAUCUCAUUUCUUCUUGAGAUGUUUCUAGUGUGUUGACAUCUAUCACACCUCUUAACAAACUCAAAGGUGUCUCUAGACAAUGUAGGCCAAUAGAAUCCUGAUUCUAAGAUCUUAGCGACAAUCUAUGAAGCUCUCAGGUGCCCCGCAUAGGCAGAUGAAUGACAAUGCUCAAGAAUUUCAGGCCCUUCAUCUUCAGGUAUACACCUUCUCACAAUUUGAUCAACCCCUAGCCUAUAAAGAAUAGGGUCUUCCCAAAAAUAAUAUUUCAGUUCGACAAAGAACUUCUUCUUCUAGUGACUUGAGUAAUCUGAUGGUGGGAUUGACUUAGUCAAAUAAUUGAUGUUAUCUGCAUACAAUGGGGCUUCUUCCACACUGAACAUUUGCUCAUCUGGAAAAAUUUCAUUGAUUUCCACUGACACCUCUGGUUCUUCUUGUUCUAAUCUCGAUAGGUGAUCUAUCACCACAUUUUGACUACCCUUCUUGUCCCUAAUUUCAAUGUCGAAUUCUUGCAGCAGUAUUACCCAACGGAUUAAUCUCGGCUUAGCAUCUUUAUUUGUUAUUAGAUACUUCAAUGUAGCAUGAUCUGUGUAGACUAUGACCUUAGACCCCACGAGAUAUGAUCUGAAUUUGUCAAAGGCAUAGACCACCACCAAGAGAUCCUUCUUAAUGGUUACGUUGUUGAUCUGGGCAUCAUUCAAUGUUCCGCUUGAGUAAUAGAUCUCAUGGAAGAUCUUGUUCUUUCGUUGUUCCAAUACUGCACGUACGAUAUGAUCAUUGACAUCACACAUUAACUCAAAAGGCAACUCCCAAUCAGGUGCUACAAUUACCAGCACUGAUGUAAGUUUCUCCUUCAAAGUGUUGAAAGUUGUCAGACAUUCCUCAUUAAAUUCAAAUGGCACAUCUUUCAUUAACAGGUUGUAGAGGGUCUUGGUGAUUUUUGAAAAAUCCUUUAUGAAUCUCCUGUAAAAUCCAGCAUGUCCCAAGAAGCUGCAAAUCCCUUUAACUGAUGUUGGUGGCGGUAACUUUUUAAUAACUUGAAUCUUUGCUUUGUCCACCUCAAUCCCUUUUGUUGAGACCCGAUGCCCAAGUACAAUCCCUUCUUGCACCAUGAAGUGAAAUUUUUUUCCAGUUUAGUACUAAAUUUGUUUCUUUGCAUCUUUUUAAUACUAGAUUCAAGUGUUCCAAUCACUCGUCAACGAAGACCCGAAAAUCAAGAAGUCGUCCAUAAAUAUCUCUAUAAAUUUCUCUACCAUGUCUGAGAAAAUCUCCAUCAUACGAUGUUGAAAAGUGGUAGGGGCAUUGCAAAGGUCGAAAGGCAUCUUGCGGUAUGCAAAAGUACCAUACGGGCACGUGAAUGCAGUUUUCUCUUGAUCGUCUGGUGCCAAUGGUAUCUGAUUGUAACCUAAAUACCCGUCAAGAAAGCAAGUAAUGUGAGUGGCCUGCCAAGCUCUCUAGCAUUUGGUCUAUAAACAGAAGGAGAAAGUGAUCUUUUCUUGUUGCUGUAUUGAGUUUGUGAUAAUCAAUACAAAUCCUCCAUCUUGUGACUAUUCUGGUCAGUAUCAGCUCAUUCUUCUCAUUGGGUACUAUCGUUCUUCCUCAUUUCUUUGACACCACCUGAAUUGGGAUAGUCCAUGCACUGUCUGAUAUCGGAUAGAGAUUCUAGCAUCUAGAAGUUUGAGUAUCUCUGCUCUGACGACUUCCUUCAUAUUUGGGUUCAACCUUCGCUGACUUUCUAUGGUUGGCCAAAAAUUCUCUUCCAUAAGAAUCUUAUGCAUGUAUAGUGAAGGGUUGAUCCCUUUGAUAUAUGUUAUGGUCCAUCCAAUUGCAGUCUUAUUCUUCUUGAGUACUCUAAGCAGUUUCUCCUCUUCCACUUCGCUGACUAUGUUCGAGAUAAUCAUUGAAGUAUACACGACUCCCCCAAGUAUGCAUAUCUGAGAUGAGGUGGUAGCUGCUUGAGUUCUAAUUUCGACGGCUGCUAAAUGGACGAUAGUGGUUUUGUGGGUCCUGUCCCAAGCUCCUCAAAAUAUCUUUUUCGUGUGUACGGUGGGUUAGUAUCUAAAAAUCUUGUAUAUGUUUCCAUCUCCACUGAAUUGGAGUGCGUUGAUUAUGAAUGUGCAAUGCAAACUUUAUACGCAUCUAAUGGGUUAUGAAGCAAGAAUGAGUUUUGGACCACCUUGUCAAUCACAUCAAUCUAGAAAUAGUUAUAUGUCUCUGUAUGCAGUUUUAUUGCCUUGAAGACAUUAAACGAGAUCUGCUCUUUUCCCUGUCUCAAAAUUAAUUGCCCGUCCUGAACGUCGAUUAAGGUUCUUCCUGUUGCCAAAAAUGGUCUGCCCAGUAUCAAUGGAAUGUCUUUGUCCUCUUCCAUGUCCAAAAUUACGAAAUCCGCAAGGGAUUUGAAAAUUUCCACCUUGACAAGUACGUCUUCAAUUAUUCCCCUGGGAUGUGUUAAUGACCUGUCAGCUAGCUGUAGCGUUACAAUAGUCAUCUUAGCCUCUCCUAAGCUAAGCUUUCUGAAAAAGAGAUAAAGGCAUUAAAUUUAUACUUGCACCAAGAUCACACAAAGCUUUAUCAAAAUAAACUUUACCAAUCGUACAAAGAACAGUAAAACUCCCUCGAUCUUUCAAUUUUGGUGGGAUCUUUUUCUAAAUUUUGGUACUGCAUUCCUUUGUUGGCAUUAUUGUCUCAUGGUCCCCUAGCUUGCAUUUAUUUGAUAGUAUGUCCUUCAGGAACUUUGCAUAGCUAGGCAUUUGGAACAGUGCAUCGACGAGUGGGAUAUUGAUAUGGAGUUUCUUGAAAACUUCAAGAAAUUUCUUGUGUUGUUGCUCCAACUUUUGCUUCUUUAGCGUUGUGGAAACGGUAUCGAGUUGCUUUACCCUACGUUUUGCUUGGUUUUUCAACUGCGGCGAAUUCCUCUAUCUGAUCAUCAUGCUCCAUUAGUUCUUCUAUCGUUGGAGAUUCUAUUUCAUGAUGUACACCUGACUUUUUACAUGAAUUUCUGGUAGCUGCUUCCACUUCGAGUUGUAAUUGCCCUAGCAUGCUCCUUCGAUUUAUUUUCGUGUCACUCGAUAGACUGGUUGGGGCUCGGCCAGUCAAAGCAACUGCCAACUAUCCCAUUUGAGUCUCUAAAUUUUUUAUUGUUGCAUUCUGGUCCUGAAGAGUGGCUUCGAUUUUCCUCAUGAAUUGAUUGUUAACUUCCAUAUACUGAUUAGUUUUCUCCAUGAAUUUAACAAACAUCUCUUCCAAUUGAGACUUUUUCUCUGGCUGCUGAUAUUGACCCUGCGGUUCAUUCUGGUUUUGAUUGCUCCAAGAGAAAUUUGGGUGCUUUGUCCAACUUGAAUUGUAUGUUUCCCCAUAUGUGUUGUUUUGCUGCCGCUGUCCCCAUUGAGUAAAAUCUGCCUGCUCUACUCCUUGUACCAAGAUUAGACAUUCUGUUGUUACGUGUUCAGCUCCAUAUUCUUCACAACUGGCCAUCUUCGACUGUGCUGUGGUGGUUGAUUGUGUCAUGUUCUCUACCUUGUGAAAUAAUAGAUCAAUAUUUGCUGACAAGGUAGAGUAAACGUCCAUUUCAUAAACCCUCGGUGUUUUCUUUUGCACUGCUCAUUCCGAUGUCCACACAGCUCAAAUGGUAGCCAUAGUCUCAAAAAGUUUCAGUGCCUCAUCAAUUGUCUUUGUGGACAACGAUCCAUUAGAAGAUGAAACAACCAUGCUUUUGAAGGUUGGGAGUAAUCCCUCAUAGCAAUAUUGGACUUGAAGUCCCUUGCUAAUUCCAUGGUGUGGACACUUUCACAGCAUAUUCUUGAACCUAUUCUAGGCUUCAUUGAAAUUCUCCAAGUCACCUUAGCGAAAAAUAAAGAUGCCGUGCUUGAGCUUCGCAAUCUUAGUAGGUGGGAAGAACUUAGUGUAGAAUUUCUGGGCUAGAUCAUUCCAUGUGGUGAUGCUUGCGAUUGGUUGUGAAUCUAGCCAUUCAAUUGCCUUGUCGUGCAGUGUAUGUGGGAACAACCUUAAUCUUAUUGCAUCGUCUGAGAUUUCUUGAUAUCUAAAGUGUUGGCAUAUCUCCAGAAAAUGAGAAACAUUUAUAUGUGGAUUCUCUUCAGUCCUUCCACAGAAUUGAUGGCUAUUUUCAAAUAAUUGUAUCACAUUAGCCUUCAGUUGGAAGUUCGGCUGUCCAAACGGUGGAUAUACGAUGCUUGACUGGCUUUGAAUUAUUUGAGGGGUCAUGAAAUCUCCCACGAGCAUAUUUUCUUCAUCCGCUAUCCCUUCUUCAUUGGCCUAAAAAAUUGGAUUAUUCUGCACAUUAGCCAUUGUUGAUGUGCCUCUCUAUUUUCUCGCUGCCUUCGAUAUAGAGUUCAUUCGAUUUCUGGAUCAGUUAGGAUCAAUUCUCCUUCAGCAGACCUUAACGUGUAAAUCUGUGAGAAGAGUUAAAAGAAGUGAUUAGAUGUUAAAAUGAAAUAUUAAAUAGAACAAAUAAAAAUGAAAUUGAAUAAAAUGAAAUAAAACACAACAAAAUAACAGAAAAUGCAAAGAUGAAUGUUCGAAUUAGUGCCAAUAUAAAUAAAAUUAAACGGAUACCCAAUCCUUGACAACAGCGCCAAAAACUUGUUCACGAAAUAUUUCUUUAGACUUAAAAUUACCACAAAUGUAUGGUUCGUUAACAAGUAAUACAGUGAAAUGUUAAGUUUCGAGUUUCCUCCUACAGAGACUAAGUAGUUCAAUUCUAACUAUCUUUUCCUUAACCGAAACAAAAUUUUCAAAGCAGGAAUUUAUUCUCGAAAAAACCCUAAUUAUUGAAACUUGAUGAUUGGAAUGAACUCAAUAUGCAAAACAAUAUUUUAAAGAAUUAAAAUGCAAAUUAUAUGUUUAGAACAUAAAUUGGUUGUAUUCCAUGAAAAUUAAAAGCACUAGGAUCACGAAUUCCCAUGCAACGAUCAUUCUUAACCCUAAUUUCUCAAAAUGACAACACGGUUGAAUUAUUGACGAAUCAAUGCUAAUAAUUCUAUUCAACACACACUCUCUCUCAAGUGUAUUGAACAUAAUCUUGUACACCACCGGCCUAUAUCUCUAUGAGAAAUGCAUAUAUAAGAAUGCAUGUAGUUUUAUGAACAUCUAAAGAUUCAUGCAAAAUAUAGGGGUAUAUCUCUAUCCCAUAUCGGAUCCUAUGACGAUUUAUACCUUGUCAACUUUAUUUCUUUUCUCUUGAACAGAUGAAAUAAACCACCAAACAUCACAUAAUUAUGUGCACUUAAUUAUGGAGGAAAAUUAUUGUAUAUAAAUUAUUCAAAUAUUCAAAUACGUGUUUAUUGCCAAAUUGCAAACUAGAAAUUAAAGAAAUCACAUCAUAUGGUACAUCAAAAUCCUAGUACAUGAAAACCUAACUUAUCAUGGAGAAAAUUACAUAAUACAAGAUAAAUUCUAGAAAAAGCAUCAUCGGGUUAUGAAUUUGCUUGAAAUCUUGAUGAUCUUCGUGUAAAUCCUUGUUAAUUUGGCUCAAAAUCCUCUCCAAGAUGUUUUUUCUUGCCUCCGAAUACGUGCUGCCUUGAAAUAUGAUGCCUCUAGGUUUUUAUAUUGCGUCCAAAUCGUGUUCCAAUAGAGUUAUAACGCAAAACGAAAACUGUAGUAUCGCCCCGAAUUUUUAUACCAUGCGGCCAUGUGGUUGAACCUAUUUUGCGGUUUUAAUUCUUGGGUGGGGGUUGUGCGGCCGCAUGGUUAUAACACCAUGCGACCGCAUGGAUAAUGAGUUUCCAAUUUGUGUCGUUUUAGUCCCCAAACUCAAUCUUCUUGUUUAUUGAUCUCUUUUCUUCGACUAUUUUAUUCCAUCAUCUUAUAUUGACCUCUAAUUGGUACUUGGCACUAUCAAUUCUUCGAUUUCUCCUUUGGCUCUCUUCUGGAUAUUUGCACUUUGGUCGCUGAACUAUCACUUAGAUUUGUUUUGGUCAUUUUUGCUUCUUUUUCUCGUGAAUUUCAUCAACUCCAUCAGAAAACCCUACAAUCCAAGACUCCAGCGAAUUUAGGUCACAUUUCAAAUAUUUUGCUCGUAUUUUAGUCAUAUUUGUGAGUUAUAUAAGUGCAUAAAAUGCGCUUAUCAGUAAGUUGUUGUAAAGUUUUUACGAUGUAACUUAUUCAUUGAUUUUUUUUUUUAACAUUCUUUGCUUGCUUUCUUAAUUUUUUUCUAAUUUUUUUUCCUUUAAUUUUUGCAAUAAGCGUUUGUUUUUUUUUCCGUCCAGCUAAAUUUUAAUGUGUAAUACAAAUUUUUAAAAAUUUUAAUUAUUUUUUGUCAAGAGCAAAAUUUUUAUAAUAAAAGCUAUAUAAAAUUUAUAAAACAAUUGAUUGCCAAAAAAAUUAAGAAAAAAGCCUUAGAUGAUUAAACUUUCAAUCACAUAAUAACUUACAAAAUUAGAAAUACUAGGUCGAACUAAUCCAUAAAGGAAAAUAGUUGUCUCAACAAUUAAAGCAAAUAAAUAAAUAAAUCAUAAUUCAUAUAUUAUCAGUAGGUGGUGACAUACUAAUCAUUGUUGCUGUUCAGCUUGUUGUGGAGACAUGCUGACUUGACUCGAUACGAACUUAUGCAUUAGUGCCUCAAAUUGAGAAAUCUUAGCAUGCAUAUCCAAUAAUCCUUGCUCUUGCUUUUGUAUUUGCUCUCGAAGGGCUAUUGAUUUAGUAUCAAUCGAUGUCAAAUAAGCAGAGUUUCUUGAGACAGGUUUGGGACCAUGUCCAAGUCCUCUAAUGUAACCUCUAGAUUUUCCUAAAACUUCUUGCAUAAUCUCAAGUUCAGUGGGGGCCUCAGAUCCCUCUGGAAUAGGUUUCUCUUUAAUUUGAAGCAUCCUCUCCCAUAUAUAAGUAAAAAAGAAGUAGAGAGAAUACAAGUUAAUAUAUAUAUAUAAAAUGUCUAUAACAACGAAUAAAUUGUUAAUAUACUUACAUAUCUUGUGUGCUUCAUCAUUUACCCCCCCUUCUCACUGUAAUGAGUCUCAUAAUAAAGUUCUAUUUCUCCUUGUACAUUGUCUUUAGUAAUUGAUUUCUAUUUGAAAUAAUAUAUAUCAUGUUAUAUAUUUGUCUUCAUAAAAAAAAAUGUAUUACCUUUUCUUGAAGACAUGCAACAAAUGAUUUUGAUACACCACGAUGAUUAUAUUUAAUGCAGUUGUGGCUUGCUAGAUUACGUGUAGAUAGUGCAUGUAAUUAAUUUAUAUAUAAAUAUAAUUAACUCAUUAUAAUUUAUUAUUUUUAAUUAUAUUAAUUAUUUUAAGAUAACAUCUAAAUUACAUUAUUCUUAAUAUUUACAAGUAUAUGCAUUUUUAAUUAAAGUUACUUGAAAUUCAGGGGUACACCAAUAUUGAGACAACCAGUCCCAAUCAACUUGCUUUAUGCCAGUUGGGUAGUUCUUCAUUGCAUCAUCUGAUGUUUUUCCAUUGAAAUAUUUCUCUUUGAGUCUACAUCUAUAAUCAUGAUAUCUUGUCGCUAAAGUAUCUUUCACAUAUUUAUGGACAUGCUCAACUGUCAAAUCAAACUUGAAUUUUGCCUACCAAAAAAGAAAUGUGUAUAUUAUUUAUUUAAAUAUGGGAAACUAAAAACUAUUCUACAAAGUUUUGUAAAAAUGAAUUUGUUUAUGACUUAAAAAAGCUUGAUCAUAUAAUUUAUUUUUCUCUUCAUUGGGUAUGUCGAUCCAUCUUUUGUAACAAGUGGAGCAAAGGAGCGAACGAGCCACAUUCACUAGCCAAACGUGCUUGCUGAUUUCCAAUAGCUCUUUCUAGUUUUUAAGAAAUCUCCCAUGAUAUUUUUCCAGCUGUACUAUCAAUGUCAUCAGUGCACUUAUCUCUUGUAGGACCACGUCCCUUCCUCUUCAAAGAAUGAGAAUCUAUGAAAUAAUUUACUCUAAGGAUCAGAAUAUAUAAACAAAAAAUUAGAUUCUAUCAAUUAAAUGUAUACAUUGGGAUGGUUUUAUAUUAUAAACAUAAAGAUAAAUUGUUACCAUUGGAAUUGAGGAUGGUCUCAUCUGCCAAUGUGGUUUUUUGUGAUGAAUUAAGUUGUGGCUGGGGCUGAGAUAAUGGGGCAGGAACCUGUAGAGGUUGAGGUAAAGGAGUAGGAACUUGAGCAUUACUAGUCUUUGAGAAUGAGGAAGAGAUAUUAGCUUGAAGAGUAGUAUGGGUUAAUGUACCUUUGCAUGAUGCCUUUGACGAGAACACAUCUGAAGUGGCUCAUAAGAUGUAGUAAAAACUCUAUUUUUCUAGCCAAUUCUUGUUCGAAAAGCCGUUAUCUACCAAGAAAACCCCCAAAAGAGAGAGAGAGAUAUCAUUUUUAACCAAAAAAUGGGUCUCCAUUCUUGCAAAUUCUUGUUCGAGAAGCCAUUAUCUACCAAGAGACAUAAAUGAUAAUAAAAUCUUGAAGACAAUUAAAUUUAGUUAUUUUUAAAAAAAGAAAAUAAAAUGAUUUAUUUCUUGACGAUAGGACAACUUCUUCUUAAUUUUCAUGGCUUUUCUCUGCAUUUAAUUCUUUGAUCCCAACUGGAUAUCUUUAUUUCAGUUGUAGACAAACCCAUCUAUUAUUUUCACCAUUAACCAAACAAAAAAUAAUGCACCACUCUUUUCAUUCACAAUGCCUUCCAAAUAACGUAAUGAUGUCAACUUAACUCCUAAAAGAAAUCAGUUGUCUUGCAGCUUCAUUGAUGAGCUCAUUUUAGUUAAAAGAUGACUAACCCACAGAUAUCUUCAAGAAUGGUGAGGAAAUUAUAUUACACAUCCUAAAUGUAGUCCACCUAUAAGCUAUACAUGACAUGAUUAAUGAACUAAAAUUUGUACAAUAUGGCCGUUGGUAUAUAUAUAUACACACACACACACACACACACACACACACACACANNNNNNNNNNNNNNNNNNNNNNNNNNNNNNNNNNNNNNNNNNNNNNNNNNNNNNNNNNNNNNNNNNNNNNNNNNNNNNNNNNNNNNNNNNNNNNNNNNNNNNNNNNNNNNNNNNNNNNNNNNNNNNNNNNNNNNNNNNNNNNNNNNNNNNNNNNNNNNNNNNNNNNNNNNNNNNNNNNNNNNNNNNNNNNNNNNNNNNNNNNNNNNNNNNNNNNNNNNNNNNNNNNNNNNNNNNNNNNNNNNNNNNNNNNNNNNNNNNNNNNNNNNNNNNNNNNNNNNNNNNNNNNNNNNNNNNNNNNNNNNNNNNNNNNNNNNNNNNNNNNNNNNNNNNNNNNNNNNNNNNNNNNNNNNNNNNNNNNNNNNNNNNNNNNNNNNNNNNNNNNNNNNNNNNNNNNNNNNNNNNNNNNNNNNNNNNNNNNNNNNNNNNNNNNNNNNNNNNNNNNNNNNNNNNNNNNNNNNNNNNNNNNNNNNNNNNNNNNNNNNNNNNNNNNNNNNNNNNNNNNNNNNNNNNNNNNNNNNNNNNNNNNNNNNNNNNNNNNNNNNNNNNNNNNNNNNNNNNNNNNNNNNNNNNNNNNNNNNNNNNNNNNNNNNNNNCCCUAGAUCCAAUCGAUUUAGGUUGUAAACGCCUUUAAUAUAUCUAAUGCAUUUGAUUUUGGCGAGAUCUAUUAUUUAUUUAAAUUAAUUUUGUAAUAAAUAAUAUUAAAUAAUAGAAUCCGAAGAUCCAAUUUUUAGGUAAUCUGUUAAUCACAAGGAGUUGUGAUUGUGAGAUACAAAUUACAUAUAAUUGAAUCUUAAAUUAUUUGUGGUCGUAAGUAAUGACAAGAUACAAAUAUCGUUAUUACGGAUAAAACAUCAUGUGUGAAAUUUCUUACUUGUGAAGUAAGUAGUUGAUCUUACAAGCUAAAGUGUGAAGUAGCUGAUCUCACGAGCUAAAGUGUGGUGACACUUAAAUGAACACGUGGAUAUUUUGUUAUAGAACAAAACAUUGGAGACCCGCUAAGAGAUUCCACAUGGAUAACUAUCUGAGUGUCAGUGGCUAAUCUCUAACGUUCGGUAGUGGAAUUGGUCCUUUGACUUGAGGUCGUCAUGAUAUCUUAUAUGAGGACAUUCAUACUUUGGCGGGUGUUGGAUGUUGCUCUGAAAGGGGCCUCUAAUACGACAUCGUUCGGGUAUGUCAAGAAUCGUAUGAAGGUUGUGAUUGAUCAAUAAAGGAUUCGUCACCCUUAGAUAGUAGGAGAUUAUGAUCUACGUUUCAUUCAAUUAAGUCGAUGAUGAAAUCCUUGGCCAAGGUGUACUCAUAAGUCGAAAAGGAGUUUUCGAUUUAUAUUGACUUAAUAGUGGAGUGAAAGAUAUGAUCAAUGAUCGAGUUUGACACAAUUUCAUAUCUCGUAAUUGAUUGGAUCGUAUUGACGAAGGGAUAAUAGUUUCACGAUAAACGGACGAAUUUGGUUUUGUCAUACCACGUGACAUUUCCCGUCACAUGUACUGCCUUGACACAUUGCUAGAUGUCAAUCAGGGACGGCGAAUGUGAAUUGACAAUAAAUUAAAAGGGUGUAUUAAUUUAUCAAUUUUGAUUAGAUCAAAAUAAUAUUUCACGACGUUAGGUAUCGUGGUCGGGAACCUAAUGGGUCGCACACAAAAGAGAAUUGGAAGACUGCAAAUUGUCAAUUGAUUAAUUUAACAAUCGUUGGAUAAAUUAAUUAAUUGAAUUUGUUAUGUAUAAUCCCGAAUUAAUUAAUUGGAUUAAUUAAUUCACGGGCGGGGUUUGAUUAAUUGGAUUAAUUAAAUAUUUGACCGGAUCGGGCCGGGUCCGUUUGGGUUUAUAUAUAUAUGCAGCUAGGGUUUGAGGUCCAUAAGUUAUUCAUUAUUCUUGCUAGCACAAGAAUGAAACCCUAGCAGUUGCUGUCUACUCUCUGUGUGGAUUUCAUUGGAGGCUGGACAAUUGGAUAGCUGUGGGAGGCAGAUUCAAGCUGUUGGAAAGGAAUAACGCGAAAGAGUUUGCAAAUCACAAAUAAGGGUAUAUUUCUCAUCAUAGGUUUUAUCUAAAUACAAAACUGAAUCCUGAAUGGGAAUUGAAACUUGUUAAAUUCCGCUGUGCAUAUUUAAGUAAAUUCCCAACAAUUGCUAAUUCCAGGGCCACAUGUACCAGGAAGAGAUAUUGAUGUUUAUUUGAGACCACUAGUAGAUGAGUUGAAAGAAUUAUGGAAAGUUGGUGUUGACACGUUUGAUGCUUAUAAUGGUCAAAUGUUUUCUAUACGUGUAGCUAUAAUGUUGACCAUUAAUGAUUUGCCUGCAUAUGGGAACCUAUCAGAAUGGAGCACUAAGGGAUACAAAGCUGGUCUAAUAUGUAAUGAGAAUACUUCCCACGUAGGUUAUGUAAUAAAAUAUGCUUUAUGGGGCAUCGGUGUUAUUUGCCACUUAACCAUUCUUGGAGAAAAAGGUAAAUUACAUGAUGGGAAAUGGAAAUUACGACCACCACCAAAAAAGUUAUCAGGAGAUGAUAUUUUGAAUCAAUUACAAGUUGUGAGGUGUGGGAAACAUGGAAAGUACCCAAGUAAUAAAGAUAGAAAAAGUAAACGUACUCUAGCUGAGAUAAACUUGACGAGAAAAAGCAUUUUCUUCGAGUUGGAGUAUUGGUCUAACUUGAAACUAAGACACAAUUUAGAUAUAAUGCAUAUUGAGAAGAAUGUGUGCGAUAAUAUUGUUGGAACAUUGUUCAAUGUUGAAGGGAAGACAAAAGAUACGGAUAAGACUAGAUUGGAUUUGCAAGAUAUGAAGAUUGGGUGUGUACUGCAAUUGUAGAGCUAUGUUGUUUUUUUAAAUAAUUAUGUACAAGAACAUUGAAUAUCAAUGAUUUAGAGAAGCUGGAAAAAGGGAUUAUUAUAAUUUUAUGUAAACUAGAACGAAUUUUCCCACUGGCAUUUUUUGAUGUAAUGGUUCAUUUAGCUAUUCACCUACCUGAAGAAUUAAAACUUGGAGGUCCCGUUGCAUUUAGAUGGAUGUACCCAGUUGAAAGGUAAUUGCUAAUAUUGCAUACAUAUAUACUUGUUCAUUGACUUAUUACAGAAUAUUAGGUUGAUAUAAGAGUUGUGUUAAGAAUAAAGCUUGACCCGAAGGAUCAAAUGCUGAAGCAUAUAGUGUUAAUGAGUCUUUGAAUUUUUGCUCGAUGUAUCUCAAUGACAUUGAAACAAGAUUUAAUCGAACUAAAUGUAAUGACGAUGGUGGUACUUCAUCUACAAGCUUAGGUCAUGCAGAACUAAAGUUACUUUCAAAACAAGAAAUUGAUAAAGUGCAUUGGUAUGUCCUAAAUAAUUGUGAUAAAGUUCGACAAUAUUUAGAUUAAGUUCUCAAUCAACUUUCAAAAAUUGUUUUGCUAUUAACUAUUAAUGUGUUGUAGUAUUUAAUUGCAUCUCCUUUCAUAGCGAACACAUGUAGCUAUUGCAACAACAUCACAACAAUUUGGAAAAAGACAAGAAAAAUUGUUUCACGAAUGGUUUGAUUCACAUGUAAGUUAUAAUACGUGUCUUUAUUAUUUAUUAAAGCAACAUAACAUUCGCAUCUGAAGGUAUAUUGAUUAAUAUGUUUUUAUUAGCACAAAUAAGGAGAUUAUAUAAUAAAAAAUAUUCAGGUGUAAACAAAGAAUUGUAUUCAUUAACAUGUAAACCGGAUUUUAGAAUAUUUUCCUAUUUGGGUUUUAUUGCUAAUGAGGUACGAUUCCUUAUUAAAGAUCGAGAUGGUUGUCGUACAACACAAAAUAGUGGAGUGAUGGUGUCAGGAGAUGAGAACUUCAACUUUUUCGGUAUACUUUGUGAUGUUAUUGAGUUGGUAUAUGUUUUUUUACUAUCGCGUCACUUUGUUCUAGUGUGAUUGGUACGAUAAUAAUCCAAAGCAAAAAAGAGCAGUCGUAGAUUAUCAUCUUACUUCUAUCAAUGUGAAUUGCAAAUAGUACAUGGAUGAUUCUUAUAUACUUGGCAUCCAAGCACAACAUGUAUUUUAUAUGGAUGAUGUUUUGUUGGGUCCACAAUGGAAGGUACUGGAAAAGGUACAACACAGAGGCAUAUGGGACAUCCCUUAAAAAAAUGAUGGUGGUAGUACGCAAGUAAUAUUUCAAGAAAAUGAAUCAUCAGAUAUUGUCUUACCAAUACAACAGGAAGAUCUUGACUCUCAAGUAUGCCAUAGAAGAGAUGUUGAUCCAGAUAUUAUUGAAAAUGAAGCACUGCAAAUAGAUGUGGAAUCAAUAAAUAAAAAUAUGAAUAAUGUUAUAUAUGAUACUUCAAAAGAGGAAGAUGAUACAUUGAAUGAAUAUUACAAUGAAGAUGAGAAAUCUCUAGAUGGUAACCAUGAUGAUGAUGAUGAUAUUGGUAAGUAAAACAUUCUUUAUAUAUAUAUAUAUAUAUAUAGGUUUUUUUUUGGUGUAAUGUUUUUCUAUUUUAUUUUUAAAUGAUUACAUUUUUCACUUUCCUCUACAGAUUCGAGUACUGACAAUGCAUCAACUGAUAAUUUGUAAGAAUUUUUAUUCACAGUUAAGUUUAGAUUAAUCGACUAAUGAGAUAUAUUUGAUUUAUUAUUGUGAUGAUUGUUGAUCUUGUACUCAUAUUCAAUGUGAGAUAUUUGAAUAUUUUCUUUAAGCUAAUAUUUCAUUACCUUUUAUAUGUAGAUGUUUGACUAAAGUUAUAGAGCUUUUCUUUACAGGAAUUCUUAUUUAACCAAAGAACAUAUUGAUGGUCAGUUGAAAGUAUAUCUUAAGAGUGAAGAAUGUUAUUUGUGUGUCUCGUGAGUUUUGUUAUUUCUUUCAUAUUUCUAGUUCUAUUUUCUAAUUUCAAGUUUGGUGAAUCAUUCUAAGUAGUCUAAUAUUGAAAUUACUAGUCCUAUAGUUUAUUUGUAUUAGUUUUGAUUAUGGCGGUAACUAAGUUUGUAGAUAAUACCUUGAUCUAUAUUUAUUUGGUUGAUAAUAAAGUCACGAGUUAUUUCUAGUUAAGUUAAAUUUUCAUAUAAAUGUGCACCACAAUAACGAUUCCAUUUCCAAGAAAGAAAUCAAAAAUUGUGUUUAAAAUAGAAUCUACGACAUACGUAAAUAAAAAUAGAAUCAAUUAGGCGAUAAUUGUACAUGCUUGGAGUAAUAAACCUUGUGUUGCGGAAUAAAUCUAACUACAAGCACAACUUGACACAUAAAUAAAAGUUCAUUAUCACAAAAUACUUUUCGUAAUAAUAUUCUAUAUCAUAAAAUAAAAUAUGUGACGUAUAUAAAUAAUCAUGAAAUAAAUUAGGCAAUAGCUAUACUCGUUGCACAAAUGAUGGCGCAAUAGACUAUUAGUGUUGCGAAAUAAAUUUAAAUACAAACAUCACUCGUUAUAUAAUAUAUUGUACUACAAAUAUUGAAUAUAAAAUACAUUAUGCGACAUAUCAAAUACAUUUAAAACAUAUUUCACGACAAACAUGCUUGUUAUUAAAAAUAUAGUCCUACGUGCAUGUGCUGUUGCAAAAUAAAAUAGGUAGCAAAAGUUACACGCUUAAAAGAAUAUUCGCAACAAAUAUUUUUCUUGUAAAAACUUUAUUGAAAUAAUUGUUGCAACAAAUUGUCGUGUCGCCUUUUUAUUUUUUGGCGACAUAUAUGCAUCGCGAGGACAUUAUAAUUACAAUUAUCGUGUUGCUGUUUCAUUUUUUUUUUGUGGCAAAUAAAUAAUGUUGCGAUUUUGUUAAUGUGAUGAAUGAUUGAAGGUAGUUGCAAAAUAUAUUUGAUGACUCAACAUUCGCAACAAACAUGUAUCUCAUAAAAACUUUAUUGGAAUAUUCGUUGUGAUAAACAAACUUGUCGCACUUUAAAUUUUUCACGACAUAUACAUUGUGACACAUUAUGGCUACAAAUAUUGUGUUGCCAUUUCGUAUUUUCUGUGUUACACAACUAUAGUCGUGAUUUUGUUAUUGCGAUGAGCUAUUGAAAAGUGUCAUAGAAACAUUUUGCAACCUAUAUAGAGCGACAAUACCCGCAACAAAUGUAUUGUUGUUGCUAAAUUACUUUUACAACAAAAUCCCAAUUUUUGCAGCAACAUUUUUUUUGUCUCGAAAUCGAUUAUUUUUUGUAGUGUAUGUAACCAUUGUUAUAAUGAAAAAAGGGAUUUGAUUAAAGAAUAGUUUAAAUUGUGACAUAAGCUGAAGAUUUCGAGAACAGAAAAAGUCAUAUCUUGAAAUUUAAAGUGGGAAAUAGCUAAAUUUUUCUAAGACUUGGCAAAAUGAAAAGUGGAGAAUAUCAUAUUUUGAUCCUUAGGAUAUUAUUUCAAGUAUUGUUUUAAUGGUUUAUUGAUCAGGUUGAUAACAGAUUUUUCUGGUAUUCAAUAAUAUAUAAAGUUUUUGAGGUUUAGUAAGUGGAUGCAUAUUUAAUUUAAGUGUUAAGAUUAUUAGUUCAGUUAAAGAGAGCUCCUCUUACUACAGUUGAAGAGAUAUUGACAUAGGAAAGGUCAAGGAAAGUCCAAGAACAAGAAAGAAUGAGUUUUAUGUAGUUAAAUUAGUACACUAUUUAAAGGUUGGGAAAGCGUUCAAUAGAAGAGGCAUCAUGAGCAUAUGAGGGUCAAAUAAGCUACACACUCUAUACCUGCAUAUAUCUAAAUUCUGGUUGAUUGAAUUUCGAGGACGAAAUUAUUUGAAGGAGGUAAGAUUGUUACACUCCGUUCAUUUAUAGUCGAAGUCAAAGAAUGAUUUAGUCAAAGCUAAAGUCAAAUAAGGACUUAUAGUUGAAUGAAUGAUUUUAAUAGGACUUAAAUUGCAAUUACAAAUACUUGACGCUAAAAAUGAUAUAGUAACAAAAUCUAGGAAUUUAGUUUCUAUUGUUGAAAAUUUAACGACGAAAUGUUUGUGUUAUAUAAAGAUUGGUGACUUGACUUGCAAUUGUUCAAUAGUUAUCCUUUAAACCUUAUAUAUAUAACAUAUCUAUCCAUCUUUCUCAUUUGGGGUAAAGAAAAACGAGACCAUGGAGAAAAGGAAGCAAGGAAGAAAGAAGAGAAAUAGAAAAAGAAGGAAGAGGUAGGUUCCAAUUUUUCAAACCUAGGUUCUCAAUUUCUUAAAUUUUUCCUUUAAUUUAGUGAGGUAAGUAUGAGAAUGUGAAAUUAUCUCCUUUAGGGGUUAUGGAACUUAUCUUUAAAGCUUCGAAGUUAGCAAGAAUUAGGUGUUAUUGAUUUGUAUUCAAGGUUUUAAAUAAGAAUAUAGCAAGGACAUGUUUAUUGAAAAUUGGAUUUGAAGAAAGUAGAAUUUUGGAAAUGGGUUUUGAGAUAAAAGAUAUAUUCUUUGAGUUUCUUGUGAUUAUAUGAUGCUAAACACUUAAAUUAAGGGUUUGAGUUUGGAAUUCUCCAUUUUUAAAGCAAUUUUCAAGGUAGUAUUGUACAGGUGUUAAUUCUGAAAUUCUGCCAAGAAAAUAGCUAUUUCUGUCAAUGGUUUUGAUGCCAGAUUUGAAUAUACAGAAAUUGUUACUAGAUUUCUAUAUUCUGGAGUUUUAGUGCUGUUUUUGUCAAACUUGGAUUUCGAAAUUUUUAAAGGUUUGAAUGAAUUUAUAUGACAAUAUUGAAGUCUAUGUAUUGGACUAACAAUGUAUAGGGGUUGUAUAUGUAUAAGGUAGUGAUUUUAAGGAAGUGUGAGUGGUGUAAUGGAUUUGAUAAUGUAUGAUGAUUAGUUGAUCAAUCAUUAAAGAGAAGAAAAGUUGGGAAAUUGGAGAUAUUCUUAAGUACAGAAAUUGAGAAGUUAAGUGGUGGAUUUGUAUUGAUUUAAUUGUUAUGUUUUAAUUCAAGAAAUUAUACCUUCAUUUCAGGUAGGGACAUGGAAGCUUGGAAAGGCUUGUCAAUUAAUCAGAUUUUUAUCUAUAGAUCUGUGAGUAAAAAAGCUUAAUAAUUUCAAAGUAUUUAUAAAUUAAGUAUCUUAUUAAAUUAUGUGAAUUAUUUGCUCAAUUAUAUGAUUACCAUGAAAGUUUCUUUUACUAUUUCAAAGAUUGUAUAUGGUGCAUUUGCGAAUUGGAAUAUGAGACAUGAUAUUUAGAUUGACCAGAAAAGUACCUGUGAUUAUAUACUUCUUUUAGUUUAUAGAGGGGUCUUGUCGGGGUUUCAUACAACACUAAGGGGUCAACUGGGGGUGAAAGGGUCGUGCCCAUGUAUAUAUAGUUCACUGAGGAGCCUUGGCCGUGUUCUAGAAUUGAUGUAUCAGAGGUCUUUGAGACCCGCUUUCGUGAAUAUGAGAUGAUAUUUACAGAAUUAUGAGAAUGUCCCCUUUUUGGCUAUAAUUGUAUGAGGCUAUCGUAUGAAUUGCUAAAUGAUAUGAACUUGAUGUCUAUGUAUGAGAAAAAUGUUUAAAUGAGAAAGUAUAAUUAUUUUCCUUCCACUCAUUGAGCUAUAAAAUUAUAUUCUUCCACGAUUUUUCUUACAGGUAGUAUUGGUCCAUGGUAGCUUAAGGAGCCCGAUGGUUUUAGAAUUAGAGCCACAAUACUUAUUGAGUGACAUGAUUCAUUUUGGUAAAACAUGAAGUAAUUAUUUCUGGUUCAUUGCAUUAUAUUUUUCAUAAACAUUUGAUUUUGUUGCAUAUUUUGUAGUAGCUCAUGGUUAGCCUUGGUGAUAGAUCUGGUAUAUAAUCAGUAUCUACCAUUGGUACAUGUCACGUUUUCGGGUCCAUUAGGAUGAUUCGAGACGGAUUGUGUCAGGAAUACUAAGGAAUGGCGUGUAAAAACUGGAGCUACUCAUCUAUAUGUGCAAACCACUAGAUAACAUCUUUGUCGCUCAUGUACAAUGUUGUGUAACCUAAUGUAUUAAAUGCGUUAUCAGAUUCCUUUUUACAUAAUCUGAUGACCAUAUGUGUUUUCCUACAGGCAAGCGCAUGAAGAAUGUUAGGAAAUUGUUGUCAAACGACCUCCUCGGACUGUGAUGUUAACUCAAUUUUAUUUUCAGUGGGCCUAGGCCAAAUGAUUGAACCUUAUAUUGACAUCUCAAAUGGGACGACCUAAACCUAAUUUGUAUGGGCCAUUCGAAACAACCUAAUUUAUUAGUAUUGCUCAUGACCUGUCCCACUUAUUUGGACGGCUAAAUAAUGGUAUCCAUUUGAUAGUCCACUACUGUGUUUGGGCAUUUUGGGCCACUACCUUUGACCUAACUAGCGUACCUUAUUUGGUCUACUCCACUGGUUAAUAUGGUUCGUCUCCUUGGCUGCCUUAUUGUUGCGACUUCAUGUUCUCUUCUUCUUCUUCUCCGUUUACUUUCGAUUGGCUCAUCUCUACUGCCUCUGUUGUUUGUGAUAUUGGCUUUUCCUUUAUGGUCUCUUUGUAGGUAUUUAAGGAUCUGUUUGAUUGCGGAGAUGGAAUUUGGUGGAAAGAAAAUGAAUUCUAGAGAAUCGAAUUACUUAAAAAUUAUGUACUUUUUGUCUAUUGUUGUGUUUACUUCGAAUUCUUGUGUAGUUGGAAAUCUCAACUACAACACAUCGUUGCACUAUCCACGACAGAGGUAGAAUAUAUUGUUAUCACUAAAGCCAUUAAGGAGUCUUGAAUGAUUAUGUGGUAGUAUAUUUCGAUAGUUAGUAUUCUUCCAUACAUCUAUGCAAAAGCUCUGUUUUUUAUGAACCAUCAAGUAUAUUGAUGUUAGAUUACAUUUCAUUAAAAAUACCGUGUCACAAAAAGUGGUAAGACUUGAAAAGAUACAUACACAAUACAAUCCUUCAGACAUGGGUACAAAGGUACUUUCACUGGUAAAGUUUAGAAGUUGCAAGAAUCUUUUAAAUAUUGGUGAAGGUAAUUAAUUUCCAAUUUUAUCAUCUCCUGAUAUUGAAAUUAUUGCUAACAUGUGUUAAUGUUUCUUUGAAGGUCAUUUGACACUAAGGUGGAGGUUUUGUUAGGAAAAUUGUUGUCAAAUGAUCUCCUCGAGCUGUGAUGUCAACUAGAUUUUAUUUUCAGUCACCCUCGACCAAAUGAUUAAAUUUUAUAUCGACACCUCAAAUGGGACGAUCCAAACGUAAUUUGUAUGGGUCAUUCGAAACAACCUAAUUUAUUGGUGUUGCUCAUAGCCCAUCCCAUUUAUUUAAAUAGCUAAAUAAUGGUACCCAUUUGAUAGCCCAUACUCUUGUGUUUGGGCCUUUUGGGCCACUACCUUUGACUGAACCUGCUUACCUUAUUUGGUCGACUCGAUUGAUUAAUGUGGUCCGUCUCCUUUGUUGCCUUAUAGUCAUGACUUAUUGGUACAUUUUCUCUCCUUCUCCGUUCAGUUUCAGUUGGCUCAACUCUUCUACCUUUUUGGUUUAAUUCUUAUGUGAUAUUGAAUUUCCUUUGUGGUUUCUUUGUGGGUAUUCAAAAGCAACUGUGAAUGGAGAAACCAUUUUGGGAGUUUUAGGUUGUUGCUCAUUGUGGUGUAGAUUGGUUGAUGAAUGAUAAGUGUGUUUUUACACACUUAUUUGGUUCGCAAACAUGACUUAAACAUGGAUAAAAUGGUUGAAUUGUGGCUUAAUCCUAUUAAAUUCAUGCAAUGUAGGUAUUUCAAUGGAAAUUGUGGAAUUCAGGAGAAAAGAGCCGGAAAAAGACCAAAAUGCAACAAAGUGAUAGUUCGAGGACCAAAGGUGCAAAUAUUGAGAAGUUGAGCUAAAUGUAAAACGAAGUAAAAACAUGCUAAGUAUGAGCUCAACGACAAAGCAAAACAAUUGGAAGAAGAAAGUAUUGAAGAGGGACUGAAAUGAAGACAAUUGAAAGUUGGAGGACUAGAGCGCAAAUACUCAAAAGAUGUUCCGAAUGAGUGGCAUGAGAUUUGAUGGUGUCAAUCAUCAAUUGGAAGAUAAAAUUUUUUGAAAAGAUGAAGAAAUCGAAGAAAGAAGUCAAGAGAAGCAACAAGGAAGUUCAGGGACCAAAAUGUAAAAACCACAUAGUUGGUUAUAUCUAUGCGACCGCAUAGUAUAACCAUCUAUGCGGUCACAUAGAUGGAUGUAGGGAAAUUAAUUGGGCAUUUCAAAUGACCUAUGCGACCGCAUAGGUUUCUUCUAUGCGGUCGCAUAGAAGAAAUUUUGGGGGAUUUUCUGCAGUUUCCUUUUUCGACUCCAACUCCUUUCUUAUCUAAUUUGGACACGCUAUAUAUACCCUAAAACACGUCCAGAACUAGGGUAGACAUUUUUGGGAGAAAAGAGGCACACAAGAACAUCAAGAUCCAAGAAUUUAUGCAAGAAGAAGGAGGAUUUCAUCAAGAUUGAAGAUUUCAAGCAACAAUUAUAAUAGGGUGAUGUCUUCUCCUUUAUUGAAUCUUUGUAAUUUUCUUCAAAAUAUGAUAGGCUAGGGUUUUUGUUCAUUAGGAAUUUGAUGAACCUUUUGAUGAUUUAAAUUUCCAUUAUUUCAUUAAUUCAACAAUAGUUUCGAUUGGACAAAUGUUUGAUUUAUAUGAUUUGAAUGCUUCCAUAAUUAUUUGGCCAAUUGUUAUGUGAUUGUAGAUGAUUUGUUCUUUGCAUUCGAAAGAAGGGGAAUAAAUUCUAUAGAAUAUAAAUUGACAUAGGGUCCGAUAGAGGAUGGAAACUUACCUCUAUGCUCUAUGCAAUUCAUGAAGAUGUUCAUAAAAAGUCAUGCAUUCUUGUACAUUGCAUCAUCCAUAGAAAUAUAGGCUGGUGGUGUGUAAGAGUAGAUUCAAUAUAUAUCGAGAGAGUGUAUUGAAUAAUUUAGGAACAUUGAAUUGGCAUUUUGUUCCAUCGAUUCGUUGAAUUUGUGAAAUUAGGGUUUUUAAUAGUGAAUUGGGGAUUCGAGUUCUUAAUGAUUUCAUUUCGAUUCAUUUCAAUACAUUAGUUCUAAAAUUGCAUAUUUACAUUUCAGUUGCGUGUUUAUUUCAUUCGAUUAGUGAAAUUUUGAAAUUACGAUUUCCAAUUGUGAAAUUAGGGUUUUUUUUGCAAUUAGGGUUUCAAAUUGGGGAUUUCUUCCAAAAUUAGGGUUUUUCACAUUUAAACCAAAUUUUCAUUCAAUUAGAUUCGGUUAAGGUCACAUUAGUCUAAUUAGAGCUAAUUCAAUCCUCGUGGGAACGAUACUUAGACUCAUAGUCCAUUUUACUACUUGUUAACGAACCGUACACUUGCGGUGGGUUUUAAAAUCGAAAAUAAAUAUUUCGUCAACAAUGAACUGUGCCCGACAAUGCCUUGGCCGUAGUGUUUUCUCUCUACAAAGAACAGAAUCGACAUCUAGACCCUGAAAACUCUAUGGGCAAGUGGACUUUAGUUGAGGAAGACGUACUUGGAGACAAAAUUGAAUCUACGUGGUAAAAUUCAAGGACUCGAAGGAUGGAGAAUGUGUUGUCAAGAUCAUCAUUGAGUAUCAUGCCAAGGAUAACGUUGUUCUAAAAGAGGAGGAUAUUAAUAAAAUCAAGGAACAAUCGUUUUGGAUUCUACAAGUCUUAUGCAGAUCAUCUGAAUGUGAAUCCUCGUGUUUGUGACUAAAGAUUUUCAUUAAAGAUUUUUUUUUCCAACCACUAUAAGUUACAUAUUUAUUAAUAUCAAAGAUAAAAUAUAGUAUAUACUUAUUAGAAGGAGGCUCAACGUAACCUUCUAGCUAAAGUUGAAAAAAUAAUUAAACUCUUCCAUCUUGAAACAAGGCCUACAAUAUAAGAUUUAAAGAAAGUACAAUAUAUUCCCUCUAGUCAAACUUUUCGUCAUUAUUGUUACAUUUGAACUCGCUACUUGAUGUUUGUUAUUUUUUCACUGUCAUCAAAACUUCCAAUACUAAUUGAAAAAUUAAUUUCGACUUUUCUAUGCUGAGUAAUAUAAUAAAUAUUUUGAGUUAGCUAAGGCAAAGCUGAGGCACUUGUGUUAGAUUUUAUUUGUCAUGUGGGCCUACACAUAUAAUUAAUUGAGAAAAUUACACUAGUUACCUGUUUAAAAUUAAAUAUUUAUAUGUACUAAUCACUUUUCUAUUUUCCAUUUAUACUGUAAUUUAAUAAUAUAACUAAAAAUCAUCAAAUCACUUAACUCCUUAUAAUAAUUCAAUAAAUUACUGACCUUACUCUAUCAUCAUUGAAUCUGAAUUAAUUAUCUCAAAUACCCAAACCACUCCCACAAAUUAAGCUCUGUAUUAGGUCAUUUCCAAAUCGAGACUGACGCAACUAUUUUUCGCUUUCCUUUUUGUUCCUUAAAUAUCUAAAAUUCUUUCCUCGUUUGUCCCCUCUAACAGCCACUUUGCUCUAAUUAUUGCCGUAAAGCCCUUUUCCUACAUGCAUAAACCUAUACAUACAGACCCCUACAUACGUCUCUUUAAUUGUCAAUGAUGGCUCUUAGCUCUUUUCUCCCUUCCUGAGAUAAUCUCUUUGAUUCUUGACGUGGAAAUGAUAUGUCAGUUCAAUUUUUUGGAGCAUAGAUGUGCAUUUCAUUAAAUCAUUAAAAUUAUGCUUAGACCCUUUUCAUUUUCUCUUUCUUUCUGGAAAAUUGAAGCAGGUUUUUUAUUGAAAAUAUUCCUAAUUGGACUUAUUAUACAUUUUUAUUCUUUUGGGGCAUGUGGGUUUGUUUGUUUCUAUUUUUAGGUGGCGAACAAGGAAAUAUGGGACCUUAUGAAUCAAAUGGAUGAUACUAGAUAAUGAAAUUAUCCUUAGGUUGUUGUAUUAUAUUGAAGAAGGGUAGUCAAAAAGGGCCUUGAUUGAUGCUAUUGUUGGUGCAAUUUCUGGUACUGUUUCAAGGGCCGAAGUAAUUAUGAUUAGAUUUUAGAUCAUUCUUCAUCUCUUAGUCCUCGUUCAUCCCCCUCCUAGUUCUUAAUCUAUCAUUCUUAAUUAAAACCCAUUGUUAUCUGUUGGAAAUAAUACUGUGAUUGAGGAUAUUACUCCUCAAUCAUAAUCUUCCCAUAGCAUGCCAAUGCCAAUCACGUAAUUGAAGGAGGUUAAUUUACACGGUUUUCAUUUCAUUUACACAGUUUCCAUUUUAUUGUAAAUUAUUGAUUUGUAUUCCAUUUAUACUAUCUUGUAAAGCUCUAUAUAAUGCAAUACGAUACACCACUGAAAUUAAGGUGGAUUUUAAUCAUUCUUAUAGUAUCAGAGCGGAGAUGAUCUUGAAAGAAAUUACUGGUAAAUUCACCACCGCCGUCACUUUGGAAAAUUUUAAUUCGAGUGGAGUAUUGAUUUUCCACAAAUUUUUGAAAUUGAAUAAAAACAUUAUAAAAAUCAAAUUUCAAUUUUAAAGAUAGAGCCACGUGAAACGAGAAUAGUCAUCGAUAAAAAUGACAUAAUAGACAAAUCCUAAAUUAGAUUUGACUGGAGACGGACCCCAAAUGUCGCAAUGGAUAAGAUCAAGUGUUUUUGAUGACCUAUGUUAAUUUUGAGAAUAAGGCAAGCGAUGACUUUUAGCAAUUUGACAUGUGCCACAUAAAGUUGGAAAAGGCAACAAAGAUGUAAGAUAAAGCUAGCCUUUUUUAUUCAAUAGAGAAAUAACAGAAUGAUUGACAUGUCCAAGUCGUGCAUGCCAUAAAUUAUAGGACGCAUGAAGCGAUUUAUUUUUAAGAACAGAAAUAAAAGUAGAAUGACUUCGCUCAAGCACAUAUAAACCUCCAUCACGCUUGCCGGUUGCCACCACCCUUCCUGUUUUGCGAUUCUGUACAGUGAAUAUGUUAUUAUUAAAGGUAACGAAUAAAGGAAAAUCUGAUGUUAAUUUACUGAUGGAAAGUAAAUUCUUGGUAAGGCAAGAUACAGCUAGGACAUCAAGAAGAUGUAGAUUUGGGGUAGGGAAAAUUUUACUAGUAUGGGUAAUGGGUAGUGAGGCACCAUUCCCAACAACCACACAAUCCUUACCCAUGUAAUUUGUGGCCUGAUCCAAUUUAGAGUGAUUCAUGGUCAUAUGGGCUGAAGCCCCUAUAUCCAAAUACCAGUCAGAGCCCACAUCGUCAUUUAGAGAACAAGAUCUCGUGAAGGCUUCAGCAAGGUGAGCUGGUGUCUCAUUCCGAUCAUAGCGUUGAAGGCACCGAUCGGCAAAGUGGCCAUCCAUCCUGCAAAUCUGGCAUCUUGGUGGACGAUGCCAUUGGCUGUAGUUGGAGCGCCCUUGUCCAUGACCAGAUGAACUGAUGCCACGCCCACCGAAGCGACCCUGAUGACUACGAGAAGAGUCACCACGAUGGGUGGAAUUUUUUGUGACAGUAAAGGCUGUCGCUGCUGGAGAAGAUGAGUCAAGGGAUUUCUGAAAAAUUUCAAAACUUUCGGCCUGUAAUAACUCGUUCUCUAUUUGAUUUGUAUGUAAUGCAUGUUUGGUUUGGAUUAAAAUCUAAUUUUAAUCUAAGUUAAAGUUAUAUAAUCAAUAUUAACUACAUCUUUCAUGGAUCUCACAACUUUUCAACCAUGCAUUUCAAAAUUUUUUAUCACCAUCUACUAAAAAAAUCUAAUUUUAAUCCUCACUAAAUAUACUCUAUAUUUGUAUUAUUAUUUUUUUAUUUUUUUCAAUUCACAUAUGUAUUACAUUUUUCUCGAUAAAACCCAACUUAUAUACAUUGGUGAAUAACAUAGAAUGCUAAAUAGAAGAGUAAAUCGAACCUGCCAUACCUUAUUUAUUUAUUUUUUUAAAGCAUGUCACCAUCAUGCCCCAUUCAUUGUAAAUAUGGAAUUGGACUCUUUGUGGGCACCAGUGUACAUGUAAGCUCUUGUUCCCUGGCCCGUCGAGGUAUAUUCUGCGAUUUACCUUCAUCACGAUACUCUAGCGGCGAGGCAGUGGGGGCCCUCAAGGUUGGGGAUUAACCUUUUUUUUUUGGUAUUGUUUUUCAUUUUGUAUGUGCAACUUAACAGAUAUAGAUUACAGAUGAUACAGUCAUGAACCUCUAAGUACUUGAAAUUGUACUACAUUUCUUCAAUUCUUUAUACUAAUAGCUUGUAACAUGUAGUGUAACAUAAUAGCGGACCCAAAAUUUUUGGAUUUUUCCCCUCAAGGUUGGCGUUCAACCUUUUUUUUUUUGGUAUUGUUUUUCAUUUUGUAUGUGCAACUUAACAGAUAUAGAUUACAGAUGAUACAGUCAUGAAGCUCCAAGUACUUGAAAUUGUACUACAUUUCUUCAAUUCUUUAUACUAAUAGCUUGUAACAUGUAGUGUAACAAAAUGGCUGACCCAAAACUUUUAGAUUUUUCCCCAGAAAAUAGUUGUUUUGACAUAUUUACGACCUACUUUUUUGCAUUUAUUACAAGAUGUCAAAUGAAAUCGAAAUUUACCUUCUUAAUACCAAUUUUAAGUGCUCAUGGCCAAGUUUUUUGCUCGUUAAUGGCCUGUAAAUCGACUAACCGUAGUAAAAAUUACGACGCAUCAAAGUAGGCCGUUCCAAAUUAGUAUUUCAAGGAUUUUGAUAAUAUAUUAACUUUCAAAAUUCGUCGAUAAUUGUAUACUAUUUGAAUCCACAAAUCGUCUACAUCAAAUGGAUGCUCAUUUCGAGAACUAUAUCGUAGUCAUAUCGAAUUGUUCAAACGAAUAUUGAAAAUAAUUAAAUAUACAUCAAAUGUACAUCUUAAAAAAGAAGUCUAACUCAUAUUUUCUUUUAAAAAAUUUCAAUUAAUUUAUCAACGUUUAUUAGUUUUACACGAUAUAUUUUUCAAUAUAAUUUACAUAAUUUUAUUAGGAUAUUUUAUAUGGAAUAUGACAUUAAAAAUCUUAGGAACGUUACAAAUUAAGUGUAAUUUGAAUUACUUUCGAAAUAAAUUUAAAUUUCAUUUUCUUCUUAUAUUAAAUGUGAAUUUUAUUUCAUUUCAUUUACUUCCUUUAUUUAAUUUGAUUUACUCAUAUUCAACUCAACAUCUAUCAAUGAAAUGGUAAACAAGACUAUAAAAGAAGCACAAUCCAUUUUACACUAUUGAUAAUAAUAUAAUUAUAAGACUUUCAAAGUAUCAAAAUGCCCAUUAAUUUAUUUUCAUUAAUAAUAUAUUGUUUUUUUCCCCUUAAAAAUACACUUUAAUUUUUGACCCACAACACAAAAAAUCUGGUUCUGCCCCUGGAGUAACAUACCAAAGAUUAUGUCUAUUCUUUUUUGUGAAAAAAAUGUAAUCUAUUUUUAAUCAUGCAAUAUUAAUUAGGUUCGUUAAAUUAUCAUAGUCUUGUAAUUUGGUGAUACGCAUUUUUAUGAUUUUACCUUUAAAAAACUCGUCUUGGUGAAUUGCAUAGAAUAUUGAAGAGAUGGGUUAAUUGAACCUGCCAUACCUUAUUUUCUAUAUUGCAUGUCAUCCUCAAGUUUACAUAUUUUUCUAUUGCACACCAUAUAAAAUACAAUGUAACAUAUCAAACUAUUAUAUCUAUUCCUCGUGUUUGAAUCCAAUCAUGCAGUCAUUUAGGUGUACGUGCUACAUUCCACAGGAAUGUUAUUCGGUGUUAUAGAUUUUUAUGUCCUCGUAAGUUUACAUUAUGAGUUUAUCGUAAAUAUUCACGGACUAUUGUUUUAACUAAAAGAAAGCAAUAUUGUAGUUGUUCAAAACCUUUCAAAAGGGAAAGACAUAGUGAAAACAGUAGCCAUUUCAAUGCCUCGAAGGUCUCAUGUUUCAAGAUACCAGCAGACAAUGCCUACGGCAUCCACUCUGCAAAGUAAUGCGAUACCAACUCUGCAGCAACAAUCUAUUCUGCCUCAAGGGUAAAUAUGAAUUAUGUAUCCCUUACUUCUUAGAAUGUUCUUUUUAUUUUAACUUAGCACCUCAAUUUUACAAGCUUGAUUCAACAUGGAAAUUCCUUCUUACUUGACUCGAAGACAAAAGAUGAAAGUAACACAAGGAACUUUAGUCGGAGUUCCACACCGCGAAAAGAGACAAAACUUGACAAGCAAUGUAAGAAGGCCUGUUACCAUUGCAAAAAAAUAACACUCAUGUACAGAAGAUUUGCAGUAGGAACAACCUUGCAUAAUUGAUUCUCAUCACAAGUGGCCUUGUCUUUUUGUUCAAUUACUUAUUAAAUUUACAAAACUACUCUCCAAAUGGUAAAGGAAAUGGGGACGUGUUGGUUAAUGAUAGAGAGGGUAUUUUGGUAAAUAGUGGAUGGCAAAUCGGUGUAUUUCAUGAAUAUCGUCAAAGCUCAUUGGCCCCAUUCUCGACAAAUUAUUGGGGAUGGGGGUGUCAUGGAAAGCGUCAAAUUGAUUGGCAAAUUGAUUGAUCGCUGAACAAGCUCUCAACGAAAUUACAAGGAUCCAUAAGUGUACUAUGUAAUAGAAAUACAGAAUGACAGGAAUUAAGAUUGUAAUGUAGAGAACAAAGAUGAAAUGUAUAAAUUCGAUAAUGUAUUGUGUAGAGAAUGAAUUGAGAAAAUGUAUUUAAUAGAUAAUCAUUAGCAAUACUUCAUCAUUGAAAGUGUUAUUUCGUCAAUCACAUAAUUCAAAUGGAAGCUUGACCCUCUAAAUAAUCUGAAAAACUAGGAAAGCCAACAAAUUAGAAAUUUCAAAUUAAUAAAAAGUGUUUCCUCAUUUAUCUUAACAAAGAAUAUUAUUUUCUGGACUCAUAUCUUUUCAUUUCAGCACUAAAGAAUAAGAGAGAUAUUUAUGACUAUUCCAUGAUAUCCUUUUCUUGACCCAAAUUCUAUGUUUGGAAGUUAUCUUUUAAGGUCUCCGUUGUCUAUAAUUGGUAGGUGAAAAUUGACUAAGAAACUGAAAUUAUGGAACACCAUUGCGCAUCCUUGACAAUCGAGUAGGAGAAGUUCAUCAUAAUAACAUAUUUGGAUAAGCUUAAAAAAUUUACGUACUCGGCUAAGCUUAAAAAUAUUUACUUAUACGUAAAUAUGUAAUUUUCAGCCUAGUGAAAUUUUGGUAAAAGUUGAAAUAUAGUUGCUGAAUAAAAGUUAUUUUUGAGAAGUAUAAUUUUUAAAACUGAGAUAGUUAAAUUUUUAUGGUAAAAGUUGAAAGCUAUUUGCCAAAUAAAAGUUAUUUUUGAGAAGUAUAAUUUUUAAAACUGAGUUAUCCAUGCUCAUUUGAAUAAAUAUCCUCACUUAAAAAGCAUUUUUGGCUAAGUUAGAAGAAUAAUGCCCUUGUACACUGUGCUUUAUAGCUCGGCGUACACUCCCCUCAUAUGAGGGGAGGGGCCCAUGCCCAUUUAAUGCUCGGAUUUCGUCUCCCAUGUGAGGAGGCUGUACUAGCAUGGCCGAAGUUAGAAAGGUUACUUAUAAUUCAAUAAAUAAGUUUUUUUUAGAAUAAUUAACAUUUUGACGGGUAAAAUUUGAAAAAGAGUUCGUAUUAAGUAAAAGUUAUAUUCUGAAAAAGUAAUACUUAUUUAAAAUCGAGUUAUCUGUACAUAUUUGAACACCUAACCUCACUCCAAAAAAAUAAAAAAAUAAAAAAAAAUUCUUUAAGGGCCUAUUUGAUAGGCAUGAUUUUCCAAUUCAAAUUCCAACUUUCACUUUUUGGAUAUUUGAUAGGUUUAUUUUUUUUUUUUUCAAUGAAAUUGAUUUUGACUCAUUUUAUUUUAUUUUUAAUGAAUGAAGCAAGAUAAUUGCAAGAUGAAAUAAAUCAACCACAAAUCAGACCACCAAGAUUUUAUGUGGAAACCCUAAAUGGGAAAAUAUUACGGGCAAAAGAAGGAAUUCACUAUAUCAAAAUCAAGAUCAAUGAUUGUUGAAUAAGAUUUGUUGCAAAUCAAGAUCAAUGAUUGUUGGAUAAGAUUUGAUGCACUCAACCAAAUCCAAUGUGUUUGUGGAGAAUGGGUAUCACAAAACGUGCCAAAAUCGAAAAUAAGCCAUGGUCGAAUAAGAUGGUCGCAUGAUCAGUGUGCCUCGCAUGUAGUGAGCAGCCUCACUAGCUCACGAGCAUUAUGCUCAUGCCAGACUCCGUUUUUUGGGCGUACGAAUGGAAACUGGAUGUUCAACGAGCAUAAAUGCGCCGAUUUUUUCUUCUUGGUUUGUAUUUGAACUUCUUCAAGACACCUUCAACGAACCACCAAUUCCCUUUUAACCAAAACACCAAUUUUCAAUGGAAUUUGGCACAUAAUUCAACAAAUUUAUACCAAACUAAGCUUAAUAUAUAGUUCAAAAAUUCAAUAAUAUAAGAGGUUGUUGGGGUUUGAGGGAAUGUUUUUGUUAAUGUUAGGGGGGAAAACCGGAUUUUUAGAGGGUGGAGAUCGAUUGUUAAGUUGUAUAUAGGGGCGGAUCCAUGAACUGCACCCAUUGGAAUCUUCAUUUUUUAAUAUUUACAAAGUAGUCCACAUAAUUUUUAGUCCAUAAUUUUAACCCAUAAUUUUUACAUAAUUCUAUUUUGCUCUCACUAAAUUAUAUUUCUGGGUUCGCCCCUAGUUGUAUAGGACAAAAACCAGGUUAUUAAAAUGAAUUUUUUUUUUUUUUUUGUAUGUAAAUGGUGAGUACACAUGCAUAUCAGCUGUGCAUACUAAUCGCUCUGUCCAAUUAAAAAGUGAAUUUUUUUGUAAGGUUUAAUUCAGUUUUCUGACAAAAUGGUAGGAUGUGGUACAAUUUUAUAAGAAUUUCCGUUGAUGUUAAAAAAGGUUAAACCCUAACCUUAAGGGUCCUCCACCACUCCUGCCCUGGAGUAUCGUAAGGGAGGUAAAUCGCAGGUUAUGCCUCCAAGGGUACAUGUUGGAAGACUGUUUGUACACUUGCACUUACCCAAGAGCUAAAUUCAUAUUUCAGGAUUCGAACUCUUGACGCAGUAGCCUCAAGCAAAACUAGAUUUCUCCACCUUCCCCUUUUACCACUUGAAAUGUGCCCUAGGGGGCGAAUUUCCGUUGAUGUUGAACACAUGGAUAGAACUUUAACAAGAUAAGGCAGUAAAUAAGAAAAAUACUUAAAAGUAUAUGUUAAAAAAAUACACAAAUAUGUGGUGUAACAAAAGAUUUCCAUGGUGGCAAUAUAGUCUUUCAUAGGUAAAACGAUCUAAGGCGAGGUUUAAAUAGGUUUUUAUAAAAUUCCAAUUUCUUUUGCCAAACGUUAUACAUUUCGAUUUAAGCGAAUUCUUAAAUAGUUGACGUUGUUUGACCAGUUAAACAACCGCAAUAAAACAUGUAUUAAACCAAAACUAAGUAAGACCAGAAACAACGAAUUUAACAUCGUAAACCUGCUCUUACAGACUAAAAAUUCCAGUACAAAAAUAAUAAUAAUAAAAUACAGUCAUUUUAAAUUUUUGAAACUAAUAUAAUUAUUGACAACGAAGAAACUAAAGCAAAGAAAAUACUAUGAAUUAAGAAAUAACAAAAAUACCCUUCCCUAUAUCAGUUUUUCCAAUUCUUUCACGUGGAAUUAAGGCCAUGUUUGAUAGAGGUUAAAUUCUAUGGAAAAUGGAAGUCAUUUUCCAACUUACACUUUUUAUGGUGUUUGAUAGAUUUUUUUCUAGGGAAAUCAUUUUCCAUCUUUCUUGCCACCUCACCCAAAUUCCGUCUUUUGAAAAUCAAUUCCCACCAAAUAUUGGUGGGAAUUGAAUUUCCCGGUUACUGUUGACAUUUUUUUUUUCGUAUUUUUUUUUUUUUGAAAAUGAAAACAAAUUAUAUUCAUAAUUGUUAAAAAAUAUUUACAUUUAAUUGACAAUUUUCAUAUAAAACAAAAUCAAACAAAUACUAAAAGAUAGAUGAUUUUUUUGAUUUUUUUUUUUUUGGGCAAUAGAAAGAAAUUCUAUCCCCAAUACCAAUCAAUUCUAUCCAUUUAUUUGACAAUUUUCAUGUAAAGUAAAGCCAAACAAACACCAAAAAAUACUUUUAUUUUAACAUUUUUCACGUUGAAAAUUAUAUCAAUCAAACACAAUAAUUUACAAUUUCCAACAAAAUAAUUUCUAAGCAAUUUAAUUUCCUGAAAUUCGUUUUCUUUAUACCCAAAUUCCAUUCUUACAAUCAAACAGACUAAGUAUCCAAAUUUUUGUUCCACAAACUGGAAUUAAUUGUUUCAAUGUUCACUAAACUUAAGCCCCUGUCUUUAAUUGGUCACUAUAUUUUAAAAUAUCGAGUUUUGGUCGCUAAACUUACCAUGUAUUUGAUUGCUCAAUAAAAUUUAAAAUAUCGAAUUUUGGGCAUCAAACUUUGAAAAAUGUUUUACAUUACUUAUUGUAAAUUUGACAUUUUUUUAAAGUUUAACAUUUACGUUAGUAAUUAACGUACAAAAUUUUCUAAAGUUUAAUGAUCAAAACUCAAUAUUUUAUACUUUAGUGAGCAAUCGAAGACAUGAACUUAAGUUCAGUGAUCAAAAUUCGAUAUUUUAAAUUUCAAUGACCAUUGGAAUAAUUAAUUUGCAAAACUGAUUUCAUCCUGACCUUUUUCCAAUUUGUCGUUUUACAAUGAAAGUAGAGGUUAUUUUUAUUUUUGCGCAUCCUCUUUCUCGACCCAAAUACUUCGUAUGAAGCUACUUUUAUAAGUUCCUGAUUAUCUAGAAUCACUUUAUGACUAUUGGCUAGGAAAAACUGAAAUCGUGGAAAGUCGUAGCUUAUCUUUGAAAAUUGAUUAGGAGAAACUGACAAGAAAACAACAUAAUUGGUAUGUUUGGUUGAGAUGAAAAAAAAAAGUUCGCUUGUAAGUAAAUGAUUAGGUUUAAAAUAACUUUCUUUUUAUUUAAAAAUAUGUUAAAUGAAAAGUUUGGAGAUAAAAGUGACUUUAACUUUUUUAAGCUUAGGUAAUCAUAAUAUUAUAUUUAGUAAAACACGUUAUGUAUUUCUUACUUUUAAGUAGGGUUGGGCAAAACUCCCGAACCAAAUCGAAUUGAACCAAACCCGAUGAUUCUUUUCAAGUUAAAUACCCAAAUGGGUAUCUGAAUCAAAAAGCGACGAGUACGAUUUGGUUCUCGAUUCUAGAUCAAGAAUUGAAGAAUCGAAUGAGAACCGAAUCUUCCUAAUUUUAUUUUAUUUUUAUUGAAUAAAUCAAAUUAUUUUAAUUUUCCUAAGCAAAUUGACUAAUUAGGUGAUUGAUUGAUACUCUAUCUCCCAAGCUUUAGCCUAGCUGGUUUGACCCAACCCAACCAAUUUUUAAAUCCAAUUUUUGAGCCCAAUUAUUUAUUUCAUUUCUAUUUUUUUAAUUUUUAGCCCAAGUGCCCAACAUCAAACCCUUUUUAUUUGUCCAUUUCUUAGCCCAACAUCAAACCCUUUUUAUUCUUUCAUUUCUUAUUAAAUCAUAUUAGUUGAACAAUUUUUAGUUUAUUUACGUUUGUUAAUUGUGCUUUUUCAAUUUUUCUGUAGAGAUUCUUCGUAUGGCAAGUCAAGCAAUUGAUGAUUAAAUCAAAUAGUUGGUAAGUAUUAGUAAUACUUAAAAAUAUUUUAUCUCUAUGACUUCUACUUCAAGAAAUUUUUUUAUUUAUACUUAAAGGCUGAAGCAAAUGAAUUAUUGAUAUUGAUCGUCAAUAUUUUAGUAUUAGUAUCUACUUUUUGGUAUUUGUAUAUGUUGGUAAAUUAAUCUUAUUAGACAACUUGUUAUUUAUAUGUUUUUAAUUGGACUUAGUUAAUUUGUAAAAGCUGUGAUUGAAUAUGUUAUUAAUUGUAUUUAUGUAGUGUUGUUGUAAAUGUUAAAAAAUGUAAUCACGAUACAGAACCGAACCAGAUCGAACCAAACCGAACGAAAAUGAACCUGAACGAUUUCAUAAUCAUAUUUGGACCUGAUGGUUCCACUUACUAAAUACCCGAAAUUUUUGUUCAGUGAACUGGACCGUGCCCUGCCCUACUUUUAAGUAAAAAAAUUUAAAUUUAUUUUUUACUUUAUUCAAAAUAAGUAACUUAGCCUCUAUUUUUUUUUUGAAAAAAAAAAUCAUUUAUAAAGAGGAAUAAUAAUGAAUAUCACUAAAUGUCAGGAUAAUAAAUGAGUAACAAUUAUAAAUAUGUGAUUGAAAUUAAUGUUUGAUUUUGACUUAAUUAAUAAAUUGACUGCAAAAUGGAGGUGAUAAAACAUUACGUAUUUCAUAAGGUACUUAUUAUGUAUAAGUAAAUUACAUAAGCAUAAAAUUAUAUGCUCAGCCAAAAAUAAAUAAUAGAAACCGGCAAGAAACAAUGGCUGCGAAUUUUUUGUCGUUUACAAUUGGAACAAAUCUUAUCAUCUUUUAUAAAUCAUAUACCUUUGCAAAAGAGAAGUAAUUGACGAGAAAUCCACAACUUAAUGUCAAUAGUCCCAUUAUGAAUUGGAAUCCAAUCACACAGGCUGUGUAUUUAUUUUAAAAAAAAAAAUACCAAAAUAAAUUCAGCAACUUCAUAAUGAAAAGAUUCGAAACUGACUCCAGUUUUUGGUAUUCAGAUAUAUUCAGAUCAAAUAAGCUGUGUUAUUAUUUUACUUCAAUAUAUAGAAUUUCUUGUGGUAUCAUUCAACUAGUAAAUAUUCAAUCUGUAUUCUGGAAGCUGUAAAAAUUGGACUAUGUUUGAUUUAGAAAAAGCUGAAACGCAUCUGUCAGAAAUUCUAAUCUUUAUCUUAUUCAUGGCCUUUGAAUUAAACGCAAAAGAAUGCAUAGAUUACGGAAACGGAAUAGACAGUCAAUAAUGGCGUGUUAAAAUAAUGAAUAUUAAGCUUCAGAAUAGUAAUAUGAAAAUGACGUUAUCCACACCACCGCACCUAUAAAUUCCCUCUUACAAUUCAGUUUUCUACCAAGCUCUCAAUUUAUAUUCACGUCAUUUUUCUUCCUAGGUUACACUAUUAACGAAAAACAUGGGUAUCUCUAAGUUUUUCCAUGAAAUCAAAGCUAAGGCUUCUCACAAGAGGAUGUUCAAGGCUGUGAUGAUUGAAAACGCCGACAUUUUGCCGAAAGCCUCUCCACACAUCAAGAAAAUCGAGACAAUUCAAGGCAAUGGUGGUGUUGGAAGCAUCAAGAAGACAACUUUCAGUGAUGGUUAGUCUACUAAACAACAUCACGUAAAAAGAGAGGAUAACGCUAUCUUUAAUCCUGUCCAACAUUAUCAAUAUAGCAUUUUAAAUAUGUGAUGAGUAUCUUAUUACAAAAAUUUUAAAAAUAAUAAUAACAAUAAAAUAUAAAAAAUUCUUAGGGAGAGACAAUAUAACGUCGUCGUUGCUGAUGUACAAUGUUGUGUAAUCUAGCAUACUAAAUGUGUCAUUCUUUUUUACAUAAUCUAAUGAGCAUAUAUGUUUUCUCAUAGGCAAGUACAUGAAGAACAAGAUCGACCAUCUGGACACCGCAAACGGCGUGGCUAAGUUGACUUUAUUUGAGGGUGACGUACUUGGAGACAAAAUUGAAUCUAUUAGCUACGAGGUCAAAUUUGAGGACUCAAAGGAUGGAGAAUGUGUUGUCAAGAUCACCACUGAGUAUCAUACCAAGGGUGAUGUUGUACUAAAAGAAGAGGAUGUUAAGGCAAGCAAGGAACAAUCUUUUGAACUCUACAAGGCUUAUGCAGAUUACCUAAAUGCCAAUCCUCAUGUUUGUGCCUAAAUGUUUUCCAAUUAUGUCUUGACGUUGUGAUGUAUAAUGGAAACACACAUGUUUCCCUAUUUCUGUAUUUCAGUAUAAGUGGUGUUUUUGCCUUAAUAAAGAACUUUGUUCUACUUUCCA
RNAcentral lists this long non-coding RNA (131922 nucleotides) under Olea europaea (common olive). Its description in RNAcentral is "long non-coding RNA (OEUR_LNC014122)". The record is from RNAcentral. Lineage: Eukaryota; Viridiplantae; Streptophyta; Magnoliopsida; Lamiales; Oleaceae.